CUCGGGGCAAACCUCAAGGAACUUGAUCAAAAAAUCAACAUUUCCAUUUUGAACCACAUGAUGCAAAGGAGUGAAGCCCUCCCGCCCUUUGACACGAACAAGGCCUUCAUCAAACCUGAGAAGUCGAAGCACUGCUUGAGUGUGUUGAUUUUGCAGAGCCAAGUGCAUGGGGCUAAACCCAGCUUGGUUUAGCUUUCUUGCAAACGAUGGCUUUAAGUUGAUCAUCUCCAUCAUAAAAUCAAUAUGCCCUGCAGAGGCUGCUACAUGCAAAGGAGUAUGGAAAAAAGGUACAUCAUCGAUACGCUGAAAAACAUAUGGAUCAUUCAGAAUUAACUCAUACAAGAUGUUUAUGUCUCCUGUUUGUGCAGCACCUAUCAUCCUCUCAUCCAUAGCAAGGUGCGGAAAUUUGCAGAAUAUAGAAAUGGAGUGAAGAAAAAACGCUUUAGCAGACGAUGUGAUUAUGUUAAGGAUAUACUGAAGUGUUUUAUUAUUUUUUCCAGAUGGAGUGUGUGAUAUUUUAUAGCACUUAAUUAUUUUGGAUUUAUAUGUGAUGUCAGCCACUACACGUAUACAUGUGAAUGUCACCUAUUAGAAAGAAAUAGUAAUUAUAUUUAGUAAUUAAAUUCAUAUUUAAUAUAUAUUUUUAAUCUAAUUUUUUAACUCAAUUUAAUUUUAGUUAAAACGUUUAAAAACAUUUAUUUAAUUUAAUUUCUUUAAUAUAUUAAAUAAAUUGAAUUAGAGAAUAUAUUAAAUAUGGAUGAAUACUAUAUCAUACUAAUUUUAUGUCUCUAAAAAUUAAUAAGGUGUCAUUAUUUUAUUGGUGCUUAAAAAAUUAAAAUAUUUAGAAUCAUCCUAAUAUAAGUUAUUCUAUUAAUAAUAAUAUUUGGUACUUCCACGAGUAAGUUCAAUAGUUUGACAAAUGUCUUAUAAAAGUAUAGUAAAAUAUUAAAAAAAAUUAUUUAGUGACUUAAUUUUUUAAGAACAUUUGAUAAUUUAUAAAGAAAAUAAAUAAUAAUUUUUUUCAAUAAAAAAGUGUGAAAAAAUGAUAAGUAGAUAAUAACUAUUAUCACUUACAACAUGUUUGGAUUAAAAAGAUAGAAAAAAGGAGGGAAAAUUAAGUAAAAUGAGGGAAAGAAAAUUCGGUUUCUUUGUUUAAGUUAAGUAAAUAUCGUAUCAUUAGAUUUUAUAUUUUAGGGUCUGUUUGAUUGAAGGAAUUGAUUUUCCGAAAAAUCAUUUUUAACUUUUCCAGCGUUUGAUUGGCGGAAAAUAUUUUCCAUUUGGAAAAUGAACUCCAAAACAUGGAAAAAUGGGUUACAUUUUAGGGAAAAUGUCUUACCCUUUCAAUUUCCGUAAGACAUUUUCCGUGCUCUCCUCUCUAUCUCCUCCUUCAUUCCUUCCUUCAUUUCCGGUAAAAAAUUGUUACUGUUUAUCGAUUUUCUAGUAACUUGUUUUUUUAAUUAUUCAAUACUUAUUUUUUUAACACAAUUACAAAUAAUUUAUUUGAUACUAAUUUUUUUCAAUUUAUAAUGAUUAAUAUUGUAGCUUAAUAAUUGAGUAUUAUUAUAAAUAAAUCAUUGCAAUAUAUGUAAAAAUAAUUUAAAAUAUAAAAAUUUAUUAAUAUAUAUCAAUAUAUGUAAAAACAAUUUUUUCAAAAAAUAUUUACCAGAAAUCUGCCAAACAGCCGAAAAUAUUUUACACAGAUUCAAUCAAACACCAGAAAAUAUUUUCCAGUAAAUCAUUUUACAGAAAAGUAAAAUAUUUUCCCGAAAUCAAUUUACGGAAAAUAUUUUACUGGCAAUCAAACAGACCCUUAGAUUAUUAUCUCUUCUUCUUCUUCUUUUAACUUGUAACCAUCUUAUUUUUAUUUUCUAUUUGUUUAGGUUACUAGAAAUAUUUAAUUUUAAAUUUGUUUGAUAUAUAUUUUUAAAAAUUUUAACAAUAUUUUUUAUUAACUAUUUUGUUAAAUUAUUAGGAAUCCUUCAUUUGUAAUUUGGUUAAGAUAUAUUUUUUAGUUUGAUCAAAUAAGCUUAUUUAAAAAAAAAAGAGAGAAUAUACCAAUAUAUUAUUGGUUAACAUUUUAAUUAUUAUUUUAUAUAGACUAUUGAUAUUGUUCUAUAAUUUUAAUUUGCUGUGAUUUAAUUUUGUUAUUAUAUAUUAUUUAUGAACUGUUAAAAUUAAAAAAUAAAAGUAAAAUAAUUCAUUUUCUUUCCUUUUCACAGUUUAGCAAAACAAGUCCACAAGGUCGCCCCAUUCAACAAAAAUUAAAUUGUUUAAAUAUAUAUAUGUAUAUAGGGACUAGUUUUAACAAAUAAAAAAUAUAGAAAAACUACAUUAAAAAAAUAGAGAAUGGAGGAAAACAGAGGGAGAAGCAGAAGACAAUAAAAAAUAAAGGAAAGUUAAAAGAACAUAAAAAAAUUAAAUUGAAUUGCUCAAAACGAAAAAAAUAUGGGGAUCAGUUGUAUAAAUCACCCUAAAUUUUUUGUUUGAAAGAUGAUUUAACAUGUCACAUCAGCUUAUCGUUAUAUGGUUAACGGAAAUUAACAGCUCAGUGACUAAAAUGUUACAACGCGAUAACGUAAGUGACUAAAAUGUAACAUUUCAAACAUAAAUGACUAAAAUGUAAGCAAAAGUGACUAUUUUAAUAAUUUACCCUUACAUUUAUCCAAACAUACGCUUAAUGUAAACAUUUUUCAAUUAUUUUUAUUUUAUUUUAUUUUUAACCAUUAUCCUUUAUCCUUACUUUAAAAAGUAUAAUUAAUAAAUAGUAUAAUUAUUUUUCAAAAUUAAUUUUAAGUAAUACACCAAAUAGAUUUUAUAACUUAAAUUUAAUAUUUAAGUUUAUAAUAUUUUUUUAUCAAACAACAUUUACUCCUAAGUAAAUAAAUAAAUAAAGGCCUUGUGUAAUUAAGAAAGUUGAGAAAGGGUUAAUCCUCACAUGGAAAAAAUUGGCUACAAUAAUGAAGGAAAGAGAAAAACACUAAGGAAUAUCCAAUAAUUGGGAGGCAAUAUGUCAAUUAUGAGCAUACCCCAUACUGUCAAUGGUGAUGGAUGAAUUGUCUACUAUACAUGGAUUUUGUUUUCCUUUUUUUUUUCCUUUUUUUGUUCUUGUCCUGUAUUAUUUGGAUUUGAGAUCCCAAGCUAUGUAUGUCAUCACAUUUUAAAUAUAUAUAUAUUUAUUAUGUAUUGAGUAUCAGUUUUAUUGGUAUAAAUAUUAUUGUUAAUGUAUGAGAAUAUAGAUUCAAGUGUGCACUACACCAAAACAGGCUUUUAACGGCACUUUUAGCGGCGUUUUGAGCGAAGACGCUGCUAAAAAUCGAAAAAUAGCAGCGUUUUAGGAAAAGCGCCGCUAAAGAGUGAGCAUUAGCGGCGUUUAUAAAAAAUGCCGCAAAUAAUACACCCAAACAGUGCCGUUUUAUGUCCUUUCGGGGGAAUUAGUGGCGUUUUUUGUAAAGCGCCGCUAAGGCUAAGACUUUUAGUGGUGUUUUUUGAAAAUCGUCGCUAAUCUAGGUGUUUUAGCGGCGUUUUUUGUUUAUGCGCCGCAAAAAUAAUUUAUCUUAAUUGAACUAUUAUUUAUAUUGUUUAAAUCAAAUUAAACAUAUUUCUAAUAGAAUAUUUAAAAUCUUCAAUAAAAAAUAACAAGUAUAAAUAAUUCGAAAUAAAACACAUGGAAAAAUUAAAAUAGUAUUAUUUAAAAUAAUUUUAAAGUUUGUUGGGUACAUUACUGAUUGUUUUUUAAUUUAUAUAUUAAAAAUUUGAAAUUAUUAUCGUAAUUAAAAGAGAUAGUAUUAAUUUAAAUUUAAAAUAUUGAAUUAAGCGUAUCACUAUAGUUAAUAUAGGGUUUUAGGUUUUAGGGGUAUAUAUAUAUGAUAUUAUUAAUUUAAGAUUUUAAGUCGGUUUAGGGGUUACUAUUUUAAGGUUAUUAUUAUAAUUGAUCAGGAGUAUAUAUAUAAUAUUUGAUUUAAGGAUAUGGUUUAAGGGCUGAGAUAUAAUGUUUAGGGGUUAGGGUUGGGGUUAGCACUUAAGGGUUAUUAAUUAGGAGUUAAUUAAGGAUUUAGGGUUUAGCUAGGGGUUGGGUUAGGGAACGUAGGGUUUUAGAUUAAUUAGUAUUGCCAAAUUAUAUAUUAAAUAUGUUCUUAUAUAUAUAAUUGUAAAAGAGGUAAUAAUAAAUUUGUUUAGGAUUUUUCGGUUCGGUAUAUGAUUUGGUUUCGGUAUAUUAUUAAUUUAAAUACGAAUUUGAAUAGUAAUGCUCAAAUAUAUAAUUCAUGAAUAACACUUAAAUACUUAAAUAAAUUUGUGAAUUUGAAUUGAAAUCAUCCAAAAAUAUGCAUAUACCUGAGUCGGUAUCUUUCCUAUUUUGAUCACUUCAAUAAAAAAAAUCCCAUAUAUAUAUAUAUUUAGUACUCCUUAAUUAUUUGUUUUCAUUAAUUUAUCUAUUUGAUGAAGGUCAAUAUAAUAAAUUAGUUAAUUAGACAAAUUUAUUCAUUUAUCAAUAAAAUAAAAUAUUAUAAAUUUCAAAUUUUAUACAAAAAUAAAUAAAUAUUAUAAAGAUAAUAUUGUUUAUUGCUACUUUAUACAAAAAGUUUUUAGUAUUAAUUAUUCUUUAAUCAAUUAUAACUAUUUUAUGAUAUUUAUUAAAGAUUUAGGGAUUAUUUUGGAUGGCCGUGCUAUUUUAAAGAUUAGGGGUACAGAUUUAGGGUUUGGGAUAUAAGAGUUAUCUAGGGGUUUAGGGGUUACAAGUUACAAUUUAGGGGUUAAAGAUUUAGGGUUUAGGGGUUUAGGGGUCGGAUAAGGAUUUUAGGUUAGUUUAGAUUAAUUUCUUUAAAUAAUAUUUUAAAAAAUCAAUCUAAAGUAUCAAUUGAUAUAUUUAAAUAUUAUUUUAAAUAGAAUUCAUAAAUAAGUUAAAAAUAUAUAUUGAUAUAUAUUAUAUGGAUAUGGUUAUAUAUUUAGGUAUAAUUAUUUAUUUUGGAAAUAUAUAUAUAUAGGACCAAAUACAUAAGAAAUGAAGUAAAAAAAACAAAAAAUUUCAAAACGGCGCCAUUUUUGAAUGAAUAGUUAAACUUUUAGUGGCGUUUUAACUGUUAAACGCCGCAAAUAUGGGAAAGCAGUCAUGGCGUUUGUACAAGAAACGCCGCAAAAGUGUCUUUAAAAUUGAGUAAACGACACCGUUUGUCUACACGAUUUUUAACUUAUAAAAAGUUUAGAAUUAUUUACUUGAAACGUCACCAUUUGGCUUGUUGUACGUUAAGUAUUAGUGGCGUUUUUACAAAAACGCCACAAAAUGUACAAUUUGAGAACAAAAAAACAGCGUCGUUUCUGCAUACAGGUUUAAAUUUUUAUGGCGUUUUCGCAAAAACGCAGGAAAUUUAGGAAGCAAUAGCGGCGUUUUUCAGUAAACGCCGAAAAGGGUAUUAAAAUAAUGUCUAAACGGCGCCGUUUCUGUACAUGAUUUGUAACUUAGAAAAAUUUUAGAAUUAUUUAUUCAAAACAUCAAUUAAGUAUUCGUGGCAUUUUUACACAAAACGCAACUAAUAAUACAAUUUGAGACUAGCAAAACGGCGCCAUUUCUGUUUAAAACUUGAACUUUUAGUGGCGAUUUUAUAUCAAACGCCGCAAAUGGGUUUUAAAAAAAUGGGUAAACGACGUCGUUUCUAUACAGUAUAUUUUACUUUGACAAAUUUUAGUGGCAUUUGUGCUUAAAACGCCAGAAAUAAUGCAAUUCCAGACCACGAAAACGGUGUCGUUUCUGUUCACAGCUGUAAUACGUAGUGGCGUUUUUAGGAAAACGCCGGAAAUGUGGAAGAAGUUGCGGCGUUUGUACCUAAAACGCCGCAAAACGGUGUUAAUAUAAUGGCUAAACGACAUCGUUUCCGUAACCGAUUUUUAACUUAUAAAAAUCUUAGAAUAAUAUAUUUAAAACGUCACCGUUUGGCUUAAAAUAGAUUAAGCAUACAGGUUUAAAUUUUUAUGGCAUUUUCGUAAAAACACAGGAAAUUUAGGAAGCAAUAGCGGCGUUUUUCAGUAAACGCCGCAAAAGGGUAUUAAAAUAAUGUCUAAACGGCGCCGUUUCUGUACAUGAUUUGUAACUUAGAAAAAUUUUAGAAUUAUUUAUUCAAAACAUCAAUUAAGUAUUCAUGGCGUUUUUACACAAAACGUAACUAAUAAUACAAUUUGAGACUAGCAAAACGGCGCCAUUUCUGUUUAAAACUUGAACUUUUAGUGGCGAUUUUAUAUCAAACGCCGCAAAUGGGUUUUAAAAAAAUGGGUAAACGGCGUCGUUUCUGUACAGUAUAUUUUACUUUGACAAAUUUUAGUGGCAUUUGUGCUUAAAACGCCAGAAAUAAUGCAAUUCCAGACCACGAAAACGGUGUCGUUUCUAUUCACAGCUGUAAUAUGAAGUGGCGUUUUUAGGAAAACGCCGGAAAUAUGGAAGAAGUUGCGGCGUUUGUACCUAAAACGCCGCAAAACGAUGUUAAUAUAAUGGCUAAACGACAUCAUUUCCGUAACCGAUUUUUAACUUAUAAAAAUCUUAGAAUAAUAUAUUUAAAACGUCACCGUUUGGCUUAAAAUAGAUUAAGUAUAAGUGGCGGUUUUUAUUAAAUGCCACAAAAAAUGAAAUUUCAGAGUAACAGAACGGCGCCGUUUCUGUUAAAAGGUUUACUUUUUUGUGGCGUUUGGUCUAUAAACACCAGAAAUUUGGAAUAAGUAGUGGCAUUUUUUCAAGAAACGCCGCAAAGGUGUUUUAAUAUUUUUUCUCAACGAUGUCGUUUCCGCAGAUGUUCUUUAACUUAGCAUUUACACUCGACAAAGCACAGAAAGCAAAAGCCAAGUGCAGAGGCCGAUUGGGAAGGGGAAAAAACCUAAGAAAAAAAUCUAAGGAAGAGAGGGGAGGAGAAAUCAGAAAUCAUCAAAGAGGAAGCAACGAUUGCGUCAUUCUUGACAGUAGUUGCAGAAUUUCUGGUUAAAAGGUAUGCGUUUAAUCCUUCUGAAGAACAUCGUCUUGAUUUAGGGUAAUUUUAGGUGCAUUGUGUUUUGCGAAUUUGGGGUUUAGGAAAAAAAUUUAGAUUUUGAGGUUUGCGGUUUAGGUUAAAACACCAUUCUUGUUUGGGAAUUUGGGGAACUUGUAAAUUAUUUAUUUAGCAAUUUAAAUAGAAGGGUUUAUUUAGGAAAAUUUUGUGUAUUUAGGGGUUGCCUGAAUACAAAUAUGGGUCCUCAACACAGCCUGUUGUUUCUCCAUUACAGCGAUUUUUGGAGAAGCAUAAAAGGGUAAGGACAGCCCUUCUGGUUGUGGUAGUAUUUGGUGCUUCUAUGGUCAUCUUUAUGGCUGUGGAUUCUAGAGUUUAAUCUCGGUUCCUCUUAAACAUAUGUGGCAACUAGGACAAUAAACAAAACUAUUAAUCAUGACAGUAUAUAUGAUUGUGGAUGGUGCUGGUGAGCUUGAAAAUACAUUCCCUUUAAUAGCUCUACUAAUAUUUUGCAUAUGGACUAGACAAGAGAUACCAAUAAAUAACUCGUCUGGUCUUACACCUGAAAGACUCAAAUUAACACAGAUUUAAACCCAAGCUAGCUGGUGAAGGUUAAACAAACCAUUUUCCUAAAAUUUUCUUGGCUGAGCCAUUAUUCGGACCAUGCAAUCAUUGUUGCAAUAGUGCAUAAUUAUGUUUGAUUCGUUUAGUGUGCUUAUUUCUCAGCUGGACAUAGUUGAUCUCCCAUGACAGAGUUAUGGAUAAUGAUAUCAGAAGUUCUUUAAUGAACAUAGUGGUGUCAUCGUAACUUCCACAUUACUUUGAUAACUUUAAUUGGUUGCAUUAUUCCUCCUAUCUAUAGUAUAUUGUUUGUGGUGGAUGGUUUGACAUGUCUCAGUGCUGAUAUUUCAUUAUUCAAAUAAGAUUUUUAAUUUUGGAUUUUGUUAUAUUUAAGCUUUAUACUAAUUUUUUCCUAGUACUAACUUACUUAUGUUUUCCUUUUUAUUUUUAUUUUUUGCAGUAGUUUGCUUCGAAGUCCAGGAAAUUGAGGUAUUUAUUCCUAUGUUUCCCACCUUGGUUUUCUUAAAAAAACACCUCCAAAUGUUUAAAUUUUGGAUUUUGUUAUAUUUUAUCUAUGUACUUUAAUUAUUAUUUUUGAGUUUUAAAAGGGAGUUUUAAUUAAGAAUUUUUUUUUAAGUUGUGGGUAUCGGUUUUAAUUAUCAUUUUUGAUUUAUAUGUUGCUAGCUCAAUUUGCAUGUUACUUUGCCAAAUUUUUCCAUAACUGCAAGGUAUAAAUUAUGAUUGUAAAUCUUGUACGUAUUUUUUACCCAAGCAAAAACAAUUACGCAAAUUAUUAAAAUUCUUAAAUCACUUUAUAUAUUGGAGUAAGUGAAUAAAUUAUGGGCGAAUAGUGGAUUUGUUUUAAAGUGAACAAAUUAUCGAUUUUCAAUUUUAUGCCAAUUAAUAAAUUAUCGACGUUAGUUCUCAUUUAUGCGAUUGAAUGUUAAUGUUUAAUAAUAUAUGAUUAUUCAAUAAAUUGAUCGAUUAAUUGAUUGAAUGUCAAUGAAUUAUCAAUUUUUGUAAGUUAAUUUGGUUAAAUUUAUUACUUAAAUACAUUACUUACUAAAAUACAUUACUUACUAAAAUUUGUUUAAAUUUAUUACUUAAAUAUGUUACUUAAAUACAUUACUUACUAAAAUUUAAGUAUAUAUUACAUUACUUACAUAACUUGUUAAAAUAUAUUAUAAUUUUAAAAAUAAUUAUAAUUAAGAUACAUAAAAGUGCUAUACUUACAUCAUACAUUAUUUACACAACCAAAAAUUGAAAUUUACAAGAACUUACAUAACUUGUUAAUAUUUAUAUAAACUUACAUAACUAUCACAUAAACUUACAUAAUAUAUAACUUACAUGUUACCUUACAUAAUACAUAACUUAUAUAAAAUUUUUAUAUAAACUUACAUAAUACAUUAUUUACAUAUUAACUUACAUAAGUUAUCUACAAGCUUGUGGUUAAACUUGCAUAACUUACAUAAUAACAUAACAACUUACAUAAUAUAUAACUUACAUGUUACCUUACAUAAUACAUAACUUAUAUAAAAUUUUUAUAUAAACUUACAUAAUACAUUAUUUACAUAUUAACUUACAUAAGUUAUCUACAAGCUUGUGGUUAAACUGGCAUAACUUACAUAAUAACAUAACAACUUACAUAAUACAUAGCAUAGAUAACUUACAUAACUUACAUAAUACAAAACUUACAUAACUUAAAUAUCUUACACAACUUACAUAACGUACAUAAUACAUAACUUACAUAAUACAUAAUAACUUAUAACUUACAUAACAUACAUUACUUUGAUAACUUACAUAACUUACAUAAUACACAACUUGUUAAGCUUACUUAAUACAUAACUUACAUAAUACAUAAUAACUUAUAACUUACAUAACAUACAUUACUUUGAUAACUUACAUAACUUACAUAAUACACAACUUGUUAAGCUUACUUAAUACAUAACUUACAUAACUUAUACACGUACAUAACUUACAUAAUUUACUUAAUACAUAAAUAUAUAUCAUAUGAUAUACUUACAUAACUCAUUUAUACUUACCACUCAACAACUUACCCUUGUAAUUUCUGGUGAAAAUCAGACGUCAAGAAAUAAGAAAUGGACCGGUCUUGGAUGAAUUUAUCAAGGGUAAGCGACGAUUAUCGAAAUGGAGUACAGACUUUUCUAAAUUUUGCAUUUCAAUAUGCAAGCCAGGAGAACAUGAUUCUUUGCCCGUGUAAGAAGUGUGUCAACAUAAACUGGCAUUAUCGUGAAGUUGUAUACGAGCAUCUAAUUGUUGAUGGGUUUGUUCAGGGUUAUAAACAAUGGUUUUUUCAUGGAGAAUGCCCGCCUAGUACUUCCUCAUCAAGGAUGGAUGUAUCUUAUGACAGUACUACUUACCAUCAGUCUGUUAGAGGGGAUGACAUAGAAGGGAUGUUGCGGGAAGCAUUUAAUAUUCACAACCAUGGUUUACAGUCGUUCCCAGCCGACUUUGUGGCACCUGAUGAUUGUAAUAUCGAUGGAAAUGCUUUUACCGAACCCGGAAAAAGUGUACAUCAUGAAGAGCCGAAUGGAGAAGUGGCGAAGUUCUACGCGCUACUUAAUGACAUGAAUGAAGAACUGUUUGAGGGAUCAAAAUUCUCGAAAUUGUCUUUCUGUAUUCGUCUUUUUCAGUUAAAGUGUUUGGGAGGGUGGACCGGGAACUCUUUAACAAUGUUGUUAGAGUUUCUGAGAGAGAUGUUUCCGUUUGCAAAAAUCCCUCAAUCAUGCAAAGAUAUGAAGAAAAUGAUAAAAAAUUUAGGUCUUGGGUACAACAAAAUCCAUAGUUGCCCGAAUGACUGCAUGUUGUAUUGGGGCGAUCGAAGAAACCAGCAAUGCUGUCACAUAUGCGGCCAAUCACGUUGGAUAAAUAGAAACAUAGAAGAUGGGAACGAUGAUGAAUAUGAUGCACUGGUAAGAAAGAAGCCGGUCAAGAUUUUGCGGUAUUUUCCGCUCAUACCAAGGCUUCAAAGGCUUUUCAUGUCAUCGAAGACAGCGGAGUCUAUGACAUGGCACCAUGAUGGACGAACCGAUGAUGGGAAUAUGAGGCAUUCGGCAGAUUCUUUAGCUUGGAAAUCAUUUGACAAUAAAUUUCCAAGCUUUGCAAGUGAUCCUAGGAGUGUAAGGCUUGGCUUAGCAUCUGAUGGAUUUAAUCCGUACAAGAUCAUGAGUAUUGUGUACAGUACUUGGCCAGUAGUGCUUGUUCCUUACAAUCUGCCUCCGUGGAUUUGCAUGAAGCAAUCUUCCCUUAUCUUAUCUAUGAUUAUCCCUGGAGAGAAAGGGCCCGGGAAUGAUAUCGACAUUUAUUUACAGCCACUUAUUGAAGAGUUAAAACAAUUGUGGGCUGGUGUCGAGACAUACGAUGUGCUGAGAAAUGAGAACUUUAAUCUACGUGCAGCUUUGAUGUGGACCAUUAAUGACUUUCCCCCUUAUGCCAAUUUAUUCGGUUGGAGUACAAAGGGUCGUUAUGCGUGUCCUUGUUGUGCUGCACAAACAUGUUCGCAAUGGUUGUACAAUGGGAAGAAGUUCUCUUAUAUGGGGCAUCGUCGGUGGUUACCGAAAAAUCAUAGAUUUAGAUUUCAGAGUUCUGUAUUUAACGGUACUGAAGAGUUCAGAGAAGCUCCUUCGCAGACCAGUGGCUCUGAAAUCUUGUUCAUGUUGGAAGAUAUGAAUUUCAUUUAUGGAAAGAUGAACCAACCGCCAAACACGCAAAGAAAUAGAAGAUCAAACGAUGAAGCUGAUGAUGACUCUGAUGAAGAGGACGAUCCUAAUGAGGCGGACUUGUGGAAAAAAAGAAGUAUUUUUUUUGAGUUGCCUUAUUGGGAGCAUCACCUUUUACGACAUAAUCUUGAUGUUAUGCAGAUUGAGAAAAAUGUCUGCGAGAACAUUGUGGGUACAAUUUUGAAUGUCGACGGAAAAUCAAAAGACAAUCUUCAGAGUCGACUUGAUUUAGUACAAAUAGGAAUCCGACCUGAUCUUCAUCCCAAUCCACUUCCGAAUGGAAAAUAUCGGUUGCCGCCAUCUAUUUUUUCAAUGUCGAAGACGGAAAAAGAAGUGUUCUGCACAGUGUUGAAGGAUAUAAAGGUUCCAGAUGCGUAUGCAUCAAAUAUAUCUCGAUGUGUUAGUGUUAAAGAUCGAAGAUUAUAUUCGCUAAAAUCACAUGACUAUCACAUCUUGAUGCAAGAUUUACUGCCAGUGGCUCUACGAUGUUGUAUGUCCAAGAAGGUGACGUCUUGUAUAAUUGAACUAUCCAACAUAAUGAAAGCCAUUUGUGGCAAAGUUUUGGAUGUUCAAGAACUUCAGAAGGUACAGGAUCGAGCCGCUUUGACUUUAUGCAACAUGGAGAAAAUAUUCCCACCUUCCUUCUUCACCAUUAUGGUUCACUUGAUAAUCCAUCUCCCGCACAAAGCAAUUCUUGGCGGACCCGUUUUCUAUCGAUGGAUGUAUCCCAUAGAAAGGUGUUAAUUAAAAUUUUUAAAAUUUUCCUUCAUUCACCUCUAUGCCUUUAGUUUCAAUAAUUAAGAAAUGUUAUAUAUUGUGUUUAGGUUUCUAUCCAAAUUAAAGUCUUACUGCCGCAACAAGCGAUAUCCAAAAGGAUCAAUUGCAGAAGGCUACUUGGCAGAAGAAUGUAUGACCUUCUGCUCAAGAUAUUUGGAAGAUGUUGAAACAAGGUUAAACAGACCAAAUAGGAAUGCUGGACUCACGGACCAUAACUUAGCCGAUACUUAUUUGUUCCAAAGUUUUGGAAAACCAAUCGGUAAAGUUGAAAUUGCAGAAUUAGAUCAUUUAUCGUGGGUACAAGCACAUCGAUAUGUUCUGUUUCACCACGAAUCAUUGGAACCUUUACGGAAGUAAGUUCUACAAAUUUGAUAAAUAUUUAUCAAACUAAUAACUGUUUAUCUUCUAACAAAGUGAACAUUUUUUUAACAUAGUGAGUACAAACAAAUAUUGAGAUCUCGUUCGCGCUCCCGAAGAACACAACAUCGAGAUAUCAAUAAGUUAUUUAUAGAAUCUUUUUAUGAAUGGUUAAGCCAAACGGUAUGCAGUUCGAGCUUCCGUUUACAAAUAAUAAAAUCCGUUUUCUUAUAACAUUUUUAAUUACUCAGUUUACUUUCCAUUCAAUAGGUUUGGAGUGGGAAGAACGUAAAGACGAAGUUAAAUGGCUCUCCCAAGGUCCAAAUCGAGUGGUUAAAAGAUAUAGUGCGUUCCUCAUCAACGGAUUCAGAUUUCAUACAAAAUAUCGCGAGAGGUUGAGGAGAACGCAAAAUUGUGGAAUAGUUGUCAAUUCUGCAAUUACAAGUUAUGCUAGUGCAAGAGACAAUAAUCCUGUCGCGGGAAAUGUGGAAUAUUUCAGACAUCUUACUGACAUAAUUGAGUUGGAUUACUACGGCAAAUGGAAAGUUGUCUUAUUUCGUGGUGAUUGGGCCGAUGUUAAUACAGCUCGUGGAAUUAAGCAAGAUCAAUUUGGUUUUACAAUGGUGAACUUUGACCGAUUGAUUCACACAGGACAACAACUGAUAGAUGAGCCGUAUGUAUUCUCAUCUCAAGUCAAACAAGUUUUUUACUCAAAAGAUCCAACUGAUGAGAGUUGGUACGUUGUACUCCGUAACAUCCCAAGAGACUUGUUUGACAUGGGCAGUGGAAGUAGAGAUAACAUCGACGACAGAUCAGAAACUUUGCCCUUUCCAGAACAAAACUUAAACGAUAAUAUCCCUAGUACUAGUGCACAAUUUCAAUGUGUUCGUCAGGAUACCGAUGAAGAUAUUUACGAAUAAUGAUGUAGUAAGAUUUUACGAUUGUUUAAUUAUAAGUUUUUUUUCAUAAUUUAAAUAUUGGUCUUAUUAUAUAUUUCAACUGUUUUAUAUGUGAUGUUAUUGUUGUAAUUAGUUAUUAAGUUGUCAACUAUUUUAUGUGUAUUGUAGAUAAAAUGCCUAGAAGAAAAAUUCUAAGGGGAAGCAUUGUUCAAAAUGAUCCAAACACGAUAGAAACAAAUAGUACUGAACAACAGACAGCAAUUGGAUCUUCGAAUGUUCCGAUUACAGCUGAUGAUCCUACAGAAGUUCAAAGUAAUUUUACAUUUAAUUUACAUGCGUGUUGACUUAUAGUUGCUUUUUUUCAAAUUCUUAUAUUAUAAUAUACCAUUUGUAGCUGAAAAUGGUGGGACGCGCAGAGGUCGAGGACGUACGCUACUUAGAGAGUUAUACGAGUUAGAUCCAGUCGAGCGUGUCAAAGUUGGACGAAACAGUUUUGGUCAGCCUGUUAGAUCAGAAGCUCGACUUUUAGCAGGAUACAUGGGCAUUUUAGCACGAAAUCCGAAUAUGUUACCUAUCAACUACGACUCAUGGCAUCAAAUGCCCGGUAGCAAAAAAAACCAAGCCGUCGAUAAUAUUAAGGUAACAAAAUGUUAAUGUCAUCUGUAAUGCUUGGGAAAUAGUUUCAUUUAUAUUUACUUUAUUAACUUGUGUUUUUUGUUUUUUGUAGACGAGGUUUGCUUUAGAGGUCUCGGAUGCUUAUGUAAAGAAGGCAUUGGGAAAAAGAUGGAGAGACAAUAAAAGUACUUUGAAGAGAAAUUAUUAUAAGACAAAAACAACCCUCGAUGAGAAAUUGCAAAAUGUCCCGCCGGGUAUGUUGAGGUACCAAUGGGAAGAUACGGUUAGAUUUUGGCAUUCGAAGAAAGGCGAGGUAUGACGUACUUCCAAACUAUUGUAAUUAUUUUGGUAAAUAGUAUUUUCUAUUUACGUACUAAAAAGUUCAUAACGUAGGAUCGUGAACAAGUUGGAAAAAGUAGCAGGCAGAAACAAAAAUUCACCCACACAGCCGGGUCGAGAAGUUUUACAUGUGUAGCUGAGGCGGAGGUAUUUUUAAUUUUUUAAUAUUGUCGAAUAUGUAUAACUUUCUAUUAAAUAAUAUUUUUACUACUAUAUUGUAAGAACUGUCGUUCGGUCAAAAAGUUGGACGCCUUCAACUUUUUGAAAUUACACAUAGGAAGAAAGAUGGAUCUCCCAUGACUCCUGAAGCUGGUGAAAUAAUGAUACGUUUACUUAAUACGAUUUGACUUGUUUUAGUUAUUUAUAGUGUUUAUUUUCUAAUGGUUUAAUUCAUUGCUUGUAAUGCGACUAUUGUUAUGUUGCAUAUGUUUUUUAAUAUAUAAUAUUGCGUUCCUAACUAUGUGAUUUAUUUAUUAGGAAAAACUAAAGGAUAAAAAGGUUGAGUACGAAGCGAUUGCUUCUAGUGAUAGUUCUGUUCAUCUUGAAAACAUUGAUAAUCGGAUUAUUACUGAAGUUUUGGGUCCUAAAAGGUAUGGUCAGGUUCGAUUUCAAGGAUCUUUUGUUAGCCCAACCCAAUAUUUUGGAUCCAGCUCCCACCAAUACAUGGCUUUAGGGAGUCAGGCUCAAGCUGAAGUUCAGAGGUUAAAAGACCAGAUCGCUCAGAUGCAAGCGACCACAGUUGAGGUUCAAAGGAAAUAUGAAGAACUCCAGCUACAACUUAAAGCAGAGGCGGCAGCGAGGGAAGCAGCGGCUGCAGCGAGGGAAGCAGAGGCUGCAGCGAGAGAAGCAGAGCAGACCAAAAAGUACGACGAACUCCAGCAACAGCUUCAGAUUAUGAUGAAGAUGUUUCAGUCGCAACUUCCGCCUUCAUAGUGUAUGGCAUAAAUAUUUUUAUCAUUUUAACAUUUAACAUUUUUGCAAAAUAAUAUGAAUUCACUUUUAUUUAUUGAUAUUAAUAUUAUUUUAUUCGUUUAAUUUGAAAUAUUAUAUAAAUUUAUUGCUUUUGGCUGUUUUAGAUCUGGUUGCUUUUGAUUUGUUGUUACAGGAGGGCUGAAAAAAUGAAAAAUUUAAUAAAAAAAUCCCAAAAAUAGUGGCGUUUUUGUAUAAAAACGCCGCUAAAGAACAUGGUCUUUAGUGGCGUUUUUACCAAAGCGCCCCUAAAGAACAUGGUCUUUAGUGGCGUUUUUUACUAAGCGCCGCUAAAGAACAUGGUCUUUAGCGGCGUUUUUUUGUAAACGCUGCAAAUGUUUGCGAUGUUUUCCUUAGUGGCAUUUUUUGCGGCGCUUGUGGAAGCGCCGCAAAUACCUUUAGUGGCGUUAAAAAGCGCCGCUAAAGGCCUAAAAAAAUGCCGCUAAAGACUUGUUUUGGUGUAGUGGUGUUAAAACGCAUUAUCCUCUUAUUUAUGAAUUAGGAAGUAGUUAUUGGUAGUUCUAGACAUUGCGUAGAAAAUAAUAGAUAUGAUGAGAAUCUAUAUUGAAACUUUUCGAAAAAAUAUAUUUAUUACACAUGAACUAAAAGAAAUUUCUUUAUGGGUAGUUCAAGAAUAUUGUUGAAGCUAUAAAAUAAAAAUUCAAUUGGAUAAUAGAAAUCUCUUUUGUUUAACAAAAUAUUAAUCAUUGAUUGAGUUAAUAUUAUGAGUCAAUCGGACACCAAUUUAAUUAAGAAAUUACGAAAAUAUCAUUCCAUAAUUAAAAUAAAUUAUAUUAUUUGAGGAUAUUUUAAUAUUUUUAUGUCAAAAAAAUCAAUAAAAAUAUAUAUUUAUUUUUCACAAAUAUAUUAUUCUAUCAAUUUUCAUCAACCAAAAAAAAAGUAAUUAAAGUAAAAUUUACCUUUGAUAUACCAGAUGAUUUCAAAGAGAAUGAUUAUAUCAAUGAGUUUAACAAUUAAAAAAUAUAUUUUUUUCAAAGAUUUUAUAAUAUAAAAAAUUUUAAAAAUUUUAUAUAAAAAUUAAAUAAAUAUUUUAAAUGAUAUUUGGACCAAUUUUAAUAAUUAGUUUAUAAUUUAGAGUUGUAGAUAAUAUGGCUGAUAUAUAUAAUGUCUUGGUCAAGUCAUGGUUUUAUAUAUGUUUAUUUGUGAGCCCUACACUCGCAUCAAAUUUAGAUAUCACAAACAUGAUUUAAAACAUUACUAGCUGUGAGCAAUUUAAAGAAAUUUAAUUUCUUUUUUACAAUUUUAAGUUAAUCAAUUAUUUGAUUUUUUUAGGGGCGAAUUCAGAAAAGUUUUUUAGAGGCCGAAAUGAAUUUUUAAUUUUUAAUAGUCUAUAUCUUUAUAUUUUUAAAGGAUUAAAUUAAAAUUUUAUAAUUUUAAGGGGGGCAAAAUGUAAUUUUAUCUCUACUAAUUUAAAACUUUAAGAUUUUUUAAAGGACCUAAAUAAUAAUUUUUCAUUUUAAGGGGGCCGGGGCCCCUACCAACCCUUUAGAUUUGCCUCUGAUAUAUAUAUAUUAUUUAUGUUUUGUAACUCAAAAUUUAGUCAUAUUAUCAAUAAUAUUUUAAUAUGAAAAAUUUACUUUUUAAAAAAAACUUAUUUAACUUGUCUCAAUUAAAUUAAAAAAAUUAAAAUCAAAUUAGAAUAAUAAAAUAAUACCUAUUUACGCGAUUGAAUCUAAUACUCACCUCUCAAUAUUACACCUUUUGAAUCUUCCUAGAUCAUAAAAGGAGAAGUUAUCCUUGGCGUGUGUGUUUUAGUGCUCCUUAUUUCCUUUAAAAACAAAGUUUAUUUAUUCCUUUUUUAUAGAAAUGAAUUGAUAUUUAAACUGCAAAAGAAGAACCACUAUUUGAACAUGUAUAAAUUAAUAUUGUACGCAAAUAUAAACUUUAAUACCAAUUAGAGAAGUAAAAUAAGAUAUUGGUGAAUCAAAUUUAUUAAAUAAUUUAUAUACAGAAUGGAUGAUAUAAUAUUUCUGAAGUCUUCCCUUGGUUGACCAUAAAAGGAGAAGUCAUUGUUUUGUUUUUUGGUAUUUAUUUGUGACCCCUACACACACAUCAAAAUCACAUAUCAUAAACAUUGAUUUAGAAUUAAACUAUAUAAUAUUAGACCUUUUGUAAUCUUCCUAUUGUUGACCAUAAAAGGAGAAGUCAUCCUCUUCUGUCUUUUCUCCCCUUUAACUCUGUGGCUAAUUAUGUCAAAACAAGGUUUUUUUUUCCCUUCUUUGGUAGGAAUUAAAUUAAUAAAGAUUAUUGUAAUUUAAAAUCCAAUUAAAGUUACUAUUUGAACUGGUAUGAAUUAAUAUUGUUAUGUCUAACAUUUAUAUCCAAUAAUUUUUACUAUAGAGAAAAGAAGUAAGAAAAUAAUAUAUGAUGUAAAAUUGUUAAUUUGAGUCUUAACACAGUCGGUAUUUGUAUGUUGUUUAUGUAAUUUUUCUUUCUAGUUAAAGGUUGGAGAGGAGUUAGGGUGAAGCUAGAAAUUUCUUUUUUGGGAGACGAAAUUAAGCUGUAUAUUUUUACGAGAGUUAAAAUACAAUUUUACCAUUUCAAUAGCUUAUAUCUUUACAAUUUUUAAUGGACUAAAGCAAUAUUUUAUCAUUUUUAGGGCUAAAGUACAAUUUUACUAUUUAUUAACUUAAAAUUUUAUAAACUUAAUUUAAAGGGUUAAAUUUUAAAUUUCACAUUUUAAGGGAAGGGAUAAAAACCCUGCUAGGCUCCCCUCUUGCCGCCCCUGAGAGGAUAUAAAGUAAAGCCAUAAGGGUCUAAAAUAUAUGAAUUAUGAGUACUUAUUACACUUGACCAAUUGCUUUUCUUCAAACAAAACAAAAACUAAUGCACAUGAAAAUGCAAAUUCACAUGCAACCUAGAUAUGCAUUCUAUAUACAAUGCAAUGCAAUAAAUAAAUAAACAAAUAUUAUUUAACUAUGGAGUUGCCUCUCCGUAAGCACCUUUGUUUAACAUUUUUGGCUAGAUGUUUUUAAAUGUUAUUUCACCACAGAAUGAUUCGGAUAACAUCUUGACUUAAUAAAAUUGAACAUUAGGAACAACUUAAAAGUCGAGGGAACUUGAGAGUUUUGAUCCCCUUUUGGUUCUUUAACCAACCAUUCUCACCCCUAAUUAUAAUUCCAAUACAGUAAAAGUACGUGAUUGAGUUGAAUGGAUGGUGGUUGUUUGACAUAACAUGUAGAAAGUGAAAAAAUAGUUAAAAAUAAAUCAAGUAUUAAAACUAAAAGUUUAUGAAAGAAAUAAUUUUUUUUCGUUUCCAGGCUUUUACAAAAUCGUGUAGAUUAUUCAUUUUCUUUCUUUUGCUUUUCUUUUCUGACGAAUAAAAUUUAACAAAUGAUAAAAUUGAUCUAAUGUUAUAUAUUUGGUUUAAAAUUUAUGUAACAUAUUAGUAUUUUAAUUAUUUUUCAAAUGUUAUAUAUUUGUUUUAUAAUGGAAACUAAAGUUCGCAUUUAUUUUUUUUUAGGUUUUUUAGGGUGAGUUUAGAUAGGCGGUGCAUUUAUCUACGGUUAGUAUAAAAAUAAAAAUAACGGUAAUAUUAUAUAUUAUAGAGAUAUUAUGGUGUGAGACAAAAAAUAAAUUAAAUACACCGCACCCUACUAUCUAUCCAAACUUAAUUUUAUUAUUUAAAAAUAUAAAUAUUUAAGAUAAAUAGAUAAGUGGGAAAUAUUGAAUGGAAUAAAGUAAUUGAAGCAAUCAAUUGCUAUAUCAUUUCACACACUUUCCCAAAGCCACAUAAGGGGAGAGAAGGGGCCACGCAGCCCUCCUAAAUAGUUGAAAAUAAAUCAAGUAUUAAAACUAAAAGUUUAUGAAAGAAAUUCUAGUAUUAUCAAUUUUUCGUGAGGCUCAAAGCUAUUUGGAACAAAAAUAAAAUCAAUAUGUAUAGGCUUAACAAAAUAGCUAUUAUCUUGCAUUGUUAUUUCAUCCUAACCUCUUCCCUCAUAACUUCAUCUUCUAUUUUCUGUUCGACUUUAUCAAAAGUCUCAAGAAUUUCCUCCCCGUCCUUUUUAACUUCAACGAAACUUUCUAGGGAAGGAAGCUCUAUCGUGAAUGACUUCGGUUCUAGUCAAAGUAAAAUAUAGUUUUUUUAGGUUUUUCGACUAUUUAUGCAUCAAACUUUUAGGACAUUUUGGACAUCUUCCUAAUGUUUUUGGGCUUUAAUCUGUGAAAUAAAUUUAGAUAAAUCUUUCAAGUCACAUCAACAUUUUAUUAAUGAUUUAAUAAAUUAUUAAUAAAAAGAUUUAGGAUUAAUGUACAAAUUUGUCACUAUACUUCAAUUUGAUUGAUAUUUGAUAUUGAAUUUUAUUGCUUUACUUUAAUUUAAUUGAAUUUUGCCACUAAGAUUUUUUUAUUGAAUUUUCUAUUCAAUUUAAUUUUAAAAUAACUUGAAGGCUAAAUUGAAUAAAAAUAGUUUUAUAUUUCGCUUUUAUAUUUAAUAAUUAUCCUCUCAUCCAUGGCAAGGUGCGGAAAUUUGCAGAAUAUAGAAAUGGAGUGAAGAAAAACCGCUUUAGCAGAGGAUAUGAUUAUGUUAAGGAUAUACUGAAGUGUUUGAUUAUUUUUUCCAGAUGAAGUGUUUGACAUUUUAUAUCACUUAAUUAUUUUGGAUUUAUAUGUGAUGUCAGCCUCUACACGUAUACACGUGAAUGUCACCUAUUAGAAAGAAAUAGUAAUUAAAUUCAUAUUUAAUAUAUAUUUUUGAUCUAAUUUUUUUUAAUUCAAUUUAAUUUUAGUUAAAACGUUUAAAAACAUUUAUUUAAUCUAAUUUCUUUAAUAUAUUAAAUAAAUUGGAUUAGAAAAUAUAUUAAAUAUGAAUGAAUACUAUAUCUCUAAAAAUUAAUAUAUUAUUAUUUUAUUGGUGCUUAAAAAAAUUAAAAUAUUUAGAAUCAUUUUAAUAUAAGUUAUUCCCUUGAUAAUAAUAUUUGGUAUUUACACGAGUAAGUUCAAUAGUUGACAAAUAUUUUAUAUAAGUAUAAUAAAAUAUUUAAAAAAAUUAUUUAGUGACUUAAUUUUUUAAGAAUAUUUGAUAAUUCAUAAAGAAAAUAAAUAAUAUUUUAAAAAAAGAGUGAAAAAUGAUAAGUAGAUAAUAUCUAUUAUCACUUACAACAUGUUUGGAUUAAAAAGAAGAAAAAGGGAGGGAAAAUUAAGUAAAUUGAGGGAAAGAAAAUUCGGUUUCUUUGUUUAAGUUAAGUAAAGUUGUUAAUUUUUUAUUAGAUUUUAUAUUUUAGAUUAUUAUCUCUUCUUCUUCUUUUUUUAGCUUGUAACAGCCUUAUUUUUAUUUUCUAUUUGUUUAGGUUACUAGAAAUAUUUAAUUUUAAAUUUGUUUGAUAUAUAUUUUUAAAAAUUUUAACAAUAUUUUUUAUUAACUAUUUUGUUAAAUUAUUAGGAAUCCUUCAUUUGUAAUUUGGUUAAGAUAUUUUUUUUUUUAGUUUGAUAAAAUAAGCUUAUUAAAAAAAAAGAGAAUAUACCAAUAUAUUAUUGGUUAACAUUUUAAUUAUUAUUUUAUAUAGAAUAUUGAUAUUUUUCUAUAAUUUUAAUUUGCUGUGAUUUAAUUUUGUUAUUAUAUAUUAUUUAUGAACUGUUAAAAUUAAAAAAAAUAAAAGUAAAAUAAUUCAUUUUCUUUCCUUUUCAUAGUUUAGCAAAACAAGUCCACAAGCUCGCCUCAUUUGAAAAAAAAAUUAAAUUGUUUAAAUAUAUUUAUCUAUAUAUAUAUAGGGACUAGUUUUAACAAAUGAAAAACAUAAAAACUACAUUAGAAGAAAUGGGGAAGGGAAGAAAACAAAAGGAGAAGCAGAAGAGAAUGAAAUAUAAAGGAAAGUUAAAAGAACAUAAAAAAAUUAAAUUAAAUUGCUCAAAACGAAAAAAAUAUGGGGAUUAGUUGCAUAAAUCAUCCUAAAAUUUUUGUUUGAAAGAUGAUUUAACAUGUCACAUCAGCUUAUUGUUACACGGUUAACAAAAAUUAAUAGCUCAGUGACUAAAAUGUUAUAACGUGAUAACGUAAGUGACUAAAAUGUAACAUUUCAAACAUAAAUAACUAAAAUGUAAGCAAAAGUGGCUAUUUUAAUAGUUUACCCUAACAUUUAUCCAAACAUAAGCUUAAUGUAAACAUUUUUUCAAUUCUUUUUAUUUUAUUUUAUUUUUUACCAUUAUCCUUUAUCCUUAUUUUAGAAAAAAGUAGAAUUAUUUUUCAAAAUUAAUUUUAAGCAAUACAUCAAAUAGAUUUUAUAACUUAAAUGUAAUAUUUAAUUUUAUAAUAUUUUUUUAUCAAACAACAUUUACUCCUAAGUAAAUAAAUAAAUAAAGGCCUUGUGUAAUUAAGAAAGUUGAGAAAGGGCUAAUCCUCACAUGGUAAAAAUUGGCUACAAUAAUGAAGGAAAGAGAAAAACACUUAGGAAUGUGAAUGAGCAUACCCCACACACAUACUAUUUACUGUCAACGGUGAUGGAUGAAUUGUCUACUAUACAUGGAUUUUUUUUUUUUUUUGGUUCUUGUCCUGUAUUAUUUGGGUUUGUGAUCCCAUGUAAAAUUCCAGUCACUAUUUCAUAGCAUUUAAAAAAAAUUAUUUAUUAUCAAUUGAGUAUUAGCUUGAUUGGUAUAAGUAUUAUUGUCAAUGUAUGAGAACAUAGGUUCGAGUGUAUUAAAGCUUAUUAUCUUUUUAUUUAUGGAUUAGAAAGUGAUUAUUGGUAGUUCUAAACAUUGUGUUGAAAAGAAUAGACAUAAUCAGAAUUUAUGUUGAAAUUUUUCAAAAACAAUUAUUUAUUACACAUUAAUUAAAAGAAAUCUCUUUAUGGGCAGUUCAAGAUUGUGAAGUUAUAAAAUAAAAAAUUCGAUACGAAAACAAAAAUCUCUUUUGUUUAACAAAAUAUUAAUCAUUGAUUGAGUUAAUAUUAUGAGUCAAUCAAACAUCAAUUUAAUCAAGAAAUUACGAAAAUAUUAUUUUAUAAUUAAAAUAAAUUAUAUUAUUUGAGGAUAUUUUAAUAUUUUAUGUCAAAAAAAUCAAUAAAAAUAUGAAUAUGAUGGGAUUUGAAAUAAAAUCUUGAAUUUACCACUCAACCAAAACUUUAUUUUAUCAUAUUUUAUACAUUUUUAUUUUAAUACGCACAAUUUAUUAACUUCAUCAGUUGUAUAUAUAUUAAUAAAUUUAUUGAUUGAGUUAAUAUCACAAGUCAACUCGACACUAACUGACAAUUGACGACAACACUUUGAUAGACAGUUGUAUUGCGUUUAAUUAGUAUUUUUAAUUUGAUGUAUUUAUAUGUUUAAAUUUUAUUUUUGCUCCCAAAUUAAUUUAAUUUUUUAUUUUAAUGCCAUACAUAUUUUAUAUAUUCUUAUAAUUAAUUAUCUUGAAACCAUAUGUUUCAUUAUUUACUUCUUUCUUUUAAGCAUGCAUCUGUGUUUCAAAUCUAAACAUGGUUGAUUAUGUUAAUUAAUGUUACAAAUUGAGAAAUUUAUUAAAAGUAUUGAAAUCUUCACAUCUAACCUACUUUUAUCAUGUUUGGAAGAUGCUAUUGAUCUUCUUCAAGUGGUUUUUCACAAAUAUAUUAUUCUAUCAAUUUUCAUCAACCAAAAAAAAAAGUAAUUGAAGUAAAAUUUACCUUUGAUAUACCAGAUGAUUUCAAAGAGAAUGAUUAUAUCAAUGAGUUUAACAAUUAAAAAAUAUAUUUUUUCAAAGAUUUUAUAAUAUCAAAUAUUUUAAAAAUUUUAUAUAAACUUAAAUAAAUAUUUUAAAUGAUACAAUUCGACCAAUUUUAGUAAUUAGUUUAUAAUUUAGAGUUGUAGAUAAUAUGGCUGAUAUAUAUAAUGUCUUGGUCAAGUCAUGGUUUUAUAUAUGUUUAUUUGUGAGCCCUACACUCGCAUCAAAUUUAGAUAUCACAAACAUGAUUUAAAACAUUACUAGCUGUGAGCAAUUUAAAGAAAUUUAAUUUCUUUUUUACAAUUUUAAGUUAAUCAAUUAUUUGAUUUUUUUUAGGGGGCCGAAAUGAAUUUUUAAUUUUUAAUGGUCUAUAUCUUUAUAUUUUUUAAAGGAUUAAAUUAAAAUUUUUAUAAUUUUAGGGGGGUCAAAGUGUAAUUUUACCUCUACUAAUUUAAAACUUUAAAAUUUUUUAAAAGACCUAAAUAGUAAUUUUUCAUUUUAAGGGGGCCGGAGCCUUACCAACCCUUUAGAUUUGCCUCUGAUAUAUAUAUUAUGUAUGUUCUUUAAAUCAAAAUUCAGUCAUAUUAUCAAUAAUAUUUUAAUAUGGAAAAUUUACUUUUUAAAAAAUUUAUCUUGAACAAACUUAUUUAGCUUAACUCAAUUAAAUUAAAAAAAUUUAAAUCAAAUUAAAAUAAUAAAAUAAUACUCAUUUACUCGAUUCGAUCUAGUACUCACCUCUCAAUAUUACACCUUUUGAAUCUUCCAUGACAGAAGUUAUCCUUAGUGCUCCUUAUUUCCUUUAAAAACAAAGUUUAUUUUUUCCUUUUUUAUAGAAAUGAAUUGAGAUUUAAACUGCAAAAGAAGAACCACUAUUUGAACAUGUAUAAAUAAUUUAUAGUUGAUAGUUAUAUACAGAAUGGAUGAUAUAAUAUUUCUGAAGUUUUCCCUUGGGAGAAGUCAUUGUUUUAUGUUUUUUGGUAUUUAUUUGUGACUCCUACAAAUUAUAUAUAAGAAAUUCUAGUAUUAUCAAUUUUUUGGAGGCUCAAAGCUAUUUGGAUCAAAAAUAAAAUCAAUGUGUAUAGGCUUAACAAAAUAGCUAUCAUCUCAUCCUAACCUCUUCCCUCAUAACUCCAUCUUCUAUUUUCUGUUAGACUUUGAGAGUUCAAUUACGAAAAGGGAAGUGUUUUUUUCGGCUCUUAAUGUAAUUGAUAGUAGGCUAGGAAAUAAAGAUUAUUCGUUUGUUUGUUUAAGCCUGAUUUUGACUUGUUUACUAUAAUUAAAUUAUCACUUCAAUAUAUUUUUAUCAGUUUGAUUUAUGUACUUUCAUUCUAUGUACUUCGUUAUCUUAUUUAUAUUUUUUAGAAAAAAAAUUUUCUAUCUAAUUAAAUGCUGUCACCUAUGAAAAAAUUUAAAAUUCCACUGAAGUAUAUAAAAAUUCAUAAAAAUCGUAAAAAAAGCAUAGAACUCUAAAGAAAUUAAUAAAAUUUUAUAAGCACAAAUUUCCAAAAUUAAAAUUAAAAUAUUUUAUUAAAAUUUUUAAAUUUUUUAAAGUUUCAUAUAUUUAUUGUUUAAAAAUUAUAUCAUUUUCAAAAAAAGAUUAUGAAUUUUUUUAGGUAUUUUAAAAAUAUUUUUCUAAGUCUUAAGAUUUUAUUUUUUGCAUUUUAUGAUUUCUUUUUUGGAUUUUUAAUGGUUUUUAAAAUUUUAUAAUAUUUUCUAAAAUGUUUUAACUAUUUUGGUCGUCCAGGUUUUGUGAAUGAAGCGAAGGGUAUCUUUAUUGUGGUGAACUUUUAAUUUACUCAAAACGAAGUGAUUUAUUACGUUGUGUGAUUUGCAGAUAAGUGUUAAAUAUGAAAUGUGUAAGGCCCAAUAUUUGCCCGGCCCGUAAUAAAUAAACCAAAUCAAAAUUUAAAAAGUCCAAAGUCCAAAAUUACAAAAAUCUAUCAGACCCAAAAUAUAAAUCGAGCCCAUUUAUAAAUGGCCCAGUACAAACCCAAAUUACAGCUAGCCCAAUAGCCAAAAUCAGCCCAGAUUUUUUCAUUUUGCAGAAACCCUAAACAGUUUCAGAGGUACCAGGCGCCGCAGCCAAGCCCUCGCACAUGCCCCACGAACCACGCUUCCAGCGCCUCUCCCCACAUACACCUAGCCACGUCCCUGACACCGUACGGCCGUACCUGCAGCAAACGCAAACGAAAAACGCAGCAGAGAAAGAAAUUGUAUUUUUCAUUUUUAUUAUUUUAAAACGAAGGGAUAUAAAACAGGAGAAACCUUUUGUAUUUGAGGGGGGAUUGAUACGCAAUAUCAACACACGCAUAUUGUAUCAGAAAAACGAAAUCAAUACAGAAGAAAGGUUUUCUUUUUCUCUUUUCUCGAUUGGGUUCCUUUUUCUUUGGCUUUUCUUUUUUCUGUUUUGCUGUUAGCCCUAUACAUAAGCAUAUACAUAUAAUAAAAGGGAAAGGAAGUACUUACCUCGGUGACCCUGUCGUCGUUCUCAUCGGUUUCGUGGAUACCAAAGAGGCUAGGUAUGGUUUUAGCCUGAGAACGGCGCAAGGGGAGAGGGGAAAGGCAAAGUUUUUUUUCUGCUAUUUUUUUAGUGGCCGAAUAACCUUGUUUAGGGUUUUAAAAUUGGUUUUUUUUGGGUGUUGAAACGGUGUCGUUUGGGGCCUGAAUCAGUGGCCACCAAAACGACGUCGUAUUUGUAUACCCGCACGUCCAACCCGACCCGGACCAGCUAGAUUCGCGCGUUUUGGCCUCUGGUGGUAUAUUUUCGCACUUAGUCCCUUGCCUUUAAAGCGCAUCCAAAUCAAUCUUUUUAUUUUUUUAGAUUUUGCCUGAUAUGUCACUGUUGUUUCAUUUUGGUCCCUUCUGCCAAUAUGCGUUUUGAAGGGCAGGGAAUAUUUCCCAUUUAAUCCCUCAUGUAAUGCGCAGGCUUCAUUUUGCCUUUUAAUUUCCUUUUAAUUUAUUUUCUUUUUUCGAUUAAGCAUUAAAUCCAUUUUAAUCUCUAUUUUAGUUUGUUCAUAUUAAUUAAUUUAAAUAUUUUGGUUCUGUUUUCUUUAAUAUAUUUCAGUUUAAUCUAAUGUUAUUUUAAUAAUUCAACUUAUUAGUAUAAAUUCAUUAUUGGUAUUAUUUAAAUCUAUUGAACCAUUAUUCUAAAAGUUUUCUUUCGUGUGUUAUUUUAAGUUUUCAUAUAUUAUUAUUAAAAUUUAAUACUUAUUAUUUUUAUGAUAACUAAAUAUAAUUUGUACAAUUCUAUAGUUUUAUAAUAUUUAUUUUUAAAUUUAUUGGGAUACUAUUAUUUUAUGAAGUAUUUGUUUUUAACUAUAUUUUUCAUUUAUUUCAAACUUUCAUGUGUAUAUAUAUUAUUUUAAACUUAUUUUAAUAUAUAAUUUCCCUUCUUUUAUGUUACUUUUUUUGUUUUUGUUAUUUAAAAAAAAACUUGUUACAUUUUAUUUAAUUCGCUUGUUACCCUUUUUUAAUAUUAACUUUUUAAUUCAUUUUGCUUGCUAAUAUGGAUGUUAGUAUUUGCAUAAUGUAGGAUAUAAAAUUGUUGCUCUUUUGUAUAUGAUAUUGUUUAUUCAUAUAUUAAAUUUUUGUUAUUCAUUAGUGUAUGCUUUAGUUUACGAAUAAUCAAUUCGCAUAGUACAUUAUUAUACGAUCGUUUUUAUUUAUUCAAAAGAUUACAAAUUACAAAGUUAUUCUAUUCAAAAACUUUCAAAAAUACUCGAAGUUUGAAAUCCUCGAGAGAAUUGAGCCCUAACGUAUUGGGUUCCAAUUUUUUUCGUCGAGUCUAAAUAAUUGAACAUUUUUUAACAUACAAAUUUCAAAUAACCCAUUCUCGGGAAUUCAACACGUUGUGUCCUAACGUAUUGGAUAUGACAUGUUAUUUUCUCGAGACGAGGAUUUUAAAAAAAUAAUAAAUAAAGGCAAUGUUCGGUAUUUGGAAAUUUGGUGAAAUCGAACCCUAACUUACUGGGUUUUGAUCUUCUCUUUUGGCCCAAAUAAUUAGAUAUCCUUCUCAAAAUGCAUAGUUUUAAAAAUCAAAUUUAACUUCAAAAUAAAAGGAUUGUAUUUUAAAUUUUUUUUCAAAAUCUCGACAUUAAGACAUUGAACAAUCAAUUUGGUACCAAUUUUGGGCGUAUCGAGGGUGCUAAUCCUUCCUCGUGCGUAACCGACUCCCGAACCUAUUUUUUUGAAUUUCGUAGACCAAAACCGUUGUUUUAAUAAAAUCAAAUCGUUUAUUAAAAACAACCACUUUUUAAGGUGAUCCGAUCACACCUUAUCAAAAAAAGAUUGGUGGCGACUCCCUUUUUCCGUUUCCGUUUUCAAAAUCCAAGUCGACCCCGUUUUCAACAAAGAAAUGGUGUCUACAAAAUGAAUUGUUGAAUUUGAAAACAAUGGUUUAAUAUUGCAGGGAUUUCCAGCAUUAUCAUAAAUUUUAGUGAAUUUAGAGACGAAAUCAGAGUUCCACUGAGUUUUGUUCAAAUCUGGGGAUUUCAUCGUCAUAUAGGGUCGAUUUGGAUAUCUAGGAUACAAAGCUUCAUAUCAUUGAUGUUCGGUGGCCAUGGGUAUAUGUUGAUUUUGAGUUUAUCGUUGCCCCAUAAGUUGGUUGCACUAAAAAAAAAGGGUAUUACCAAUGCUAAAAAUUGUUACUAAAAUUUUAUUGUAGCAAUAAAAGUUGUUGCGGGAUUGUUGUGUAUAUUUUCGUUGUUUAAAGUAUACGCAACUCUACUCAAUUAUGUAAUAUCUACUCUUAAAUAUGGUCUAUUUAACUACAUAUUUAAGCACAUCAAACACAAAUUAAUAAUUUAGAAAUAUCAAACCAAGAAUUAAUCACACAUAAUUGGGAACAAUAAACUAAGUAUUUAUUGCAUAAAAUAAAAAAAAUGAUAGAAUCCAUCAUAGGGUUCAUUUCCCUAGGUAUUUAGAAAAUUAGUUCAAGCUUGAAAAUAAAAACAUCCAAGAUAUAGUAUAACCGAAAGAAAUAAAAAAAUUCAUGAUAAUCUCCUAGGAAAUCAACUGAGAAUCUUCAAUCUUGACGUAAAUUUGUUUUCAAGAUGGCUUCAAUGGCAUUUUUCGAGUUGCUUUCUUGAAUAUUUUAUGACGGCUCUCUCAUAUACUUUCUUAAUUUUUCACAUAUACGUUUCAUAAUGCCCCAAAAAUCUAAAAAUCUUGAUUUUACAUUGUUUGUGUGGCAAUUCCAUGAAAUUGACAUAGCCUACCACACACUCGUGUGGGUCACAUGACUAUGUGGUUUGCUCAUGUGAAAUUUAGAAAAUGUAAAAGAUUCCCUAUGCACCAUCUAUUAUGAGUCUACUAUAUGCUCAAAUAUGUAUGCAUCCGUAUAUUGCAUAUAUUGUUGGGAUGUUAGGCAAACAUUUAAGCAACUCUAGUAUAGGCCAUUAGAUAACAACCAAGAGGGUUAUGAGGUAUCUUUAGAAAACAAAAUAUUACAUGCUCACAUAUUGGAUGUUUGAUAAGUUAGAGAACAUCAAGUAUACAAACUCCAAUUUUGAUGAAAUAUUGAUGCAAAAUUUUGUCACUAGAGUGCAAAUUGUAACAAUAGUUAGUAGUCUUUUAUUCCAAUUGUACAAGCCCAAAUUUGCCCGAGGCCCAAAAACCCAAUACACCCAAACCUCAGCCUAAUUACAAAUUUAACUCAGCAGACCCAACCCAACACCGAUGACCAAACCUCAAUCCAAUAGCACCUAGCCCAACAAGAUUAAACCCAAACCCGAGGCCCAAUAUCCAACCCAAAAAAAAUGAAGGCCCAGUAGCCCAAAAUGUUUGAGACUUUUUCAGAAAAAAUGAAACCCUAGCCUACUGCCUAACCCUAGCCGCCUCUGCCUCCUCUGACAUCUUCUAGUCUGGCUGCCGCUCGUAGCCUCUGCCACCGCCACCUCUGACGCCGAGCCGCCCAUCAAUCACCUACUCCAUCAACGUCAACACCUGCAAACAAGAGAAAAAGCAAUAGCAAAUAAUAGCAAAAAUAUUGUAAAAAAAUGGCUAUAAAGCCAUAACCACCACUGUAAACGGGGUUCUUCCCCCCCCGAUUUUUGUAUAAAAAAAUAUUAGCAGGGAAAUAAAGGAAAAAAGAUUGAAGGUGAUUUUUUCUUUUCUUUUCUUUUCGGUUUUGUAGACCUGUUUUUCUGUUCUCUUUUCUUUUUUCGUUUACACGUAUGUAAAUAAAGGUAGUAAAUAAAAGGAUAGAAUGAAGACUUACCCAUUUCGCCUUUCGGUUACGCCGCCGUCGGGGUCUGCUCAUAAUUGAAAUCGGCCCGAAAGAUCGAGUUAGGGGGUCCUUUGUCUUAAUUUUUGGGCCAAACGAAUCUAGCCUUCGAUUGGGUCUUAAAACGGGGACUAGAAUGCCCAUUUUGCGCAACGCCGGCCACCGUCCACGGUGGCGCUAUGGCGGUGCUAAGAAGACCCAAAGGCCGAACGUUUGAGAGGGAUGAGGAAAGGUUUUUUUUUGUUUUUUUUUUAAAUUAGUGGCCGAAAUGUUUUUUUUGAAGAAAAUAUGGCUUAAAUACCAUUUUCGAAAUAACAUCGUUUCAAUUUGGCCCUCCAGAUGCCAAAACGGCGUCGUUUUGAAAGGGGCCGGUUCUACUCGACCCGUUUGGCCAGGAUCCGCGUGUUUUAGCCUUGAGGGGUUAUUUAUGCGGGGAGUCCCUCCGCUUUUGCAGCGUAGCCGAUAUGAUCCUUUUUGGUCUUUUUGUUAUUUGGCCCGCGAAUUUUACCUCUAUUUCGAUUUGGUCCUUAGACCAUGUGCUGCCCCUAGUCGAAACGCAGCAUUUUAGGACUGGGAAAUAUUUCCCCACAAGUCCCUCACGCUUUAAGCGCGUUUUACUUCAGUCCUGCACUAUUCCUUUUGUUUGUUUGCAUAUUUAAACCCCGAAGUUCGUUUCAAGUUUUAAUUUAGUCCUUUUGUAUUUUGUUUAUUUUCUUAUUAAGUAAUAAAUUUGAUGUUAUACUGUUAUUAUUAAUUAUAAUAAAUAUUAUUUGCUCAUUUUUACCUUUAGAAUUUCAAAAUUUAUCAUAUAUAUUUGUAUAUACUUAUUUUGAUAUUUUGAUAUUUUAUAAUUUAUAUCUAUAUAUCUAUAUACAUAUUUAUACAUAUAUACACAUACCUAUAUGUUUUAUAUUUUCAUAUAGUUUUUAUAUACAUAUAUAUUCUUAUAUGCACAUGCUUAUGUUUUUUUAUACUUUAUAUAUAUACACCUAAACAUGCAUAUUUUUUUAUAUGUACAUACAUUCAUAUAUUUUAUAAUUUAAGUACAUAUACAUAUAUAUGUACAUAAACUUUAUUAUUAUUAUUUUUUUUGUAAUUUAUAUUGUUAUUAAUUGUUUUAUUUGAUAUUUAUUUAUUUGCUCAUCUUUAUUUUUAUGAAAUGCUUUAGUUCUUUUUACAUUAUUUUUAUGAAAUGCUUUAGUUCUUUUUACUUACUCAUUAUUUCAUGUAUAAUUGUUUUUUUUAUAUAUGUGUCCUUUUUAUUGUUGCUCGUAUUAUUUUACUUACAUUAUCAUAAUUGUCAUUCCAUUACGUCAAUUUUCACCCAAAUUCAAAAAAAGAAAUUUUAAAAAUAUAAAUAAUACUCGGUAUUUGGGAUCUUCGAGAGAAUCGAGCCCUAACGUAUUGGGUUCCGAUUUUCUUCGUUGAAUCUAAAUAAUCGAGACUACUCUUUUUUAUAUAUAAAAAAACAUAAAUAAAAGCUCAUUAUCGGGAAUUCAAUACGUUGUGUCCUAACGCAUUGGAUAUGAUACAUUGUUUUCUCGAGAUGAGGAUUUUUCUAAAAAAAUAAAAAUAAGGCAAUGUUUUGAGUUUGGGAAAUUCAAGAAAACGUGCCCUAAUGUGCUGGGUUUCGAUUUCUCGUUUAGCCAAAUAUUCUCUUAAAUCUUAAUCUAUGUCAUUUAAGUUUUUUUAGGAUCGUAUUUUAAAUCUCUUUAAAAUUUUCAGUUUUUCGACACUAAGAUAUUAAGUGAUCAACUAGGUACCAAUUUUGGGCGUAUUGAGGGUGCUAAUCCUUCCUCGUGCAUAACCGACUCCCGAACCCAUUUUUCUGAAUUUCGUGGACCAAACUUGUUGUUUUAAUAAAAUCAAAUCAUUUAUUAAAACAACCACUUUUUGAGGUGAUCCGAUCACACCUUAUCAAAAAAGAUUGGUGGCGACUCCCACUUUCGUUUUCAUUUUUCAAAACCCAAGUCGACCCCGUUUUAUCAAAAAAAUGGUGCCAACAGCUUGGCGACUCCACUGGGGACCCAAGAACGAGAGUCAAGCCACGAGUUGAUUAUUUUUUUAUUUUUUUGUCGAAAAUCAAAAAAUUAGUUUAAACAUACGAUCCUUUCGUUGCAUUUCAUUCGUCUUUAUUAUGAUCUUCAUCAUUAUAGUUUAUAAUUGUUGUGUUAGUUUAAGUUUUGGUAUCAAUUUGUACAUUGCAUUGCAUAACCGUUGGUCACACCCUUCUUAGUGGGAGUGAGAAACUACGCUUUCGUGAGGUUUUCACCUCUGCAUAGGAUAGUGAAUCGCUUCUGGUAUAUAUCCGUACCUAUGUUUUCGUGAGAUUUUCAUCUCCGCAUGGCCAUAGGGAAAUGUAUUCCCCUGAACUGAACUCAGUCUGCAUGAGCCUAUAAUGGGUCAGGACCGAGGAAUCUGCUGGUUCAAGUACCCCUUACUUUAGAGCCGAACCGCAUGUAAUGAGCCCUAGGAGCCUACCCUAGGUAGAACCACACCAAAUACCUAGAGGUCACCUGAAAACUUGGUUUAAAUUUACGAUCAUUUUGUUGUAUUUCGUCCGUUUUGGUAUGAUUUUCAUUACUUCGAUUUGUAAUUACUCUAUUGGUUUGAAUUCUCGAUAUGUUUCUGCGCAUUGCAUUACAUGACCACUCAGUUACACCCUUUUAAGUUGGAGUGAGAAGCUACUCCUUUGUGAGGUUUUCACCUCCGUGCAGGAUAGUGGAUCACUUUUGGGAUACAUCUGUACCUAUGUCUUCGUGAGAUUUUCAUCUCCGUGCAGCCAUAGGGAAAUGUAUUCCCCUGAACCGAACUCGGUCCGUAUGAGCCUAUAAUGGGUGAAGAUCGAGGAAUCGGCUGGUUUGGGUACCCUUUCUUUAGAACCAAACCACAUGUAGAAGACCUUAGGAGCCCACCCUAGGUAUAACUACUUUGAACCCCUAGUAGUUACCCGAAUAGGUGCUCUUUUUGUUUUUUUUUCUUGUUUACUUUUGCUUUGUACUAACCUGUUUUGUUUUGGUUAUAACUGCAUUGCAUUUUCAUCAUAGAAAAGAGGUGUUGAUUCAAAUUUGAUUGCUAAAUAGAAAAGCUUGUCAUGGAAAACGAAUUUCUUGAUAAAGUAGAAUAUGAUGCGACUGUCUGAUUAUGGACUAAUUAAACACAACAAGAGAAGGUUAGAAGUUUGUGGAGGAAUAUACGACUAUGCUUCACUGCCUGAGGAUUCAAACCGACAAAGAUCAUUCGAGAGUGGUCACGAAACUAAAGAGCAUCGUAAGGGAGCAAUGGGUCGUGGCUCAGAUCAAUCAAAAAAGAAGAUAGUAAAGGUAAAUUUUGGGAAAUUCGCAAGAUUUGAUCCUAACAUCUGGAUAUGAAGAAAAGAUCAAUGUCUUCGCCAGGAAUAUGGGGGCAAAGCAGCAGAUGUAAUCUAUUUUAUGUAAAGAAAUUUAUUCUCUAGAAAAGUUGUUCUAAUGGAAUUGAAUUAGGAAUCAAUGCCUCUCUUUCUUUUUGCAUUCAUUUCACGCAUUUGUAUUAUAUAACAUCACAUGCAUUAAGGACCAUCAAAAGACUCUAAUUGAGUAAAAUGAUUUCAGCUAAUCUAGAGAACCAACACCCUUACGGAAUCCGAGCAAAAACUAAAAGAAUGGACCAAAGAUUGGAGAGAUUAAAACAAAGGCAAAUACAGAUGCAAGAGCAAUUUACCAAAUUUCAACAAGAUAUGAAGGAUCAGAUGCUAGAAGUCCAAAGAAAUCUGAUGAGUCAGUUAACCCAGUUAUUGGAUAGAGGGUUAGAAAAAGGAAAAAACCCAGUGGUCCAUUUUGGAGAUAAUGAUGAAGACCCUGCUCAUUUUCUAGGUUUUACCCCAACAAACAUCCAAGCACAACUAAAUGCAUGUCCACAAAAGGUAAAUGUUAACAUCUGACCACAAUACCAGACCAGUACCUCGACACCGGUGAAUUUCACGACAGGCUCAGGUUACAACCUUAGGGGAAAUCUAACUAGUCCCGUUGUCCUUGAUGAUCUAGCGGGAACAAAACAGGUGAGAGUAGAGCUCUCAAAACCAUUUGGAGAUCGUUACAAACAGAAAGGGCAAGAGUGGAAUCCUCAAAUCAAUACUUCGAGGGCCCCGAGGAAGAGGAAAGAUGACGUGAAUGAUGUGAGUAGGUAUAAUGAGGGUUAUUCAAAGCUGAUUACAACAAGCCAGAAAAGGACGGUUGAUUCUAGCCAUCAGAUCUCCCAGAGCAAGAAUUCGGCACAAAGUAAAACAUUGAGAAGUCCAAAUUUGUACCAAUCUCAAUGUCAUUUCGGGAGCUGUAUCAUAAUUUAUUUAACGCACACAUUGCCUCCCCUUUCUACUUGAAGCCUUUACAACCUCCGUACCCCAAAUGGUACGACACGAAUGCACAAUGUGACUAUCAUGCAGGAAUUACGGGGCAUUCAAUAAAAGAUUGCGUUGCCUUUAAAAAGGUGGUUGAAAGGCUCAUCAGUAUAGGCAUUGUCAAGUUCGAUACAAAAAAAUCUGCUGCCUAAUCAUAUUGAUAAUCGGGGUGAAUGCGAUGAAUGAGGAAAUAUUGGGAAACGUUCAAAUUAACGCUGUGCGAAGAAACAACUGAAGAAGGGACCUUGUUAGAUAUUUACCCGUACAUACUUAGGGGUGUUUUGAGCAAUGAGACUGUGGAAGAGAUCCCUGUAUUUUGUAGAGCUAAUUCGGAGUAAUAUCCAAAACACGCUUAUUGCUUUAAGCCUAGGGGCAAUAAGAAUCCUUUUGUGAGAUAGGCUUAUGUCCAACAUCUUUAUUUCAAUAAAAUGCAUCUUUGUUUCUCACUUCGAGCAAAUUUUUAUUCUUAGAUUCUUUUAUUCUUUGGAUAUACUUUCGUCCCUAUAAUAGGUCUUCAGAUAUCAAUGAUAUGAGCGACACUGCUAUUGACUCAGAACCUCCUUUUGAGCAAGAUAUGUGUCCAGAUUAAACUUCAAAACUUUGGAGAUAACUAAGACUGUAGCUUAUCUCUUAGUUUGUUAAGGACGGGAGAACAAGAUCCUACCUUACAAAGAAUCAAUGGAAGCCAUGGCCUUUCUCUAGAUGGGGCACGGAUGUCAUUAGGCCAAUCUCGUCUAAGGUUUUUGACGGCUAUCUUUAUAGUCAUCGAUUACUUAACUAAGUGGGCAGAAGUUGCUUCAUAUGUCAAUGUCGCAAAGUUAACAGUCUGUAAAUUCUUGAAAAAUCAUAUGUUAGUAUGGAAUGUCAAAAAGGAACAUAUCUGACAAUACACUAAAAGUGAACAACGACACAAUAUCAGAAGUUUGCAGUCUGUUCAAGGUUAACACAUUUUGCCCUAGAAUGUACGGUGCAGUGGGAGCAAAAACAAAACAAAAAAGAGGAAAAAUUACUGCAGGGGCAACACAUUGGCUUAGCGCAGUUUUGCUCAUUGAGGUCAAGAUUCCUUCCCUCCGAGUGUUGGAUCAGAUCCCGAUUGAAGAGAAAUGUUCAAAGUUAUCCGUCUGGGUCAAAUACACCAAAAAUAAAAGAUGCGAGCUCAUCAAAGAAGGUUCACCCUAAAGAGUUCCAUGAAUAGAACCUAACAUCGAAGAAAAUCCUCCCCAUACAAAAGGGACUUUAUAAGAAAGAGGAUCUGGAAAAGUGUUGAUUUCGACCAGAAAGGAUAGCAAGGACUUACCUAAUCCUACGAGUGCGGAUUCAAUCAAAGAAUGUAAAAAAAACAAACAAACAAACGAAAAGAAAAAGAAAAGAAAAGAAGAAUGAAAAAAGAAAAAGGAGAGGCCAAGAUGAAAACCCGCAAAGGGCGCCUUGAGACCAAAGGGGUUUUGAAUUGAAAACCCAGGAAUGGGUAGUUCAAAUUUUGAUCAAAGGUGGGGCAUGCGGUGGCCUUGUCCUCUCUGAAUUAGCAAGAAGGUGAGACGCUACAUCUCAGGCUAUCAACAAAGUCUUUUAGGACUUCUAGACACAUAUCAAGUUCAAAAGAGUCCUCAAGAAGCUUAUACAGAAAAGCUCAUGUUGCGAUAUCUGGGGCACCUGUUUCCAUUUUAUUCAUUUUUAUUUUGGCAAAAUAUGCCAUCUUGAUUAAUUUAUUCUCAUUUCGUAUCUUAGCAAAUUUACUAUCUUGAUUAUUUAUUUCGAGCUUUGUUCUCAAUAAAAUUUCAUCUUGUCCAUUGUGAUAAUCCUUUUCAUCUUAUUCAUUUUGAAUCUUAGCAAAAUUCGCUGUUCUGCUUAAUUUAUUUGUUUAGAGCUCUGCUCUCAAUAAAAUUUCAUCUUUCCCACUAUGAUAAUCUUUUUCAUCUUAUCUUAGCAAAAUUUGUUAUCUUGAUUAAUUUAUUCAUUUUGAGCUUUGUUCUUAAUAAAAUUUCAUCUUAUCCAUAUUGAUAAUCUUUUUCAAGCAUUUUACAUUGAAAUAACGAUUAAUUGACUGAAUAUUCAAGCAAAAGAAGUUUUGCAUAUUACUCUGAAAGUUUCUAAAUAAUACAGGAACCUGAAAUAGGACUAUUGUUUAGAGCAUACCAAUAAAGGGUGAAAUGUCUAAGAAGGAAAAGUCUAAAUUAAGACUAUCCUUUCGAAUUUUGUUGUCCAAGCAUGAAUUGAACAAAACGAAAAAAUGUCGAGAUGGUGACAAAGUUUCAAUGAACAAACGAGCAAUGAUCACCGAGUUAUAAAAAGAGGUUUUUGGAAGAAAAAAUUCCACAAUCGUGCAUAAACAUUUGGUAUGACACCUUGGGAAUGGUGUAGAAGACUAAAGAGAUUCAGAUACUGUAUCCCUGAAUUACAGUGGGAGAGGAUUGAGAAAAGUCAGAUCUUAUACUCAGUGGGAGGAAGAUGGCUCGAAUUUUAUGCCCCAAAAUUACCAUGGACUUAACCUUGAAGAUUACAACGGAUUGAACUCUGAAGAUUACAGUAGGGGGCAAUCUGGCUAAGUAAGAGAUGAGUGUUACCAGUCGAGCAAGAUAGCAUUCUGAUAUGUUGGUAAUAAAACCUUAUUGAAUAACGAGCAAUAACAACCCUAACAUUAAAAAGGGAUCAUUCUCAUGACAUUCUGCAUUCAUGCAAAUAUAAUUCACAUACACACCUAGUUAGGAGCAUUUGAUUCGUUCUGAUCAUAAUAUCCUAAUCAUUAGGCAUAAAUAGAUUCAUAAAAUGGACUUUACAGGUCAUGUUCCCCAGAGAACAUAUUAAUAAAGUUACCCAUACCCCUGAAGUUGCAAUGGGAUGAAUUGAAGUUGUCAUGUCAAGUCUUAUCUCUCAGAAAUUAUAGAGGAGUGGACUAGAGAUAGCAGAUCUUAUCUUCCUGUAUUUGGCAGCGAAGUAGAUCGUAGAUAGCAGAUCUUGUCUUCCUGUAUUUGGCAGCGAAGUAGAUCGUAGAUAGCGGAUCUUGUUUUCCUGUAUUUGGCAGCAGAGUAGAUCAUAGAUAGCAGAUCUUGUCUUCUUAUAUUUGGCAGCGGAGUAGAUCGAAGAUAGCAGAUCUUGCCUUCCUGUAUUUGGCAGCGAAGCGUAGAUAGCAGAUCUUGUCUUUUUGUAUUUAGCAGCGAAGUAGAUCGUAGAUAGCAGAUCUUGUCUUCCUGUAUUUGGUAGAGGAGUAGAUCAUAGAUGGCAGAUCUUGUCUUCCUGUAUUUGGCAGUAGAGUAGAUCGAAGAUAGCAGAUAUUGUCUUCCUAUAUUUGGCAGCGAAGUAGAUUGAAGAUAGCAGAUCUUGUCUUCCUGUAUUUGGCAAUAGAGUAGAUCGUAGAUAGUAGAUCUUGUCUUCCUGUAUUUGGCAGUGGAGUUGGUUAAAAAUUACAGAUUCUAUCACCUUAAGCAGUAGUGGAGCAGAUUAAAAGGAUGGAUCUUAUCUCUUCGAAGUUGUAGUAGAGCAGAUCGCAUCAAACUUUAUUGAAGCUACAAGUCUUAUCUCACUGAGGUUGCAGUAGAAUAGACUGAAGAUAGCAUAUAUUAUCUCUCUGGAGUUACAGUAGAGCAGACCACGAUGAUUUUAUCUCCCUAAAGUUGCAAUGGAGUGUACCAAAAUAAUAAAUCCUAUACCUCUGAAGUUGCAGUAGGUCGGACUAAAUCUACCAUAACAAAUCCUAUCUCCCUGAAGAUGCAGUGGAGCAAAUUGAAGACCGACUACAAGUCUUAUCUCCCUGAAGUUGUAGUGGAGCAGACUGUCGAUAACGGAUCUUAUCAUAUUAAAACCUUAUCUUCUUGAAGUUACGUGAAGCAGGUUGAAGCAACAAGUCUUAUCUCCCUGACGUUGCAGUAGAGUAGAUUAAAACCACGAAUCUCGUCCCCCUGAAGUUGCAAUAGAAUGGAUUGAAGCUACGAGCUGUAUCUCUCUGAAGUGCAGUGGAGUGGAUUGAAGCAACAAGACACAGUGGAUUGGAAUGAGGCUACCUGAAGAAGAGAAGCACUAGAAGAAGUCAAGACUCGGCGAGACCGGGUAAAUUUGGUCUUUCUUGGUCUUUGCUCUAUUCUCGUUAUACGACAACGAGGAAAGAGGGGCAGCUGUACAAGCCCAAAUUUGCCCGGGGCCCAAGAACCCAAUGCACCCAAACCUCAGCCUAAUUACAAAUUUAAAUCAGCAGACCCAACCCACCUAAACACCAACCCAACACCCAUAACCCAAACCUCAAUCCAAUAACACCUAGCCCAACAAGAUUAAACCCAAACCCGAGGCCCAAUAUCCAACCAAAAAAAAAUGAAGGCCCAGUAGCCCAAAAUGUUUGAGACUUUUUCAGAAAAAAUGAAACCCUAGCCUACUGCCUAACCCUAGCCGCCUCUGCCUCCUCUAACAUCUUCUAGUAUGGCCGCCGCUCGUAGCCUCUGCCACCACCACCUCUGACGCCGAGCCACCCGUCAAUCACCUACUCCAUCAACGUCAACACCUGCAAACAAGAGAAAAAGCAAUAGCAAAUAAUAGCAAAAAUAUUGUAAAAAAUGGCUAUAAAGCCAUAACCACCACUGUAAAUGGGGUACUCCCUCCCCCCCCCCCCCCCCGAUUUUUGUAUAAAAAAAUAUUAGCAGGGAAAUAAAGAAAAAAAGAUUGAAGGUGAUUUUUUCUUUUCUUUUCUUUUCGGUUUUGUAGACCCGUUUUUCUGUUCUCUUUUCUUUUUUCGUUUACACGUAUGUAAAUAAAGGUAGUAAAUAAAAGGAAAGAAUGAAGACUUACCCAUUUCGCUUUUCAGUUGCGCCGCCGUCGGGGUCUACUCAUCGUUGAAAUCGACCCCGAAAGGUCGAGUUAGGGGGUCCUUCGUCUUGAUUUUUGGGCCAAACGAAUAUAGCCUUCGAUUGGGUCUUAAAACGGGGACUAGAAUGCCCAUUUUGCGCAACGCCGGCCACCGUCCACGGUGGCGCUAUGGCGGCGCUAAGAAGACCCAAAGGCCGAACGUUUGAGAGGGAUGAGGAAAGGUUUUUUUUUGUUUUUUUUAAAUUAGUGGCUGAAAUGUUUUAUAUUUUCAUAUAGUUUUUAUAUACAUAUAUAUAUUCUUAUAUGCACAUACUUAUGUUUUUUUAUACUUUAUAUAUAUAUACACCUAAACAUGCAUAUUUUUUUAUAUGUACAUACAUUCAUAUAUUUUAUAAUUUAUAAUUUAAGUACAUAUAUAUAUAUACAUAAACAUUAUUUUUUUUUGUAAUUUAUAUUUUUAUUAAUUGUUUUAUUUGAUAUUUAUUUAUUUGCUUAUCAUUAUUUUUAUGAAAUGCUUUAGUUCUUUUUACUUCUCAUUAUUUCAUGUAUAAUUUUUUUUAUAUAUGUGUCCUUUUUAUUGUUGCUCGUAUUAUUUUACUUACAUUAUCAUAAUUGUCAUUCCAUUACGUUAAUUUUCACCCAGAUUCAAAAAAAGAAAUUUUAAAAAUAUAAGUAAUACUCGGUAUUUGGGAUCUUCGAGAGAAUCGAGUCCUAACGUAUUGGGUUCCGAUUUUCUUCGUUGAAUCUAAAUAAUUGAGACUACUCUUUUUAUAUAUAUAUAAAAAAAACAUAAAUAAAAGCUCAUUAUUGGGAAUUCAAUACGUUGUGUCCUAACGCAUUGGAUAUGAUACAUUGUUUUCUCGAGAUGAGGAUUUUUCUAAAAAAAUAAAAAUAAGGCAAUGUUUUGAGUUUGGGAAAUUCGAGAAAACGUGCCCUAAUGUGCUGGGUUUCGAUUUCUCGUUUAGCCAAAUAUUCUCUUAAAUCUUAAUCUAUGUCAUUUAAGUUUUUUUAGGAUCGUAUUUUAAAUCUCUUUAAAGUUUUCAGUUUUUCGACGCUAAGACAUUAAGUAAUCAACUAGGUACCAAUUUUGGGCGUAUCGAGGGUGCUAAUCCUCCUCGUGCGUAACCGACUCCCAAACCCGUUUUUCUGAAUUUCGUGGACCAAACUUGUUGUUUUAAUAAAAUCAAAUCAUUUAUUAAAACAACCACUUUUUGAGGUGAUCCGAUCACACCUUAUCAAAAAAGAUUGGUGGCGACUCCCACUUUCGUUUUCAUUUUUCAAAACCCAAGUCGACCCCUUUUUAUCAAAAAAAUGGUGUCAACAACAAUAACAAUAGAAGCACAUCAAAGUCAAAGCACAUAGGCUUUAAGUUCAUUGUUAUUAUAAUAAAAGUUCAGGGUGGUUAGAUGUCUAUAAAGUAUAUUGAGACGAACUCCAUGAUUACGGAUUCGCUUAUUAAGUGACUACCACCCAAAGUUUUUUUCCUGAGCACACUGUUGAUAUGGGUGUAAUGUCAUUUAAGGAUAUUUGAUUUUAGUAGGAGUUUGUACUUUUAAAUGUUUUUAUGUUAUAAACACAUUUUCAAUUAUUUUAGUUUACGAAUAUUAAGUUUAUUUUUUAUAGAAAUAAAGUUUAUUUGGUAAAGUUUGAUCUCACUAAGGUUAAUAAGGACCAGUUAGAAUAUGCAUGUUUGAAUCAUAUUACAUAUAAUUUUCAUGUUACACAUCCAUACUUGAUCUAUGUCAUUUGGUUGUGCUAAUAUAUGUGAUUAGGGAUGGAUUUAAUUAUGAUAUAUGUAACAAAAGUUGCAUUCGUUCUAUGUUAACAUAAUUAAUGGACGAGAUUGUUCGAAAUAUCUUUUGGAUAUGAUAGUAAAAUUUUGAGCUCAUAAGAUUAUAUAAUGACAUGUAAUUAUAAAGUAAUCGGUAUAUAUCAAAAGUCUUUCCCACAUUCAUCAACUAGAAAUCAGAGCUCACCAAAUGUCUAUUCUUUUCAAUCUGAACCGACUCUACAAUCACUUAUUGCUCAUGGUCAUCAGCCUAUAAACCCAGGAGCAUUGUUAACUUCUAAAUCCAAAACACUAAUAUCAGCAUCCAACCCUACAAUGAUAGUAUUAUUGACUCAUUUAAACAAGUUUCCUUUGUCAAUCUAUAUUCCGUAUUUGGUAAUCUCCAGUAUGAAUUCAGAAUUUAGGAUAGCUGGAAUAAGAAUAGCAGCAAAGAUGCAAAGGGAAACGACUUGUAGGAGGAGGAAGAACCUUCUUUUGGGUACAGACCUGUAUAGCAUAUAAUAGGAUGUCCUGUAUAAUGUCACGAGAGCUAGUACCGUUGCCAAGCAGUAAUUAGUAAUGCUGAGUCUAGAAUAGGAAACGGAUCCAGGAGUCGAAAGAGAGAAAAAAUACUGAAGUUCGAGUGUCCGUAUGGAAACAGCAACUAAAAGCAUGUAACAGGUCCCAAACAAGGAAAGUGUUAUGAGAAUAAACAAGCAGAUUGAACGGCUGGGUAGGAGAUAGGCAGUUAAAACAGUUGCUGCCCAAAAGGUUAAAGUGUUGUAUAACCAAAACAUUGUGGACACGUCUAGUAUAUUUUUUAAAUCUUCUUUUUCAGCGGGUGGAGGACUUGGUACGGGUCCAGUGCUGGUUGAACCUAAAGAUGCGUCAUACAUGAGAUGGAAAUUCUGGGAAUUUGAAAUGGUAUCAGGCUGCUUUGGAGGGUUCAAAGUGGCAGUAUAUGUGGCUGUUAUAAUUAGCACUGUGACUACUAAAAAUGUGUUACGCAUCUCAUAUGGGAUUCCCUUCUUUCCACGACUUGCUAUUGUUGCAAAAUUUUGAAGAACUGACACCUUUCCUUUUAAAUAUGCGAUGUGGAAUGAAGAGAUGGAGGUUUUGGGAAGCGAGGAAGAGGAACCACUCAAACCUCCUGCUUUGCUUAUCAUGUCUUUAAUGGACUCCUUAUAGUCCACUUUCUCUUCAUCCAAUGUGUAUUGUGAUGGGAUAUCAAGUGCAGUCAAUCCCUCCGCAUUUUUGGCAUUGAUAUGGUCACCACACAAGCGUUCCAGCAGUACUUUUACCACCUGUUAAUUAGAAUAUUCAUACAAGUAACCUUUGAGUAUAUAUAUACAUAAAAAAUUUCACUAGCAAAAUUAUCAUACCUGAGGUCUAUUUCUGAUAGCAGCAACAUGUAAAACAGUGUUGCCAUCAAUGUCUGCCCAACUCAGUAGUUCUUUCUCCCAACGGCUGGCAGCUUUAUGGCGGCUCCUUAUAAGCCACCCCACCAAGACUUGGAAAGCUUCAAACCUGUCAUUUUUUACGGCAAGAUGGAAAACCGUCUCAUCUCGAACAGUCAUAUCUUCAAUAGCCUCGGGGCAAACCUCAAGGAACUUGAUCAAAAAAUCAACAUUUCCAUUUUGAACCACAUCAUGCAAAGGAGUCAAGCCCUCCCGCCCUUUGACACGAACAAGGCCUUCAUCAAACCUGAGGAGUCGAAGCACUGUUUGAGUUUUUUGAUUUUGCAGAGCCAAGUGCAUGGGGCUAAACCCAGCUUGGUUUAGCUUUCUUGCAAACGAUGGCUUUAAGUUGAUCAUCUCCAUCAUAAAAUCAAUAUGCCCUGCAGAGGCUGCUACAUGCAAAGGAGUAUGGAAAAAAGGUACAUCAUCGAUACGCUGUAAAGCAUAUGGAUCAUUCAGAAUUAACUCAUACAAGAUGUUUAUGUCUCCUGUUUGUGCAGCCCCCUUCAUCUUCUCAUCCAUAGCAAGGUGCGGAAAUUUGCAGAAUAUAGAAAUGGAGUGAAGAAAAAACGCUUUAGCAGAGGAUAUGAUUAUGUUAAGGAUACAAUGAAGUGUUUGAUUAUUUUUUCCAGAUGAAGUGUUUGACAUUUUAUAGCACUUUAAUGAUUUUGGAUUUAUAUGUGAUGUCAGCCUCUACACGUAUACAGGUGAAUUGUUGCCUAUUAGAAAGAAAUAGUAAUUAAAUUCAUAUUUAAUAUAUAUUUUUAAUCUAAUUUUUUUAAUUCAAUUUAAUUUUAGUUAAAACGUUUAAAAACAUUUAUUUAAUCUAAUUUCUUUAAUAUAUUAAAUAAAAUGGAUUAGAGAAUAUAUUGAAUAUGGAUGAAUACUAUAUCAUACUAAUUUUAUGUCUCUAAAAAUUAAUAAGGUGUUAUUAUUUUAUUGGUGCUUAAAAAUUUAAAAUAUUUAGAAUCAUUCUAAUAUAAGUUAUUCUUUUAAUAAUAAUAUUUGGUACUUCCACGACAAGUUCAAUGGUUGACAAAUAUCUUAUAAAAGUAUUAUAAAAUAUUUAAAAAAUAUAUUAUUUAGUGACUUAAUUUUUUAAGAACAUUUGAUAAUUCAUAAAGAAAAUAAAUAAUAUUUUUUUCCAAUAAAAAAGGUGGGAAAAAUGAUAAGUAGAUAAGAGCUACCAUCACUUACAACAUGUUUGGACUAAAAAGAAGAAAAAAGGAGGGAAAAUUAAGUAAAAUGAGUAAAGAAAAUUUGGUUUUUUUUGUUUAAGUUAAGUAAAGUUGUUUAUUUUUUAUCGUAUUAUUAGAUUUUAUUUUUUAGAUUAUUAUCUCUUUUUCUUCUUUUGUUGACUCUUUUUCAUUAGUUUGUUAUUUCUCUAUGAAUCAGUAUCCCAACCAACUCAAUUUUGUUCAGGUAACCAUGUCUAUAUGUUUAAAAGCAUUAAUGCACUAAUCGAAAUCUGAACGUAAUAACUGUUCUCACAUUGAGGUAUAGAAGGUUCUUUUGGUGAAAAGAUGAAGCAUUGCAAAAAAAAAAAAAAAUUGAAUAAGAUAUUUUGAAAGAAAGCGGAGAGGAAGACUAAAAUAUAUUUAGUAACAUUAAGCAUCGUACAAGUAAAAAAAAAAUAAAGUAAAUAAUUUUAAAACACAAAAUUAUAACUUUAAAAAAGAUAAAACUCACAAUAAAAUAACAAGAUUAUAAAGUAAACUUUAAAAUGCACUAAUUAAUUAAAUUAAAUUACUUAUUAUAAAAAAAUCAAAGUAAAUUACUAGUAGUAAUUUUUUAAUCUUAGGUAUGUUGCAUAUAAUUUUAUAUUUUUUAUUUUUUAAAUAAUAUAUUUUUAUAAUUUUAAAUAUAUAUUUAUGCUAAUUAAACGAGGAUUCUCGUCGUGACAUCGCUAGCUAACUUUUGUAAGUGCCUAUAAACUGAUAAGUGCUAGCUAAAAGUGACAUAUUUUAACAUCAUUCUUAAUACAUUUUGGGUGAUUAUUUGAUGUUAAUUGUGAAUUUUAUACUCCUAAUACUUUAAAUUCAUGUAUUAAUGCUUAAUAGAGCACUUGAGAGCAAAAGGAGUAAAAAAUGAGCGAAAAAUGAAAUUUCGAAGCAAGUUACAGGAGCCACACGAGCUAGACCAUUCCACACAGCCAUGUAAGCCACACGGGCGUGUAGUAGGCCAUUUAGUUUUUACAGGACUUGUGACAUUUAGAUUGAUAGUGAUAGAUGAAAUCUAGGUGGAUUCUUUCCUGUGUAUUGUUUUGCUUCUUGGUUGUUAAUCGAUUAUUUUCUUAUUUUUUUCUUUAUUGCGUUCAUUGGUAAUUAAAUUAGUUAAUUUUAGUUUUAAUAAAUCACUCAAAUUAUUCGAUUAAAUAAUGGAAAAAAGAGUAAUUACCAGUACUUUUAGUCUUCUUGGAAUGAUAUCUUUGCUCCCCAUAGCUAUACUAUUAAUUGAUAGGUGCGCAUGCCUUAGUCAAAUUUUAGUUAGUUUCACGAAACAUUACAAAUUGUCUGAUAAAUGCGAGGCACAUCCCACACUUUCCAUUAUCAAUUUAACGAAUUCAAAUGUUGGUGCCUAAUUAAAAACUUUUCAAAUUGGGUGACUAAAUCAGGAACGAGGGCAUAGUUGAGUGACAUUUUGUAUAGUUUACCCUUAAUUUUUUUAAAAAUUUAAAAAAAUAUUUUUUUUAUAAUUUUUAUACUGUUUAAUAUAACUUUAAUAGUUUUUAAUUUUUAAAAAUAAUUUUAUAUUUUUUGAAUUUUUUAAAUUAAAAAAUAAAUUAAUUGCUUACAUGACAAUUUAAUGUAUGUCAUGUCAACAAAGUUAACAAACGUUAACUUUUCUAUUCAUUUUGGGGCGAUUUGAUAAACCAGCUUAGUUUAGCUUUCUAGCAAACGACGACUUUAAGUUCAUCUCCAUCAUAAACUCAAAAUGCCCUGCAAAGGCUGCUACGUGCAAUGGGGUAUCAAGAAAAGGAACAUGAUCAAUACGCUCUAAAACAUAUUGAUCAUUCUGAGUCAACUCAUAUAAGACGUUAAUAUGUCCUUGUGCAGUCUUUCUCAUCGUGUCAUCCACGGCAAGGUGUGUGUGUGUUGGGGGGAGAGGAUGAAAUAUGCCGGAACAUAAGAGUCCAACCAAUUGAGAAGGUACACAUAUAUUGAAAGGACCGAUGAAAUCUUAGACCGCACAAAACGGAAGCUAAAGGAUUGAUGAAAGAACGCUUUAGCAGAAGGAUAAUAUUGAAGUGUUUGAUUUUUCUUCUUCCUGUUGUAAUGUUUGACGUUUUGUUUGAUACCAAAUCCCACUUGUUAAAAAAUAUACAAUAAUUAUAUAUUUUUUAAUGAUUUUUUAGAUAUUAAAUAAAUGGUAACACGUCAUAAUAAAACUCUAAAACUAGAUGCAUUUAAUUUUAAUAUAAAUAUUAUAUCAAUGUAUCAAUAUGGUUGACCUAAAUACAAAUAGUUGAUUAAUUAAUAAAAAAAUAUUUAUUGAAUUAUUUAAAUAUUAUCUAAACUAAUUUAAUUUUUAAUUUUCAACCCUAUAAAACAUUUCACCAUCAUUUUUAACAAUAAUACCUAAUAUUUUAAAUUAACAAACCACAACCUUUUAAAUAUUAAUUAUCUUGAAAUUCAACUUUUUAGAAGUUAUUUUUUAACCGUCAACAACGUCAAACUGGCACUAAAAUCUUCCACUCACACUUGUAAAUUAAUAAAAGGACUCCGGUAAUCAAGGGACUUGAGAAUUUAAUCCAGUAUGAAUCUCCGUCACUCACGUAUUUGCUGUCAAUAGUGAUGGAUGAAUACGAAUUUUGUCCCAUAUACUGCUUGGAUUUAUAACCCCAAGCAAUGCAAGUGGUAAUAUUGUAGGGAUUUUCAACAUUAUCAUAAAUUUUAGGGAGGAAUUAAGUGAAUUCAGAGACGAAAUUAGAUGCCCAUUGAGUUUUGUUCAAAUCUAGGGAUUUCAUCGUCAUAUAGGGUCGAUUUUGAUAGCUAUUUUUAGCAACAACUUGAUUUAAUUAAUUAAAUUAAUUAUGAUUAGUUAAGUUUAAUUUAAGUAUAAAAGUUAAAAUUAAAUGAAAAACAAAACAUUUUUCUCUUCAUCUUCUUCUCCACUGUUUCUAGGGUUUUGGAGCUUUCUACUUUAGCCCUCAAUUUGGUAAAUAAUUUCAAGUUUUUUUUAUUAUAAAUUUUACAUUUUUGAAAUCGUAAGAGCUUGAUUUGAUUUAACUAAACCAUAUUCUAUUUUUGCAAAACCGUUAAAAUUUUCAAACAGGAAAUGUUGAUCUUUUGAUCAAGUUACUUAAGGUUUGUCCUGAGGCUAUUGCAGAUGUGACUGUUCGAGAUGAGACAAUAUUCCAUCUUGCUGUGAAAAACGACAUGUUUGAAGCUUCCAAGUCUUGGUGGGGUGCUUAUGAGAAGCUUCCAUGAGCCUGCCCAAUGGAAGAAACAACUGCUGAGUUGGCCAGACAUCGAUGGCAACACUGUUUUACACAUUGCAACUAUUAGAAACAGACCUUGGGUAUAUGCUCAUUUUUGUCAUUAAGUCAGUUACUGAUGUGCAUAUAUGCAUGAUAAAAGGGUUACUUAUAGGAAUAUUCUAAUUGAUAGGUGGCAAAACUAUUGCUGAAACACAUGCCGUGACCAAAUCAAUGCCAAAUAUUUGGAGGGAUUGACAGCACUAGAUAUCCAAUCUCAGUACCCAUCGAAUGAAAGGCAAGCAGAUAGGAUUAUAGAUGCUAAGAAAAGCAGGAGGUUUGAGUGGUUCCUCUUCCUCACUUCCAAUACCUUCAUCCCUUCAUUCCUAAUCGAAUCUUUAAAAGACAAGAUGCACGGUCUCAAAAAUGGGCAACUUCUGAAUUUCCACAAUACUUACAUUAAGAGUACUUAUCAGAAUUUCCAGCACCACUACCACCACUACCUUUUGCAGCAACUUCUGAUCCACUACUGGCACCACUCUUCUUCCCUUUCCACUUCUAGUCCUUUCCUUCUUCACCCUGCUACAUCUUAGCCUUCAAUGCUUCCUUCCUGCCUCAUUAGUCUCUUCUACUACUGUGCUUGUAAAGCACUGAUCAACUCGACUACUCUCAGUUGAGUCAAGUCAUUUGUGUUCUCCAAAGAAGUAAUUGUUCCUUCAUACUUCUCAAGCACAGAGAUUAGUAUUUUCUACAUUAGUCUACAAUCAGAGAGAUUAGUCACUACAAUAAAAUAGACUUUUAGCGGCAUUUUUAAGCGCCGCUAAAAGUAUUAGCAGCGCUUUAACAAGUGCCGCAAAAAAUGCCGCUAUAGACAACGCCGCUAAUUUUAGCGGUGUUUAUGUGAAAAAACACUGCUAAAGAUCAUGACCUUUAGCGGCGCUUCUACCACAAACGCCACUAUAAAGAAUGACUUUCAUGAUUUUUUUAAAAAAAUAUUUUAAUUAAAUAAUAUUUAUUUCUAUGAUAAAUAUUAUAUUAUGUUUUAUUUUUGAAAUUUAAACUUUAAACUAUAUGCUUUUAAGGAUAAAAAACAAAAUUUCUAUUAAAAUUUUAACUUUAAAAAACAAAAUUUCUAUUAAAAUUUUAACUUUAAAGCUAAAUAUAAAAAUUAAUGAAUUUAAAUUUAGAAUUAAAAUAUUAUGUUUAAAUAAAUGAGCAAUCUACCUCACAGCUCAUCUGAUCUAUAUUAACUCGGCCAAAUAUAAAAGAAGCUACAAAACACGUAAUAAUUAACAAUCAUGGUUAAAGAAGCUAGUACACAAGGUAGCUACAAAACCCUGUUUCAAUAACACCAAAUUCAAGUUCCGACUAAGAUAAAAGACCAUGACGAUGUGCUUGUUUCCUUCUAUAUAUCUUUGGGAAGAAUUCCUUCAAGAAAUCAUCCAUGGAAGUCACUCCACCUGCAGUCAAUAUUAAAAGAUAAACAGUGUCAUCAUCUUGAAAUAAGUAUCUUAUUGAGCUCUUUUGAAUCAAAUAACAUAAAUCUUCUAACAAAAAGAAACAAAUACAUAAUCUAUAAUGCAAAUAGCUUAGGAAUCAUUGAUAAUUCCCAAAUACCAAAUAAUAUAUGAAGAUUAUAUUUUGACGAUUAAAGAAAAUAUGUAGAGAGGGUUCUUCUCAAGACAUCAUUUUGAUUGAAAAGCAAAUCAGUAAAUCUGGAAGAUAGGAUACAAAUCUAAAAAGAUUUCAGCAAUUGCUAAUACUUAAUAUAAAUGAAUAGAAUUCAUAAACAGGCUGAAAAAAAUGCCACGAAUGCUCAUUUUUAGCGGCGUUUUUUCAAAAAUCGCCGCAAAUGCUCAAUCUUUAGUGGCGAUUUCCAUAAAGCGCUGCUAAUGCUCAAUUUUUAUCGGUGUUUUUUGUCCAAGUGCUGCUAAAAGCCUGUUUUGGUGUAGUGAGUCCCGAAACCCUUACCUUAUUAGCAAUAUCUAUCAACUUGUUUGAGUAUUCUUUGAUUGACUCAAAAUCUUUUAUUUGUAGCCUAUCGAAUUCCCUGGUCAAGUUCAACACCUUCAUGAUCUAGAACCUCUUAUCUCCUUGAUACUCAACCUUGAGGUAGUAUCUCCUUUAUUGAUCCAAAAAUAAUAAUUCUAUUGAAUAUGGCUAGUGAAACAACAACAUAAAGGCAAACCUUUACAUUUGCUUUCCAAGUGGUUCUUUCUUUGUGCAGUUUGAUCUGGUUCAUAGUUGGAUUUUUGGAAAGUGGAACCACCUCAUAGUCUUCCUCGAUAACUUCCCAAUAAUCACAACCCUCCAUGUAUGCUUGCAUUCUCAUAGCCUAUGCUUGAUAGUUCUUUCCAUCAAACACAUGUGGGGUUAAGACAGACAUAUUGCUUGAUCUUGAUUCCAUUUUUCUCAAUUCCUUACAAGUGUAUCUCUCAAUUUUUGUCUUAGGAUUCUCAUAAGGCCUCUCUCACAGGUCCCUCAAGAAAAAGAGGCUCUCGAUACCACUAUUGUUUCAAUGGAGAACUAACUAAAGGCACAAAAAUUGAAAAUGGAGAAAGUUGAUUAAAAUUUAUUAACCAAGCAAUGCUUAUUUACAUGACUCAAGCAAUGCUUAUUAAAUCAAUUUUUUAUUAUUUUUAGGGGCCAAAGUGUAAUUUUACCAUUACUAAUUUAGAAUUUUAUAAAUUAUAAAGGGUCUAACUGAAAAUUUUUCCAUUUCAGGAGGGCUGAGGGCCCUGCCACCCCCCUUGGCUUCGCCACUGAUAUUAGUUCUCGUGGUAUUAUACUAGAUAGCCAGUUAUAUACUAUAUAGGUUUGUACCCAAAAGAAAAAUAUCUUCCUCCUUAUGGCAUACUAGUUCAUAUGCUUUUAUUUUUAAGAAUUUAAACUAUCCUUAAUCAUAUAGUCCGCUAUAUCAUUCAGUCAUCACUCUCUUCACCGCUCAUUUAUCUUAUUUUUUAUUUGAUUUAAGAUUUCGUACAUCGAAAUUUCCUUUGACCUUUCAAGAAGUUUUAUUUUCUAAAAUUAGUGCGUUUUAAUCACCUAUAAAAUCAAAAUUUUUAUUCAAGUUGCAGUUGAUUUGGACUGGAUGUACAUUAUCUAUGGCUUUGGGAUACUUGGAAGUUUCCUACGACCUUCGAAGAAAUCUGUUUUUUGAGACAAGAGUGAUCGAGUCAUGUAUAAAUUUUGGUCAGGUUCCUGUGUUUUGCAAAUUUCCUUUCCUACAUUCUCUUCUGGUUCUUUUUUCUGUGUUUCGUUGCAAAUUUCCUUAGUUUUCAAUUUUCAAUUAUCUGAAGAUUAACUGCUCAAUUUAUUACCCCCAAAAGAAAAGUUAUGGAUGAGAGGAUGAUAGAGGCUGCCCAAACAGGAGAUUUUAACCUCUUGUAUGAGUUGAUUCUGAAUGAUCCAUAUGUUUUAGAGCGUAUUGAUGAUGUGCCUUUUUUCCAUACACCAUUGCAUGUAGCUGCCUCUGUUGGGCAUAUUGAGUUUAUGAUGGAGAUGAUCAAAUUAAAGCCAACGUUUGCAAGAAAGCUAUGUAGGAACAAUGGCAGCAGCAAGCAUCAAACAAAGUUUCAAAUCUGUAUUUGUAAGACUGAAGCAAGAAGAAUCGAAGCAAAGAAAAAGCAAAGCAAUGAACACAAUUGAAUACUCAGCAAAGUUGUAACUGAACAUUACAUUUUUCAUUCAAGAUUUGAAUAUAUAAAAGAGCUACAAAUUUUGGUUCAUUUGACAGAUACCUAAUGACAUAACUAUUCCCACUUAAACUAAACUAAUACAAGCUUAAGUCAAAUACAAAAUAAGCUGACAUAUCAGCUUUUACAUCAUCAAUCCAAUCAUAAACUUAAUCCAACUAACUAUUAAAGCUAGUUACAAUCAAACUAAACUAAGUUACAUCAAAACAAAACAGCAAUAUCAGUUGCUUCAUUUGGUCUGAAAACCAUUCGUGCAUACCAAGCAAAAUGAGCUGAGCUCGAUAGCUGCUGGUCUCGAUAGUAGCAUGCUUCCGGCUCCAUGUUGCAUUGCAGUCCAGCUUUCAACACUCCUCCUUGGACUGUAUGCAACACAUUCCAAUUGCAUUUCUCAAAGAUUCAAAUCGAGCAGCCCCCAAGGACUUGGUCAUUAUGUCAGCCAAUUGUGUCCCUGAGCUGCAAUGCACAAGGCUGACUUCCUUUGCUUGUUCAGCCUCUCUAACAAAAUGCAGCUUGAUUUUAAAAUGCUUUGUCUUACCAUGGAACACAGGGUUCUUGGCUAUUGCAACUGCAGACUGAUUAUCCACCCAAAUUUCAGUUGCUUCAUCUUGAGUUUCAUUAAGGUCAUGAAGCAGCUUCCUUAGCCAAAUGGCCUGAUUAACUGCUCCUGCUGCAGCAAUGUAUUCUACUUCAGCUGUGGACUGAGCAACAGUUUGCUGCUUUUUUGAACUCCAGCAAAACAUCCCCGAUCCAAGUGUAAAGAAGUGUCCUGAGGUACUCUUCAUGUCAUCGAGGGAUCCUGCCCAGUCACUAUCAGAGUAGCCUUCUAGUUUCAGUUGGUUCCCACUUUCAAACAUUACACCAAAACUAGCAGUGCCCUUGAUGUAUCUAAGGACCCUCUUUGCUGCCUUCAAAUGUGCCUCAUUGCAACAAUGCAUAAAUCUCGAUAACAGACUGACACCAAACAUGAUGUCUGGCCUGGUUGCUGUUAGAUACAACAGACAACCAACUAGGCUUCGAUAGUGCCUCUCAUCAACCCUCUGCUGAUCACCACUGCUAGUCAGCUUUUCUCCUUGGGCCACAGGUGUGCUGACUGCUUUACAAUUAUGCAUGCAGAAUUUGUCUAGGAUCUUCAAAGCAAAUGAGUGUUGGCUGAUGAAGAUACCUCGAUCAGACUGGUGAACUUCCAUGCCAAGGAAGUAAGUCAUGAUCCCCAAGUCUGUCAUUUCAAACACUUGCUGCAUUUGGACUUUGAACUCAUCAAUGAGCUCAAUUUUGCUCCCUGUCACAAGCAAAUCAUCCACAUACAAGGAGACAAUCAGCAAGGUUUCAUGUUUUGACCUUUUAACAUACAGAGUAGGCUCACUAAGGCUCUUUACAAAUCCAAGUUUGGUCAGGUAAGCAUCAACUCUGUCAUACCAGGCCCUUGGUGCCUGUUUCAGGCCAUAGAGGGCCUUUCUCAACUUAUACACUUUGUCUUCAUGUCCAACAACUUCAAAACCUUCAGGUUGUUCGAUGAAGAUCUCCUGACUGUAGCAAAAGUUUGUAUCCAGUCUUGCCACUGGAGCAAAAGUUUCUAGGUAGUCAACACCAUACUGCUGACUGUAGCCCUUCACCACAAGCCUGGCCUUGUGCUUGUUCAGUGAGCCAUCAGCAUUGUACUUGGCCCGGUACACCCAUUUAACUCCUAUGACCCUCUUGUGUUCUGGUCUGCUCACCAACUCCCAAGUCUGAUUUUUGUUGAUCAUUUCCAACUCAGCUUCCAUAGCUUUCAUCCAGCUUCUGUUCUUAGCAGCCUCUUCAAAGUCUGAGGGCUCAAUCACAGCAACAUUGCACCUCUGAUAGACAUCAGCCAAAGUUCUGGUGCCCCUCACUGGUAUAUCAUCGACAGCAUCAUUACUUGGUCCUUUUACUGCAGGUUCAGCAACCAAGUCUAACUGGUCCAAUUCAGACAAGUCAGCCUCAACACCAUUCCAAUUCCACACCUUUUCCUCAUCAAACUUUACAUCCCUGCUGACUAAAACCUUCUUUGCUGUAGGAUCAUACACUCUAUAGCCUUUCUUGUUGCUGCUGUAGCCAACAAAGAUUCCUGGAGUUGCUCUGCUCUCAAGCUUGGUCCUUUUCUCUACUGGAAUAAGUGCAUAACAUACACAGCCAAACACUUUUAAGUGUGUUACCACAGGUUUGACUCCAUGCCAAGCCUCAAAAGGAGUCUUAUCCUUGACUGCUCUAGUUGGCAGUCUGUUGAGCAGAUACACUGAGGUGUUGACUGCCUCAGCCCAAAACUGACUUGGAAGCUUGCCUUGAAACAAGAGGCACCUGGCCAUGUUCAGUACAGUCUUAUUCUUUCUCUCACAGACUUCAUUCUGUUGAGGAGUAUAGACUGUUGUGAGCUGAUGGUAAAUCCCAGCACUGUCACAAAGCUUCUGAAAUCUCUCAGACACAUAUUCAGAACCAUUAUCAGUCCUCAAGGCUCUAAUUUUGCAGCCUGACUGAUUUUCAGCAUAAGCCUUGAAUUUACAGAAGGCUUCAAACACUUCUGACUUUUGCUUCAAGAAGUAGACCCAACACAACCUUGUUAAAUCAUCUAUAAACAGGGCAAAGUACCUGUUCUCACUGAUUGAAGGUGUUCUCAUAGGGCCACAAACAUCAGAGUGCACCAAUUCGAGCUUGUCUUGAGCUCUCCAAGCACUGUCAGCAGGAAAAGGCAGUCUAGCCUGCUUACCAAGCUGACAAACCUCACAAACAUUCCCACUAACUUCAAAUUUUGUAAUGUCAUCAACCAAAUUCAGCCUAUGUAACAGAUCGAUGGAUCUAAAAUUUGCAUGGCCUAGUCUCCUAUGCCACAAGUCAGUGCUUUCAACAAGGCUGGUGUAUGCCUUUCUUUCUAUUUGGCUAACAUCCAGCAUGAAGCACCUAUCAGUCAUAGAGACUGUGACUAACUCCAGACCAUUCAUGUCUUGAACAAUACAGCAACCAUCCUUAAAAACCAAUGUAUAGCCCUUUUCAACUAAUUGGCCUACACUAAGUAAAUUCUGGUCUAAGUCAGGUACAAAAAACACAUCUGAGAUCAGCUUGUUACCUGAACCAGUGCUAAUCAACACACUGCCCUUGCCUUUAGCCUCAAUCAGUCUACCAUCUCCAAUUCUAAUCCUCGAGUGGAAGCUUCUGUCUAGGCUUUUGAACAGCUUCUCAUCUGCUGCAAUAUGGUGUGAGCAGCCACUGUCUAGUAGCCAAUCAUUGCUGGCCUUGGUUGUGCCAACAAAACAAGUUACUGUGAACACUUGCUCCUCCUGAGCUUGAAUGUCCUCAGCAGGUCUAGCUUGUUGCAGAGCAGCCUCCCUUGGUUUGCCCUUGCACACCUUCUCCACAUGGCCAAACUGCUUGCAUUUUCUACACUGAAUAUCUGGCCUAAACCAGCAAUACUUUUCUGAAUGUGUUGUCUUCUUGCAAUGAACACAUGGUGGGAACACCCUUUUUGCUUCAUCUAUUCCUGACUUGACCCUUCUAUUGUGCCAAUGCUGCUUGCCUUUUGCACUCACACUCGAGCCUUCACUGGCUUUAGCCUGGAAAGCAGCUUCAGGAUUCUCCUCCUGCCUAUUUGCCCUCCUUUGCUCAAGUGCAUACAGGAAGUUUAUCAGCUCAGACAAAGAAAUGGCUGAUAAGUCCCUCGAGUCCUCAAGUGAAGAGAUUUUAGACUCAAAUUUCUCAGGGAGAGUUGUAAUAACCUUUUCAACAACUCUGCUCUCUGUGAAGUCCACUCCCAGGAGCCUAAUGCUGUUGAAAAUGGCCAUUAUCCUGUCUGAGUACUGCUUGAUGGUCUCAGACUCCUUCAUCCUCAAAUUUUCAAAGUCUCUCCUGAGGUUGAUCACUUGCUGUUGCCUUGUCUUAUCAGUCCCCAUGAACUCCUCCUUCAGCUUCUCCCAAGCCUGCUUUGGUGAGUCACAGGCCAUGAUGCGAGUAAAUAUCACAUCAGAGACUCCAUUUUGCAAGCAGGCCAUAGCCUUAUGCUUCUUGGCUCGCUCCUCAGUAUGUUGCCUCAUCUGUGCAAUGGUGGGAUUGGCUCUCAAUGGAGGUGGUUCAGCAUCAUUCUCGAUCACACUCCAAAGAUCAUGUGCUUGGAGAUAAGUCUUCAUUUUAACUAUCCAAAUGUGAUAGUUUUCUCCAGUGAACACUGGUGGAGGUGGUAGAGUGAAACUCAUUCUGCUAGACUGAAUCCAAAUGCUUCGAUCUUACCAAAUUUUGAACUUGCUGUUGGUUUUGAUUCAAACACAACAGAUUGCAUACAAAGGCCCCUCAAAGACUCGGGCUCAUGAUACCAUUUGUACGAACAAUGGCAACAGCAAGCAUCAAACAAAGUUUCAAAUCUGUAUUUGUAAGACUGAAGCAAGAAGAAUCGAAGCAAAGAAAAAGCAAAGAAAUGAACACAAUUGAAUACUCAGCAAAGUUGUAACUGAACAUUACAUUUUUCAUUCAAGAUUUGAAUAUAUAAAAGAGCUACAAAUUUUGGUUCAUUUGACAGAUACCUAAUGACAUAACUACUCCCACUUAAACUAAACUAAUACAAGCUUAAGUCAAAUACAAAAUAAGCUGACAUAUCAGCUUUUACAUCAUCAAUCCAAUCACAAACUUAAUCCAACUAACUAUUAAAGCUAGUUACAAUCAAACUAAACUAAGUUACAUCAAAACAAAACAGCAAUAUCAGUUGCUUCAUUUGGUCUGAAAACCAUUCGUGCAUACCAAGCAAAAUGAGCUUAGCUCGAUAGCUGCUGGUCUCGAUAGUAGCAUGCUUCCGGCUCCAUGUUGCAUUGCAGUCCAGCUUUCAACAAGCUAAACCAAGCUGGGUUUAGCCCCAUGCACUUGGCUCUGCAAAAUGACAGAACUCAUGCAGUGCUUCGACUCCUCAGGUUUGAUGAAGGACUUGUUCGUGUUAAAGGGAGGGAGGACCUCACUCCUCUGCAUCAUGUGGUUCAAAAUGAAAACUUGAAUCUUUUGAAAAAGUUUCUUGAGGUUUGUCCUGAGGCUAUUGAAGAUAUGACUGUUCGAGAUGAGACGGUUUUCCAUCUUGCUGUGAAAAACGACAUGUUCGAAGCUUUUCAAGUCUUGGUGGGGUGGCUUAUGAGAAGCUGGUAUGAGUCUCCCCGAUGGGAGAAAGAAUUACUUAGUUGGCCAGACAUUGAUGGCAACACUGUUUUACACAUUGCAGCUAUCAGAAACAGACCUCGGGUAUAUGCUAAUUUUUGUCAUUAAGUCAGUUAUUGAUGAGUAUAUAUGUAUGAUAAAAGGGUUACUUAUAUGAAUAUUUUAUUAACAGGUGGUAAACGUAUUGCUGGAACACAUGAGGCGAGACCAAAUCAAUGCCAAAAAUUUGGAGGGAUUGACAGCACUAGAUAUCCAAUCACAGUACCCAUGGAAUGAAAGGCAAGCGGAUAAGAUUAUAGAUAUGCUAAGCUAAGCUGGAGGUUUCCCAAUACCUCCAUCUCUUCAUUCCACAUCGAAUCUUUAAAAGACAAGAUGUCACGGUCUCAAAAAUGGGCAACAAGAGCAGGUCGAGGAAAGAAGGGUAUGGGACAUGAGAUGCGCAACACAUUUCUAGUAGUGACAGUGCUAAUUAUAAUAACCACAUACGAAGCCUCUUUAAACCCUCCAAAGAAGCCUAAUGACAGUCCAUCCAUGAAAUACCAAGUCUCUUCAAGUCAAGAUGAGCCUCUCAAUUCCCACACAUUUUUGCAUAAAACCGACUUCAAUACUGCUCCCAUACCCAGUCCCUCCGCAAUUGACGUUUUGGAUCUAGAUGAUUGGACAUUUAAAUACUCCUCAUUUUUGUUUUGCAACACGUUCACCUUUUGGGUAGCAGUGUUCUUAACAGCACUUCUCCUACCACCUCAUUCAUUCUCUUCCUUGAUUCUCCUAACACUUUCCUUCUUUGGGAGAUCUUACAUGAAUUUAUUUGAUGUUUCCGCAUGGUCAUGGGGAUAUUCAUAUGAGUUUUCCAAUGAAAACGCACACUUAUUAUAUGUUGUAGCCUCCUUUUGUAAUGUUUUCUUCUCAACAUUGCUAGUUUUCCUUGGAUCAUACCAGACAAUAUUUUAUGUUUGCAGUAGGGUAAACAUUACCAAGCAAAAAUUCUUCUUCCUCCUACUAGUCGUUGUCAUUGGCUGCAUGCAGGUUUUUAUGUUUGCUUAGCUUAGUGAUGUGAUGGCCAUUGAUAAAUAAAAUCAAGGUUGGUGAAUGUACCAUUUCAUUCCAUUGAUAAAAGAAGUUUAAGUUUUAGAGUUGUUAUAUAUAUAUAUAUCAUCUAUCUUGCUCCACAUAUAAAUAUGGAGUGCAAAUCUGUUAAAUACUUAAAUGUGAUAGACUAAAACAUCAUUCUAAUAUAUUAAAUUUAAAAUAUUUUGAUAUUAUUAAAAGAAAUGAUUAAAUUAUUUUAACAUAUAAUAUCUUUUUUUAAGAGUAUUGAUUUUAUUUUUAGCUUUAAAAAAUACAAGUAAAAACAAAAUUUAAUUAACAAAAUUUUUUAUACAAUGCCUCAAAUUUAUGUUUUCUUUACACUAAUAGUAAUAUCGAUACUAACUAAAUUAAAAUUCAAUCGAUAAAUAAUUUAAAUUAUUAAUAAAUUAAAAUCUAUAUUAUACUUUAAAAUAUUUAUGAUAUAAAAAUAUAUUAAUAUAAUACCGACAUAUUGAUUAUUGAUUGUCGUGUUUAAUUAAGACUAGUAUAGCGUCUUAAGGUCAGAUGGGACUAUUGAAGAAACUUUUACCUCUAAGUGCCAAUUCGUUUGGAAUAAGAAAAAACAAUAAAAAGUGCCAGUACUUGUUUCUUUUCUUCUUUCUGUUUAAGACUUCUAUGGCUUGGGACCAUACCAGAAUUGUAUGUUCUACUUUUAAUUCUAGGACGACGUGAGUACAAAUUAAAUAUUUUUGUAUUGGUAACAAUAUUGAUCAUAAUCGAUUAAAAUAUUAAAUUUUACACUAAAGAACUUAAUAGAAAGAAUGUUGAUGAUGCUAACAACUAAACUUGAAUUUUUAAAUUUGAAAAUUAGAAAGAUUAAAUCUUAAAAGUAAAAGUAGAUGGACUAAUUAAAUUUCUAAUGUAUAAAGUGUAUAAGGAGUAAGGACUUAAAGUAUAUUUUAACACUUAAAUUUUUAUUUUAUAAUUUCAGACAAUCAAAUAAUUAAUCCAAUAUAAAACUUGGACGAAAAAAUUCUAUUUUCUUUUAAGCAUGUCGAAUUUAUUUCAAGCCUUCAAACAAACAAGCAAAGAAAAAAUAAAAUCAAAAGAAGAUAUCAAGUUGUCACUAGAUAACAAUUCUAGGUAGGAUUGGACCGAUGAGGUUCCGGUCCACAAUGAGCAAAACGGUGAGAGUGAUCCGAUUAAGUGAAGAAAUUUGAGAAGGGGGGGAGGGGGAACUUUCGUCGUUGUAAAGUGAAAAAGCUAAGGGAGUGAUUACAAUUUGAUUAUUAUUUCAUAUGCAAAUUCAAUUUUAAUUUAAAAUAACUUGAAGGCUAAAUUCAAUAAAAAAAUACUUUUAUAUUUCACUUUAAUAUUUAACAAUAAUAAGUUAAUUAAUAUAAUAUUAAAUUUAAAUAAAAUGGUUAUUUUAUAAAAUAAUUGUUUUUUCAUUUAUGAUAUAUGGACUUUUAUUUCUCAAGUUUUUAUAAAAUAAGGCUGUUAGGGUUGUUGCGUAUGUAUGCAUGUGUGUAUGCCUUGCAUGGGUGACAUUAGCAAACAAUAUCCCUCAGUUAGUAUAUAAGCUGAGCGAUAGUUGCUGAAAUGUGUGAGUUCCGGAAUAAUAAAAGUUCAAGUUUAUGCUUCUAUUUACUUUCUUGGCAAGUUUUCUCAGCUGCCAAACAGCUACAUAUGAUCGUUUGAUGUUCUUAACUAUCGACUUGUUGGAGUUUAGAGAAGUUGAGAGAGCAAAUAAAGAGAAAAAAAAGGAAAAUAUUUGCUUUCAAAAUUUUUCAUUAUUAUUAUUUUUACACAUGUAAUACAAUAUAUGGGUGUAGUGGUUACAGAUAAUUCAACAAGUCCUACUAAUACACCUUAAAAAUAUAAACCUAAAAUUUAUACAGAAACUGAUUAGGUAAAAUCAAUACCUAAAAAUAUCAAUUCAAUACUAACUCUGCUUGCUUUAACAAGUAAUCUCAGCAAAUAAAUUAAUUACAAAACAUUUAUAUCAGCAAAGGUGAACCCUACCAGCAUUACAACUAGUGGUUCACCAAAAACUUUACUAGCUCAUACUUUGAUGAGCUCCCAGCUUCAAUUGAACUCGCACUUUUUGUUCAACUCACAGCUUCACCGGAAGAAUUCGCCACUGCAUGCCACUUCACAACACGAUUGCAAGAAAGCUAAACCAAGCUGGGCUUAGCCCUCUGCUCUUGGCUCCUCAAAAUGACAAAACUCAAGCGGUGCUUCGACUCCUCAAGUUGACAAAGGCCUUUGUUCGUGUGAAAGGGAGGACGGCCUCACUCCUUUGCACCAAGUUGUUCAAACUGGAAAGGUUGAUCUUUUGUUCAAGUUUCUUGAGGUUUGUCCUGAGGCUAUUGAAGAUCUGACUGUUCCAGAUGAAACGGUUUUCCAUCUUGCCGUAAAAACCAGCAUGUUUUAAGCUUUUGAGCUCUUGGUGGGUGGCUUAUAAGAAGCCGCCAUGGAGCUGCCAAAUGUUGGGAGAAAGAACUACUUAGUUGGCCAGACAUUGAUGACAGUACUGUUCUGCACGUUGCAGUUUUAAACUCACCUCAGGUAUGCUAAUUUUGUUAGUUAAUUCAAUUAUUAAAUAUACAUAUAAUAGGGUUAUAUAUUUGAUUUUUUUUUAACUAACAGGUGAUAAAAGUAUUGCUGGAACAUUUGUGUCGACAUCAUAUCAAUGCCAAAAAUUUGGAUGGAUUCACUGCCCUAGAUAUCGAACCAGAGUUACCAGAAUGGCCAUUGGAUGAAGGGCAAGUGGAUAAUCGGGACUCCAUUAAAGAUAUGCUAAGCAAAGCAGGAGUUUGAGUGGUUCUUCGCUACCUAUGAGGCUCCGGUCUACAAUGGGAAAAACGGUGAGAGUGGUCCAAUUGUGUUGUCCUUAUUUGGGACCUGUUGCCCGCUUUUAGUUGCUGUUAACAUAUGGGCACUCAUCCUAUCAUGAUGGCCACAGCAUUGUUAAUUACUGCUGUUAACAAUGUUAACAAAAAAUUGUUAACUGUUUAUCCUGAAUUUUAAAAUAUGAAAAUAAAAAAGAUUAAAUUAUUAAAAAUAAAAUAUAUGAAAAAAAAUUUAAAAUUUUGAAAAGUACAUCGUCAAUCAUAUGGUCUGCUAAACCAUUCUUUCAUCACUCCUUCCACCACUCAUUUAGGUUGUUUUCUGUUUGAUCUAAGAUUUCCUACUUGGAAAUUUCCUUUGAUCUUUCAAGAUGUUUUAUUUUCUCAAAUUAGUGCGUUUUACUCACCUCUCAAAUCAAAACUUUUAUUCAACCUGAGUUGCAUUUGAUUUGGACUGGGUGUCUAUUUUCUAUGGCUUUGGGGUACUUGGAAAUUUCCUUCGACCUUGGAAGAUAAUUGUUUUUUGAGACAAGAGUGUUCGAGUCAUGUAUAAAUUUUGGUCAGAUUCCUGUGUUUUUGCAAAAUAUAAGUUCUAUUUCCUUUCUAUCUUGUCUUCUGGUUCUUUCUUCUUUGUGUUUUGUUGCAAAUUUCAUCAGCUUUCACUAAUCUGAAAAUUUACUGCCUAAUUUAUUACCCCCACAAAAAAAGCUAUGGAUGAGAGGAUGAUAGAAGCUGCCCACAUGGGAGAUAUUAACUUCUUGUAUGAGUUGAUUCUGAAUGAUCCAUAUGUUUUACAGCGUAUUGAUGAUGUGCCUUUUUUUAAUACUCAAUUGCAAGUAGCAACCUCUGUUGGGCAUAUUGAAUUUAUGAUGGAGAUGAUCAAAUUAAAGCCAACGUUUGCAAGAAAGCUAAACCAAGCAGGGUUUAGCCCCAUGCACUUGGCUCUGCAAAAUCACAGAACUCAUGCAGUGCUUCGACUCCUCAGGUUUGAUGAAGGCCUUGUUCGUGUCUAAGGGAGGGAGGACCUCACUCCUCUGCAUCAUGUGGUUCAAACUGAAAACUUUAAUCUUUUGAAAAAAAUUCUUGAGGUUUGUCCUGAGGCUAUUGAAGAUAUGACUGUUCGAGAUGAGAUGGUUUUCCAUCUUGCUGUAGAAAACGACACGUUUGAAGCUUUCCAAGUCUUGGUGGGGUGGCUUAUGAGAAGCUGCCAUGAGUCUGCCCAAUGGGAGAAAGAACUACUGAGUUGGGCAGACAUUGAUGACAACACUGUUUUACACAUUGCAGCUAUUAGAAACAGAGCUGGGGUAUAUGCUAAUUUUUGUCAUUAAGUCAGUUAUUGAUGUGCAUAUAUGGAUGAUAAAAGGGUUACUUAGAGGAAUAUUCUAAUUAACAGGUGGUAAAAGUAUUGCUGGAACACAUGCGGCGAGACCAAAUCAAUGCCAAAAAUUUGGAGGGAUUGACAGCACUAGAUAUCCAAUCACAAUACCCGUGGAAUGAAAGGCAAGCGGAUAGGAUUAUAGAUAUGCUAAGCAAAGCAGGUGGUUUGAGUGCUUCCUCUUCCUCGUUUCCCAAUACCUCCAUCUCUUCAUUCCACAUCGAAUCAUUAAAGAAAAAGAUGUCACGGUCUCAAAAAUGGGCGACAAGAGCAGGUCCAGAAAAGAAGGGUAUGCCACAUGAGAUCCGUAACACAUUUCUAGUAGUUAUGACACAUGCCCAUGUGAAGGAGGCACACGCCUAUGUGAAAAGAGGCACACACACGACUGUGUGCCCUAGAGACAUGACUGUGCGAAUAACCCAUGUUACUCUUUGUCCGAAAUUGUUAAAAUAAGGUGCAAAGCAGACACAGCCGUAUGAAAGUCUCACAUGCUCGUGUGCCACGGAACACUACUGUGUGCCCAGAACACACGCCCAUGUGAUUAUCAACUAAAAUCUCCAAAUCGAAACCACAAGAUCGUAUGACACCAAAAAUCAUCGAAAAACCCUAAUUCCUAAAUUCGCACAGCCGUAUGAACUGCCCGUGUGUGGCACAAGCCCGUGUGGUUACGAAACCACACCGAAACAAGCUACAGAACAUGCAUUUGCUACCGAAACAACCCUCAAUCCUCAUUAACAUAGUAAUACACCAAAAACAAAUAGUAUUUCAAGCAAUUCCAUAACAAUCUACACUUCGAUUGGUAAAUUUCAGAAACACACAAAAUAUGUCGAAUUUCACGGAGGCAAAUCAAAAUUUUAAAAAUGAAAAUGAUGAGCUUUCAAACCCACACCUAAAUUUGUGAUCAAAGCACGAGGAGAAAAACAAAGAAGAAAGCCAGAACGUAGGAGAAGGAAAUAAUAAAAUCUCCCCAACAAAAAUAAAAAAAAUUUGGAACAAAAAAAAAUGGAAACAAAUCUAACGUUUGGAAGAGGGAGGGAGAGGAGGAACGUGAAAAGAUUUUUUAGGAUAACUCCCUGUUGUAGACACAAAAUAAUAAUAAUAAUAAAAUAAAAAGAAUUAAAUUAAAUGAAAAUAACAAAUAAGUAUUGAAACUUUAAACAAGCUAAAAUAAAAUUGAUUCCUCUAAAACACUCAUGAGGGCUCAAACUUGAAAUCCGAAGGUAAACUAACACACUCGCCACUACCAACCAGCAGGCUCAUUCUAACAUUAAAACGCAAAAACAAGCACAAUUACUCAGCCUACUCACUAACCCUUACUUAAAACCUCAAAUCUUCUAACCCCAAAAUUUAGGAUGUUACAUGUAAUGUCCAUAUUUUUCUAAUACAAUUUUAUACAUGAAUUUUGGUUUUGUGCAGUUUUGCACAUGAUUUUUUUAUUUAAUUUAUUUUUCACAAACUACUAACAAAAUUAUUGAUAUAUAUCACCAUUUUAAGUUUACAUAUUAUAUACAUAAAUAAGUAUAUUUAUAAGAUAUCAAAAUAAAUCGAUGUCUUUAAACGUAACACCAAAACAAAGUUUGAUAUAUAACUCAACAUAUAAAAAGAAGUUAUUAAACAAUACAUAUAAUGUUUAGAACUAUAGUUCUAAUAUUAUUGGUAAAUUUAUAAUUUUCGGUUCACGUAAAUCUUAAUUAUAAAAAAUAAAAUUAUGACUUAUCUUGGAUUAAACUUACAUUAUAUUAUUUAAAUAAAUAAUUUACUAGUUUUUAAUGUCAGGUAGAUGUAUGUAAUUUUAUGCUUUUAAUAUUUAAUUAAUUUUAAAUAUUAUAUUUUUAAUUGAAAUAAUUAAUGUAAAAUAAUAUUUUUUAUUUGAAUUAUUGAAUGUAAUUAAAAUAUAUUAACUUAUCACUUCAAAUAUUAUAAUAGAAAUUUUUUAAAUCAAAAUUGCAUUUUUAACAUAAUCGACCUACAAUGUAAUUUUACUUUUAUGUAACUAAUACAAGUAACAUUAUUCAAAACAAUAACUAAUCAAUAUAAUUAAAUUUAGUAAUAAUUAAUUUUUAAUUAAGAUGCUUAAAAUUUUAGUAAUAAUUCAAUUUUACAUUGAUAAAUAUAUUAAUAUAAUUUUUUAUUUGUAAAUAUAAAUAUAAUAAUAUGAUAGAAAAUAAAAAGUAUUUUAAUAUGAAUAAAUAAAUUUUAAAAUUUAAAAUUCAACAUAUAUAUUUACAUAUUUCGCUAAUUCACCAACGUAUAUGCCUUGAUUUGAUAUAGUUAAUAUUCGGAUAAUGUUGUGAAUCACAUAUAUAUAUUUUGAAGUUUUAUCAUAUUUUCAUGGGUAAAAUACUUUAGAAGUUGUUGUACUCUUUGAAAAUUUAGAAUUUAGUUUUUAUGCUUUUAUUUUUAAGAAUUUAGUUCAUUUAUUUUUCAGAUUUUAAAAUUCAAAUCCAAUUGUUAAUAUUGUUAAUAUUUUUAAUUUCUUUAUGUUAAAUUCAAGUUCAUUACAACAUAUUUUUAGUUACAUGGUUUCCAAGUGUUUUUUUUUUUAAAUGUCACACCAACAAAUUUAACAAAAAAAAUUUGAGUGUUAACAAUUGGACCUGAGUUUUGAAAUUGAAAGGUAGAGGGACUAAGUUUUUGGAAAUAAAAGUAUAUGGAUUAAAUUUCAAAAUUUUGAAGAGUACAGAUACUUAUAACAUCUUUUAACCUAUUUUAAAAAUGUUUUGAAUCAUUACUUAACUUAUUUAGCUCUUCCAAUAAUUAUUUUAGAAUCUUUUUAAAUUUUAUCUUUCCUUAUAUAAUCUUUAUAAUUUUUUAAAAUUAAAUAUUUUGAAUUUAUUUUUUGUAAUUUUUGUUGAGAGAGAGACUAACCUACUCAUUUUCAAAAUUGUCAAGGACCAAACGAAUAUUUACAUCAAUCUAAUAUUUGAAUUAUUUGAAUCGAAACUCAAAUUACUAAUUCGAGUUGAGUUGAAAAAUCGAAUAACUCAGUUUCAUUAAAUAGAAAUUUAAUUUUUCUUUCUUUAUUCGAAUUAAAUUGAGUUUAAGUCGCCCUUAGUUUUACUCUAUAAAUAGGAUAUUUUUAAUAAUUUUUACCGUUCCUUCCACUUGCUUUUUGUUUGGUCCAAGGUUUUAUAGUUGGAAAUUCCCUUGGACCUUUAAAUAUGUUUAUUUUCUCAAAUUAGUGCGUUUAUGUCAUAAAUAAAAUCAACCUUUUUAUUUAAUGUGUAUUUCAUGUGGACUGGAUACCUGUUUUCUGUGGCUUUAGUUCUUGGAAAUUUCCUUGGACCUUGGAACAAAUUUGUUUCCUCAAACUAAAGUGUUCAAAUCAUGUAUAAAUUGUGGUCAGAUGCCUGUGCUUUUGCAGAAUACAGGUUCUAUUCCCUUUUCUAUAUUGUCUUCUGGUUCUUUCUUCUUUAUGUUUUGUUGCGAAUUUCAUCAGCUUUCAGUAAUCUGAAAAUUUACUGCCUAAUUUAUUACCCCAAAAAAAGCUAUGGAUGAGAGGAUGAUAGAGGCUGCCCAAACAGGAGAUAUAAUUAACCUCUUGUAUGAGUUGAUUCUGAAUGAUCCAUACGUUUUAGAGCGUAUUGAUGCUGUACCUUUUUCUCAUACUCCAUUGCAUAUAGCAGCCUCUGCUGGGCAUAUUGAGUUUAUGAUGGAGAUGAUCAAAUUAAAGCCAACGUUUGCAAGAAAGCUAAACCAAGCUGGGUUUAGCCCCAUGCACUUGGCUCUGCAAAAUGACAGAACUAAAGCAGUGCUUCGACUCCUCAGGUUUGAUGAAGGCCUUGUUCGUGUCAAAGGGAGGGAGGACCUCACUCCUCUGCACCAUGUGGUUCAAACUGGAAAUGUUGAUCUUUUGGUCAAGUUACUUAAGGUUUGUCCUGAGGCUAUUGCAGAUGUGACUGUUCGAGAUGAGACGGUAUUCCAUCUUGCUGUGAAAAACGACAUGUUUGAAGCUUUCCAAGUCUUGGUAGUGGCUUAUAAGAAGCCGCCAUGAGUCUGCCGAACGUUGGGAGAAAGAACUACUGAGUUGGGUAGACAUUGAUGGCAACACUGUGCUACACAUUGCAGCUAUCAGAAACAGACCUCAGGUUUGCUAAUUUUCCUAAUCAAGUCAAUUAUUGAUAUGUAUGUAUAUGAUAAAAGGGUAAUUUACAUUAAUUAAUUUCCAAUUAACAGGUGGUGGAAGUAUUGCUGGGACACUUGCGUCGAGACCAAAUCAAUGCCAAAAAUUUGUAGGGAUUGACAGCACUAGAUAUCCAAUCACAAUACCGAUGGAAUGAAAGGCAAGCGGAUAGGAUUAUAGAUAUGCUAAGCAAAGCAGGAGGUUUGAGUGCUUCCUCUUCCUCGCUUCCGAAUACCUCCAUCUCUUCAUUCCACAUCGAAUCAUUAAAGGAAAAGAUGCCAUGGUUUCAAAAAUUGGAAACAAAAACAGGUCGACUAAAGAACGGUAUUUCAUAUGAGAUGCGUAACACAUUUCUAAUAGUGAUAGUGCUACUUAUAACAACCACUUACGAACCCUCUUUAAACCCUCCAAACAUGCCUUAUGACAGUCCAUCCAUGAAAUACCAAGUCUCCUUAAGUCAAGAUCAGCCUCUCAAUUCCCACACAUUUUUGCAUAAAACCGACAUCAAUACUGCACCCAUACCCAGUCCCUCCGCAAUUGACGUUUCCAAAAAAGAUUAUUGGACAUCUAAUCACUCGUUUUUGGUUUUGAACAUGUUCAACUUUUCGGUUGCAGUUCUUUUAAUAGGACUUCUCCUACCAUAUCAUCCUUUCUCUUUGUUGAUUCACUUACCACUUUCCGGCUGUAUGGUAUCUUACACGGAGUUAUAUGCUUCCUUAUGUGAGUUUUCCAAUAAAAACGCACUUCUUUCUGGCGUUUAUAAUUUUUCCUUUACAAUGUUGCUGCCUUUUCUCGUAGUAUGCGGGUCAAUCUUUUAUGUUAUGGGCAAAGAGACAAAAUUUUCUAAGAAUCGGAAUUAAAUUGUAUAUUUGUUGAAGUUAGCUUCCAUGCAACACAAGCAGCAACAAACGUGUCCAUGCAAGCCACAUGCAGAAAAGAAGCAGCACAUGAAGGCAGCCGCUUGAGCUCGACAUUGCUGUCCAAAUUCAACUAGUUUUGUUGGAUUAAGUUUAUAUUUUGUAACUUAGUUCUUAUAGAACUUAGUUGGUAAACUUUUGAUGUAAUUUUUGAUGAUUGAUUGACUGAAAAUCCAGCCAAUGUAACUUAUGCAAGCUGAUUAACAAUUUCCAAUGUAUUAAGUGGAGUUAGGUAAGUGAUUAGGUAGUAUUUUGAUUUGUAAGUUUAACUCAAUGUUUGAUAUUUGUAAUGCCAACUUGCCAAUGUUUUGUUAAUGAAAAAUUAGCUUCUUUUUCAUUCAAAUUCUCUCCUUUCUUUGCUUUUGUUUUCUAUUUUCCACUUGCAAAGCUUUUCUUCUGUUUUGUUUCUUCCCCAAGCCACGAGGCUUGCUGUCCAAGCAAGGCUAGACCAGCUUGCUUACUGCCUUUAACACCAACAAUAUUUCUGUAAUAAUAAAAAUGAAAAUUUAUCAAUUUAAUAGUCUAUAUUUUUAUAUUUUUUAGAAGAUUAAAUCAAAAUUUUGUCAUUUAUAGGAGUCAAAAUAUAAUUUUAUCAUUACUAAUUUAAAAUUUUAUAAAUUAUAAAAGACUUAAAUAGAAAAAAAAAAUCAUUUUAAGGAGGCUCCAGCUCCCUGACUCCGCCUCUGCAGGUGGGUAACCAGUACCAAUCCAAAAUUCUCCAACCUCAUAAUAUAAUCUUUUACAUUGGCUUCCUCCUUUCUACACUGUGUCCAGUUUCGUGGAUCCUUCUAAUGUAAAUGCCGAAAGCGUAAUGAAGUUUUGGGGUUUGUAUUAGAGAUGGUGAUGGAGUAGUUAUUGGGUUGAGCUGGUUCAUUAGUUCCCUUCAUCUCUUCUACCGGACUCUUAUUCCUUUUUUAUUAUCAAGGGUGAAGGUCUGCACAUACUUUUGUUUAGGCCUAAUCGUCUCUUGAGGAAGAGCUAUGUUGUAAUGAUAAAAGAAGUGCGAAUUUGUUUGUCAAGUAGUUGUUGAAUAAGGAUCUUAACUAGGAUCUUAAAUAAAGGGAAAUGUAUUUGUUAUGUGCUCAUGAUACAUACCAUCGUGAUUCAUCAAAACAGCAUUCUAAAAUAUUUACUUUAAUUGUAAUUACUUGGUAUGCUUUACAAACGAGGUUGAGAUUUUGUUACAUAUUUUGUUUAUUUUUUCAAAAAACGAGGUUGAGAUUUUGUUACAUAUUUUGUUUUUUUUUAAAAUGAGAUUGAAAUUUUGUUACAUAUCUUAUUUAUUUUUCAAAAAAUUCAAUAUAAUUUAAAGGCACGUGACGAUAUAAAUUCUACUUGCACAAUUAAAAAAUUUCCAUUGGAAAUAUUUUAAAUAAUUAUCCUUAAUUCAAAACAAAUAAGUGUUGAGUGUAAUAGUAAAAUAUAUUGCAUUUCCAAGAAAAGAUGUAAGUUCAAACCUUGGAAAUAAUAUUAUUAGAGCGGCAGCCAUGAACUCCGAAUAUGGACCAUAAAAUAGAUAUAAAAAUAUGUAAAAUAUUUAGAAAAAUAAUAAAAUAUAAAACAUCACGUUAGAGUACUAUUACAUAUUACUAUAGAUUUAAUUUUAUGUGUUAUAAAUAAUAUAAUAUAUAAAAAUAACAAAAUAUUUAACAUUACAAACUUAUAAAAACGGGUUUAACCUGGGCUGACCUGGUCUUUAAAUGUUCAACCCCAUUUUUCAAAUCUAAUCUUUUUACCUAAAUCCUCCUCAUUUUUUAAACAAGCGAAUAUUCGGAGGAUUCUUCUAACCAAAAUAGAAAAUAUAUCAAAAAACUAAAAAGUAUAACAAAAAUAAUAAAUAAAAAAUUUACAUAUAAUUUGGAAUUUCUAAUUGUACUUAGAAUUGUAUAACGUAUAAUUGUAAUUUGUCAGCAAAGUUGUUUCUUUUUUUUUCCCCUUAAAAUUCAAAGAAUUCUUCUCCCUUUAUACAUAGGUCAUCGAUUCAGCAUUAGAAAAAGGGGCUCAAAUCGUUUUAUCGACAUGAGUGUUUUAUGUCGAAAAAAUAUUUUUGUUUUGAAAAUAUUUCUGUAUUUAGUAACAUAGUAGUAAAAAGAGUACCCAAUUGCAUCUGAACUUCAAACGGGUUUGGCCUUAACCAUGUUAAUGGUCCCAGAUUAUUGGUUAAUAAAGAAUCAAAGUCGAUGUGCCAAUGAAUCACGAAAUGCUAUAGUUCUAUAGUAUGAUUUUAAAAAUAUAUUCAGAAGUAAUUCGCGAGAUCAUGCACUCUUUUAUUUCCUAGUUAUAAUGAAAAAAAGUACAACUGGGUGAAUCCAGCUUAUUCUUGAAAUAAACAACUCACACACACUCACUUUCCAAAAAAGAUUAAUACACCAAGGACUACACUUAGAUUUAUUAGAUUUGUUGCUAAAAUAUCGGUAUUAACCCCGAAACUCUCGGCAGAUGGCCAGUGACCCAAGGAAACGAAAGAAUCGAUUACAUUUUUCAUAUGAUCUCCUAUUUUAUUUUAGAUAGACUAACAAAAAGAAUUCAGUUUUUUUUUGUAUUAUAUCGCUUUGACUCCUUUUCCAUUUAUUCUAUUCUAUCAUAUUUAUAUUAUUCUAAUUAUUCUAGUUCUAUGUAUUUCUUUAUUUGUUUUAAUAAAUUAUUAAAUUUAUUAUAAAAUUAUUCAUUAUUAUGAUUAUGAAUUUUCAUUUACCUAUGUCUAAACGGAGUUAAAAAUAUAUUCUAUUUAGCUAGUUAGCUAGAAAUGUAUUUUUUUAAUUGAAAAUUCCCAAUAAUAAUAAUUCUUAUUAGAAUUAGGGAGCAGGUUUCAUGUCAAUGGCAAAAUACCUCAUUUGAUGCUACACUCCUUUAAACAAUAAAUAAUAAAUAAGGGGUUCUUUUGAACUAAGAAGGAGAAGGAAGAAAGCGAGUUGGCGUGAUAAUUCUUCAGCCUCAAAUUAAUCCUUCCCACGGAUUAUUGUCCUAACGAAUAUUAAUUGUAGGGGUGAAAUCUUGAUAGAAUUCGAAAAAGCGAGGAGUAAGUCCCAAGCCAUAAAAUAAGAAAAACAAAUACAAAAUUCUCAUGUUUAUAGGAUUAAAUAAAGGGAUUCACAAAUAAGAGUGCCAGUGCUACAACCAGUGCAUAAAUUGUUAAAGCUUCCAUAAAAGCCAAACUAAGCAAUAAAGUACCUUGUAUUUUUUCCUCCGCCUCAGGUUGUCUCGCGAUACCUUCUACAGAUUGGCCCGCAGCAGUACCUUGACCGCCUCCAGGUCCAAUAGAAGCAAGCUCGACAGCCGACCCUGCAGUAAUAACGAAAGCGGCAGAAAUCAGUGGAUUCAUGAUAAGUUCCUCGCACCAAAAUAAAGAAAUAGUUAAUGAUACAAUCAUCCAAUGAAUUUUGACUUAAUUAUAUUAUAUCAUCCAUAUGUUUUACAGCGUAUUGAUGAUGUGCCUUUUUUUAAUACUCAAUUGCAAGUAGCAACCUCUGUUGGGCAUAUUGAAUUUAUGAUGGAGAUGAUCAAAUUAAAGCCAACGUUUGCAAGAAAGCUAAACCAAGCUGGGUUUAGCCCCAUGCACUUGGCUCUGCAAAAUGACAGAACUAAAGCAGUGCUUCGACUCCUCAGGUUUGAUGAAGGCCUUGUUCGUGUCAAAGGGAGGGAGGACCUCACUCCUUUGCACCAUGUGGUUCAAACUGGAAAUGUUGAUCUUUUGGUCAAGUUACUUAAGGUUUGUCCUGAGGCUAUUGUAGAUGUGACUGUUCGAGAUGAGACGGUAUUCCAUCUUGCUGUGAAAAACGACAUGUUUGAAGCUUUCCAAGUCUUGGUAGGGUGGCUUAUAAGAAGCCGCCAUGAGUCUGCCGAACGUUGGGAGAAAGAACUAUUGAGUUGGGUAGACAUUGAUGGCAACACUGUGCUACACAUUGCAGCUAUCAGAAACAGACCUCAGGUUUGCUAAUUUUCCUAAUCAAGUCAAUUAUUGAUAUGUAUGUAUAUGAUAAAAGGGUAAUUUACAUUAAUUAAUUUCUAAUUAACAGGUGGUGGAAGUAUUGCUGGGACACUUGCGUCGAGACCAAAUCAAUGCCAAAAAUUUGGAAGGAUUGACAGCACUAGAUAUCCAAUCACAAUACCUAUGGAAUGAAAGGCAAGCGGAUAGGAUUAUAGAUAUGCUAAGCAAAGCAGGAGGUUUGAGUGCUUCCUCUUCCUCGCUGUUGGAACAUUUGGCAGCAGCAAAAGAAGAGAACAGAGAGCAUAACAAUGAAGCAAGGUGCAAGAAGGAUUUUUACUUGCUCACAAAUGUGCAGCAAGGGAGCUUAUGGCUGAUAGCCUAUUCAGCUCAUUCAUUCAACUAGAAAAACAACAUAUUUAUAGUCAAAUACAUCACCAAAUACUACCUACUACCACUAGUUUUACUUUGAAUUAAGUAAAACUUAACUUGCACACAAGCUGAUUAUGUCAAUCAGCAACUAAAAACAUCAAAACAAUACCAACUUAGUUCAUUUUCAACUAAGUAGCUUAACAAAGAAACUAAAGAGAAAACCUUGCUGCUACAGCAAGUAUACGUGCUGCAGCAUGUCAUCAAGCUGCAUGCACUUCAAACAGCAGCAUGGUUGGCCAAUUUGAACACUCCUCCUUUGGACUCCAUGCUGCAAAUACAUAUCAUUCAGCAAGUUUUUGAACUAGGCAGCCCUUAGAUGCUUUGUUUCAAGCUGACCAAUUCAUUUUCAACCUUGGCCUCAUUCACAAACAAAUCUGACUUACACACUUGACUAUCCCAGUCUUUUGUGGCAAAGAUUUGUUCACCAAAUGGAGUCUUCUCCUCCUUCACAGCCUUGGUUGACAACUUGUUUCUUCUUGCACAAACAGUUCCUGAGUAUAGUUGCUUGCCUUCAUUCUGCCAUUUUGGCUUGCAACUAUACAACACACAUUAAGCUUCCACAUGUUGCUGAGCUCACACCUUUGACAGACUCACAUCUUUGCAUAUUGUCUUCAACAGGUGUCUUCAACAGGCUCGCACUUUGCUAAGCUUGCAGCUUUGACAUCUUGCUAAGCUUGCACAUUUGGAAAGCUCACACCUUUCUUUGAAACUCCUCCUUCAGCUUAUUCAAGCUUGUUUGGGGGUCUUAUAAGUUUGAGCCGGUGUUGAGCAGGGGAAACAAAAUCAAUGGUCCCUUAAGACUUAGGCUCUUGAUACCAUUUGUUGGAACAUUUGGCAGCAGCAAAAGAAGAUAACAGAGAGCAUAACAAUGAAGCAAGGUGCAAGAAGGAUUUUUACUUGCUCACAAAUGUGCAGUAAGGGAGCUUAUGGCUGAUAGCCUAUUCAGCUCAUUCAUUCAACUAGAAAAACAACAUAUUUAUAGUCAAAUACUUCACCAAAUACUACCUACUACCACUAGUUUUACUUUGAAACAAGUAAAACUUAACUUGCACACAAGCUGAUUAUGUCAAUCAACACCUAAAAACAUCAAAACAAUACCAACUUAGUUCAUUUUCAACUAAGUAGCUUAACAAAGAAACUAAAGAGAAAACCUUGCUGCUACAGCAAGUAUACGUGCUGCAGCAUGUCAUCAAGCUGCAUGCACUUCAAACAGCAGCAUGGUUGGCCAAUUUCAACACUCGCUUCCGAAUACCUCCAUCUCUUCAUUCCACAUCGAAUCAUUAAAGGAAAAGAUGCCAUGGUCUCAAAAAUUGGAAACAAAAAUAGGUCGACUAAAGAACGGUAUUUCAUAUGAGAUGCGUAACACACUUCUAAUAGUGAUAGUGCUACUUAUAACAACCACUUACGAACCCUCUUUAAACCCUCCAAAGAUGUCUUAUGACAGUCCACCCAUGAAAUACCAAGUCUCCUUAAGUCAAGAUCAGUCUCUCAAUUCCCACACAUUUUUGCAUAAAACCGACAUCAAUACUGCACCCAUACCCAGUCCUUCCGCAAUUGACGUUUCCAAAAAAGAUUAUUGGACAUCUAAUCACUUGUUUUUGGUUUUGAACAUGUUCAACUUUUCGGUUGCAGUUCUUUUAAUAGGACUUCUCCUACCAUAUCAUCCUUUCUCUUUGUUGAUUUACUUACCACUUUCCUGCUGUAUGGCAUCUUACACAGAGUUAUAUGCUUCCUUAUGUGAGUUUUCCAAUAAAAACGCACUUCUUUCUGGCGUUUAUAAUUUUUCCUUUACAAUGUUGCUGCCUUUUCUCGUAGUAUGCGGGUCAAUCUUUUAUGUUAUGGGCAAAGAGACAAAAUUUUCUAAGAAUCUGAAUUAAAUUGUAUAUUUGUUGAAGUUAGCUUCCAUGCAACACAAGCAGCAACAAACGUGUCCAUGCAAGCCACAUGCAGAAAAGAAGCAGCACAUGAAGGCAGCAGCUUGAGCUCGACAUUGUUGUCUAAAUUCAACUAGUUUUGUUGGAUUAAGUUUAUAUUCUAUAACUUAGUUCUUAUAGAACUUAGUUGGUAAACUUUUGAUGUAAUUUUUGAUGAUUGAUUGACUGAAAAUCGAGCCAAUGUAACUUAUGCAAGCUGAUUAACAAUUUCCAAUGUAUUAAGUGGAGUUAGGUACGUGAUUAGGUAGUAUUUUGAUUUGUAAGUUUAACUCAAUGUUUGAUAUUUGUAAUGGCAACUUGCCAAUGUUUUGUUAAUGAAAAAUUAGCUUCUUUUUCAUUCAAAUUCUCUCCUUUCUUUGUGUUGCGCGGAAGCGUGUAAAAGAGUAAAAUUAUUGUACUAAAAAAUCACACUAAGUUCAAUUCCUAGGAAAGAGAGGUGGAUCACGAGGAUCGCUUAAGUACCAGGUCUUUCCUAGCCAGAAUAUCCCUCUAUCUUAAUUUAGUAGCACAAUAAAUCACUACAAUCACACUCGCAAAAUAUGAAAAAUAAACAAUAAAGAACACUAGAAUUUUAACGAGGUUCAGAAAAUUUUGCCUACGUCCUCGUGCACUACCAAAUAUAUUUCACUCCAAAAUACAAGUGAAAGUUUACAAAUAAGGAGAGAGAACAAUUGCCUUAAGUAGAGAAUGGUAAAUGUGGGAUGUAGAAAAUGAGAAAUAGUUAGGCCUAUUUAUAGUUGAAGCUCAAGGAUCAACUUGCAAAGUCCCUAUACAAUUAGGGACCAAAAUUGCAAUUAUCCCAAGCCAAAUUUCAACCCUAAAAUCUAUGCCUUAAAUGUUUAGAGUUUCGGUGCCAAAUUUCUGACACCAUCCAUCGUUGAAAAGUCAAAGAUGGUUGCCAAUAAUCUCCACCUUGAAGAUUUGAUUAGGAUAAUCUUAUCUUCACACAAUUCUUUCUGCCUUUGACAACAAUACUUGAUAGUGCCUUCUUCAACUGUUAAACUUACAGGAUAUUGAUCAAGUUCAAACAAUGUUCGAACUUGAUUGUUGUUACCACUUUGGUCAUCAUAUCUGCAGGAUUAUCUGCAGUCUUGAUCUUCUGAAAUUUUCCCCCCAUCAAUAAUUUCUCGCACAAAAUGGAAUCGUACGUCGAUAUGCUUUGUACAUGCAUGAUAGACUUGAUUCUUUGCUAAAUGAAUAGCACUUUGACUAUCACAAUACACGUUAAUAUGCUUCUGAACAAAUCCCAAGGUUUUAACCAUACCUUGUAACCAAAUAGCUUCAUUUACAGCCUCUGUUACAGCCAUGUAUUCGGUUUCUGUGGUUGACAACGCAACUGUAGACUGCAGUGUAGACUUCCAACUUAUAAACACAUAACCGGUGGUUGAUCUUCGUUUGUCCAAAUCACCAGCAUAGUCAGAAUCAACGUACCCAAUAACACCUUUACCAAGUGUAGUAUCCUGCUUGAACAGUAAUCUAACAUCCACGGUCUUCAGAAUAUAUCGUAGAAUCCAUUUCACAGCUUGCCAAUGUCCUUUUCCAGGAUUAUGCAUAUACCUGCUCACUAUACUAACUGCCUGUGAAAUGUCGGGUCUUGUACACACCAUUGCAUACAUCAAGCUACCCACUGCAUUAGAAUACGGAACUUGUAACAUGUAUUCUUGUUCCGUAUUCGUCGAAGGAGAUAGUUGUGCAGAAAGCUUGAAAUGAGAAGCCAACGGGAUACUUACAGGUUUUGUUUGCUCGUUCAUGCCAAAUUGCUGUAGUACUUUCUUCAAAUACUGCUUCUGAGAUAAACUAACUCUGCCAUGAGCUCUAUCUCUACAUAUUUCCAUGCCAAUAAUCUUCUUAGCUUCACCUAGAUCUUUCAUCUCAAACUUGAGAUUGAGCUGAGUCUUCAAUCUCUCAAUCUCAACUUUGCUCUUAGAUGCUAUCAGCAUAUCAUCAACAUAUAAGAGCAAGUAUAUGAAAGUUCCUACUUGUAGCUUCUGAAAAUACACGCAAUGAUCAAAUUUACUUCUUGUGUACCUUUGUCCUUUUAUGAACUGAUCAAAUCGCUUGUACCACUGCCUCGGAGAUUGUUUCAAUCCAUAAAGCGACUUCGUCAGUUUGCAAACCCAAUUUUCUUUAUCAGCAACCUUGAAUCCAUCAGGCUGAGUCAUAUAGAUCUCCUCUUCCAAAUCACUGUGUAAAAAAGCCAUCUUUACAUCAAGCUGAACUAGUUCAAGGUCAUAUUGCACAACCAGGGCUAGCAAAAUCCGAAUAGACGAAUGCUUCACAACUGGAGAAAACACUUCAUUGUAGUCUAUUCCUUCUUUCUGAGCGUAACCUUUUGCUACCAAUCUAGCCUUGUAUCGAAUUUCAUUUUUACCAGAAAAUCCUUCCUUCUUUGCAUAUACCCAUUUGCAUCCAAUUGCCUUAUUUCCCUUGGGCAGUGUCACCAACUCCCAAGUCCUAUUUUUAUGAAGAGACUGCAUUUCUUCAUUCAUAGCCUGCUUCCACUUUACACCAUCAGGGUUACUUAUUGCUUCUGUGUAAGUAGAAGGAACAUCAUCAUCUGCAAUUGGAAGUGCAUAGGCCACUAUAUCAUUAAAGCGAACAGGCUUACGAAUCUCUCUUCUUGGCCUCCUAUAUGCAAUUGAAUCUUGUUGCUAUAGAAGUUCUUGAGUCGAAACUUCUUCAUCAUUUGCUCCUUUAGUAUUAGCUGGAUCAUCAUUAACCUUUUCAAGCUCCACCUGCUGCAAAGUGCCACUAGUUUUGUCAUCCUUUUGUGAAUCCUUGUUCUUCAUCAUGGUUGAUUCAUCAAAAGUCACAUCUCUACUGAAAAUAAUAUUUCUUGUAUCAGGACACCAGAGACGGUAUCCUUUUACUCCACUAGUUAUACCCAUGAAUAAUGCUUUCUUUGCUCUUGGGUCUAACUUAGAUUCUUUUACAUGAUAAUAUGCAGUGGAACCAAAAAACAUGUAAAGAAUCAUAAUCAGUAGCAGGUUUACCAGUCCACAUCUUCAUAGGAGUUUUUCCAUUUAUUGCAGCUGAUGGCAACCGGUUAAUUAGAUGGCACGCAUAUGUAACUGCCUCAGCCCAAAAUUCCUUGCCCAAUCCAGCAUUGGACAACAUACAUCGAACUUUCUCCAGUAUAGUCCGAUUCAUACGUUCUGCCACCCCAUUCUGCUGUGGUGUAUCUCGAACAGUGAAGUGUCGCACAAUGCCCUCAUCUUGACAUACUUGUAGAAAUGGAUCAUUUUUGUACUCAGUACCAUUAUCUGAUCGAAGUCGUUUGACCUUUCGACCAGUCUGAGUCUCCACCAUCUUCUUCCACUUCAGAAAUGCAUCCAAAAUUUCACUUUUUCUUUUCAUUAGAUACACCCAUACUUUUCUUGAAUAAUCAUCAACAAAAGUAACAAAAUAGUGCAUACCUCUCAAAGAAGCCACUUUGGUAGGUCCCCACACGUCACUGUGAACAUAGUCCAGAAUUCUUUCCGUAUUGUGAAUUGCUGAACCAAAUUUUACCCUCGCCUGCUUGCCCAGAACACAAUGUUCACAGAAUUCAAAUUUGCAAGAAUUUACACCUUUCAACAAGCCUUGCUUCGCCGAAGUCUACCAAGCUUUUUCACCAGCAUGUCCUAAUCGCAUAUGCCAUAACCUGGUAGCCUCUGAAUCUGCAUCUUUCGCAAAAGCUGUUGAUAUUGAUCCAAUAAUUGUACUUCCAUUUAAAUAGUACAAGUUAUUUCUUCUAGUGCCUUUUAUCACCGUCAAUACCCCAGCUACUACCUUUAGUAAUCUAUCUCUCAAAGUGACUGUGAGCCCUUUAGGUUCUAGGGCCCCUAAUGAGAUGAGAUUUUUCUUCAAGCUAGGUACAUAGCGAACAUCUGUCAAGACUUGGAUUGAGCCAUCGUGAUUCUUCAAUUUGAUUGUACCUACUCCUAUUGUCUUACAAGCACUGUCAUUGCCUAUAAAAACAACUCCACCUUCUAGUUUUUCAAGACUAGAAAAUCAAUCCUUAUUAGGACACAUAUGUUAAGUACAUCCCAAAUCCAAGAUCCACUCAUCCGUAUGACAUGUCAUUGCCAUGCCAACCAAGCUAAAGUCUGACUCCUCAUCAUGCUCCGUUACACAUGCAUCAGAAAUAGCCUUGCCCUUUUGUAACUUAAGACAAUUCUUUUUCCAGUGCCCUUUCUCACGACAAAAAGCACAUUCAUCUUUGGCGGGUCUCCCUUUGGACUUGCCCCUUCUACGAGGUUUGUUGCUGUGUGAACAACCUCUUACUAUUAAGACUACUGCAGUUGUAUCUCUGUGAUCUCUUUUAUCUUUCUUUCGAGUCUCAGAUCUGUACAAUGCACUACAAACUGCAUCAAAUGUGAUCGUAUCCUUCCCAUGAAGCAAUGUGGUGGUAAGAUGAUCAUAUUCAUCGGGAAGAGAAUUCUACAACAAUAAUGCCUUGUCUUCAUCUUCAAACUUCUCAUCCAAAUUUAGCAAGUCUGCUAAAAUUUUAUUGAAUGAGUUCACAUGGUCAUUCAUCGACAUACCGGGUGCAUACGUGAACCGAAAAAGUUUCUUUUCAUAUAAAGCCUAUUUUCAUGACUUUUCGUUAGAAACUUUUCUUCCAGUGUAUCCCACAACUUCUUCGCUAAUGUCUCCCUCAUGACAGAGUACUUCUGCUCUUUGGCCAAACAUAGGCGAAUUGUACCACACGUCUGUCUAUUGAUCUUGGCCCACUCCUUGUCAUCCAUCUUGUCAGGUUUUUCUUCAAGGGCUAUAUCCAACUCUUGCUGACAUAAGACAUCCAGGAUCUCACACUGUCACAUACCAAAAUUAUUGGUACCAUCAAAUUUAUCUACAAAUUUUGCAUUGGUCACGGUAGUCUUUAUUGAUGACGAUGCCUCUGCCAUUUUUCUCCUCAAUCCCAACUACUGUAUAUGUGAACAGUACCGUCUACGUGAAUAGUACAGUGGAUGAACAAUACCGUAUACGUAAAUAGUAUCGUAAACGGUCGUACUCCCCAAGUACGAAUCUAGCUUCGAUACCAAUUGUUGCGCGAAAGCGUGUAAAAGAGUAAAAUUAUUGUACUAAAAAAUCACACUAAGUUCAAUUCUCAGGAAAGAGAGGUAGAUCACGAGGAUCGCUUAAGUACCAAGUCUUUUCUAGCUAGAAUAUCCCUCUAUCGUAAUUUAAUAGCACAAUAAAUCACUACAAUCACACUCACAAAAUAUGCAAAAUAAACAAUAAAGAACACUAGAAUUUUAACAAGGUUCAGCAAAUUUUGCCUACGUCCUCGAGCAUUACUAAAUAUAUUUCACUCCAAAAUACAAGUGAAAGUUUACAAAUAAGGAGAGAGAACAAUUUCCUUAAGUAGAGAAUGACAAAUGUGGGAUGUAGAAAAUGAGAAAUAGCUAGGCCUAUUUAUAGUUUAAGCUCAAUGAUCAACUUGCAAAGUCCCUAUACAAUUAGGGACCAAAAUUGCAAUUAUCCCAAGCCAAAUUUCAACCCUAAAAUCUAUGCCUUAAAUGCUUAGAUUUUCGGUGCCAAAUUUCUGACACCAUCCAUCUUUGAAAAGCCAAAGAUGGUUGCCAAUACUUUGUUUUUGUUUUUUGUUUUCCACUUGCAAAGCUUAUCUUCUGUUUUGUUUCUUCCCCAAGCCACGAGGCUUGCUGUCCAAGCAAGGCUAGACCAACUUGCUUACUGCCUUUAACACCAACAAUAUUUCUGUAAUAAUAAAAAUGAAAAUUUAUCAGUUUAAUAGUCUAUAUUUUUAUAUUUUUUAGAAGAUUAAAUCAAAAUUUUGUCAUUUAUAGGAGCCAAAAUAUAAUUUUAUCAUUACUAAUUUAAAAUUUUAUAAAUUAUAAAAGACUUAAAUAGAAAAAAAUCAUUUUAAGGAGGCUCUAGCUCCCUGACUCCGCCUCUGCAGGUGGGUAACCGGUACUAAUCCAAAAUUCUCCAUCCUCAUAGUAUAAUCUUUUACAUUGGCUUCCUCCUUUCUACAUUGUGUCCAGUUUCGUGGAUCCUUCUAAUGUAAAUGCCGAAAGCGUAAUGAAGUUUUGGGGUUUGUAUUAGAGAUGGUGAUGGAGUAGUUAUUGGGUUGAGCUGGUUCAUUAGUUCCCUUCAUCUCUUCUACCGGUCUCUUAUUCUUUUUUUGUUAUCAAGGGUGAAGGUCUGCACAUACUUUUGUUUAGGCCUAAUCAUCUCUUGAGGAAGAGCUAUGUUGUAAUGAUAAAAGAAGUGUGAAUUUGGUGUGAAUUUGUUUGUCAAGUAGUAGUUGAAUCAGGAUCUUCACCAGAAUCUUAAAUAAAGGGAAAUGUAUUUGUUAUGUGCUCAUGAUACAUAUCAUCGACUCCAACACCCUUAAAAGUGAUUCAUCAAAACAGCAUUCUAAAAUAUUUACUUUAAUUGUAAUUAUUUGGUAGGCUUUACAAACGAGGUUGAGAUUUUGUUACAUAUUUUGUUUAUUUUUUUUAAAUGAGAUUGAAAUUUUGUUACAUAUCUUAUUUAUUUUUUAAAAAAUUCAAUAUAAUUUAAAGGCACGUGACGGUAUAAAUUCUACUUGUACAAUUUAAAAUUUUCCAUUGGCAAUAUUUUAAAUAAUUAUCCUUAAUUUAAAACAAAUAAGUGUUGAGUGUAAUAGUAAAAUAUAUUGCAUUUCCAAGAAAAGAUGUAAGUUCAAACCUUGAAAAUAAUAUUGUUAGAGCGGCAGCCAUGAACUCCAAAUAUGGACCAUAAAAUGGAUAUAAAAAAUACGUAAAAUAUUUAGAAAAAUAAUAAAAUAUAAAACAUCACGUUAGAGUACUAUUACAUAUUACUAUAGAUUUAAUUUUAUGUGUUAUAAAUAAUAUAAUAUAUAAAAAUAACAAAAUAUAUAACAUUACAAACUUAGAAAAACGGGUUUAACUUGGGCUGACCUGGUCUUUAAAUGUUUAAGCCCAUUUUUCAAAUCUAAUCUUUUUACCUAAAUCCUCCUCAUUUUUUAAACAAGCGAAUAUUCGGAGGAUUCUUCUGACCAAAAUAGAAAAUAUAUCAAAAAACUAAAAAGUAUAAUAAAAAUAAUAAAUAAAAAAUUUACAUAUAAUUUGGAAUUUCUAAUUGUACUUAGAAGUAUAACGUAUAAUUGUAAUUUGUCAGCAAAGUUGUUUCUUUUUUUUUCUUCAAAUUCAAAGAAUUCUUCUCCCUUUAUACAUAGGUCAUCAAUUCAGCAUUGGAAAAAGGGGCUCAAAUCGUUUUAUCGACAUGAGUGUUUUAUGUCGAAAAAAUAUUUUUGUUUUGAAAAUAUUUCUGUAUUUAGUAACAUAGUAGUAAAAAGAGUACCCUAUUGCAUCUGAACUUCAAACGGGUUUGGCCUUAACCAUGUUAAUGGUCCCAGAUUAUUGGUUAAUAGAGAAUCAAAGUCGAUGUACCAAUGAAUCACGAAAUGCUAUGGUUCUAUAAUAUGAUUUUAAAAUUUUAUUCAGAAGUAAUUUGCAAGAUCAUGCACUCUUUUCUUUCCUAGUUAUAAUGAAAAAAAGUACAAUUGGGUGAAUCCAGCUUAUUCUUGAAAUAAACAACUCGCACACACUCACUUUCCAAAAAAGAUUAAUACACCAAGGACUACACUUAGAUUUAUUAGAUUUGUUGCUAAAAUAUCGGUAUUAACCCCGAAACUCUCAGCGGAUGGCCAGUGACCCAGGGAAACGAAAGAAUCGGUCACAUUUUUCAUAUGAUCUCCUAUUUUAUUUUAGAUAGACUAAAAAAAAGAAUUCGUUUUUUUUUGGUAUUAUAUCGCUUUGACUCCUUUUCCAUUUAUUCUAUUCUAUCAUAUUUAUAUUAUUCUAAUUAUUCUAAUUCUAUGUAUUUCUUUAUUUGUUUUAAUAAAUUAUUAAAUUUAUUAUAAAAUUAUUCAUUAUUAUGAUUAUGAAUUUUCAUUUACAUAUGUCUAAACGGAGUUAAAAAAUAUAUUCUAUUUAUCUAGUUAGCUAGAAAUGUAUUUUUUUAAUUGAAAAUUCCCAAUAAUAAUAAUUCUUAUUAGAAUUAGGGAGCAGGUUUCAUGUCAAUGGCAAAAUACCUCAUUUGUUGCAACACUCCUUUAAACAAUAAAUAAUAAAUAAGGGGUUCUCUUGAACUAAGAAGGAGAAGGAAGAAAGCGAGUCGGUGUGAUAAUUUUUCAUCCUCAAAUUAAUCCUUCCCACGGAUUAUUGUCCUAACGAAUAUUAAUUGUAGGGGUGAAAUCUUGAUAGAAUUCGAAAAAGCGAGGAGUAAGUCCCAAGCCAUAAAAUAAGAAAAACAAAUACAAAAUUCUCAUGUUUAUAGGAUUAAACAAAGAGAUUCACAAAUAAGAGUGCCAAUGCUACAACCAGCCCAUAAAUUGUUAAAGCUUCCAUAAAAGCCAAACUAAGCAAUAAAGUACCUUGUAUUUUUCCCUCCGCCUAGGGUUGUCUAGCGAUACCUUCUACAGAUUGGCCCGCAACAGUACCUUGACCAACUCCAGGUCCAAUAGAAGCAAGCUCGACAGCCGACCCUGCAGCAAAAACGGAAGCGGCAGAAAUCAGUGGAUUCAUGAUAAGUUCUUCGCACCAAAAUAAAGAAAUGGUUAAUGAUACAAUCAUCCAAUGAAUUUUAACUUAAUUAUAUUAUUCCAUCGCUAAGAUUCAACCUGCCGAAGUAACUAAGAACUCCGAAUGGAAGUGAGAAGAUUAUUGAACUGUCAGAACUAUUUUGCAUCUUUUUUUAGGUCCUAUCCGCUAGAUUUUUUUUGAAUCCGCACAUAUUUUGUUCUUCCCUUUGUUUUUUCCAACCCAUUCUUUACUUUGAAUUCUUCGUUUUUAUCUUUAUUUUAUCUCUUUAUUCAUUCAAUUCAGAGUCAAAGACAAAAUAGAGGAACUUCUAUUCUUCUAUUAGAAUACCUAUCUAAGUCCACAGUAGUAGGUUGGAUUAGAUAUAUUUUAAGUUCGUAUAUAACUAGUCAAUAUCUCAUAUCUCAUAUACAUGUGUUUCUUACAUAACGUAAACCAACUAUUCAUGUCUUAGAUUCAAUUGGAUUCUAGAAUUAUUCCUCAAAGGAUAGACAAUAGCUGUCUUAUAGCCAUUAGAUUCCAUAUACCUAAUUUUACCCCCUUUUUUUCCUAAUAAUUUUUUAUAUCAUUUUUUUAUUGUAAAUUCGUCUCUUCCUUUUAUUUUUUUAUUUAGCAUUAUCUCACAUGGAUACAAUCUAAAUGGACGAAUUCAUUAGACCAAAUCAUUGCAUACAAAUAAAACAUCAAUAUCAGUAUUUGAUUGAGCUAAAUUCAUGCAAUUUAUUUUAUUAUUUAUGAAAAAAAAUUCUUUAGGUCAAUCAUUGAAUUGAAUGUAGAAAUUGACUAAAAUGGGAAUCAUUCUAUAUAAAGAACAACUUUUUUAAAAUCAUAGACCCUAAAUUGAUAAGAAUUCCUAUUCUAAUUAGGACUCAUAAUAUUGAAAUUGAAUAAACAAAAACAAUAUCAAGAUAAAGAUAAUAUUGAUUGAAGGUAAAUAUGAUAUAAAUAUAAGUAAUAAAAAAAUGGACCAACCCUGAAUUUUAGGAAAAAGAUCUUUUCAAUUAGAUCUCUUUCUUUUUUUUAUUACAAUUCUCUAAUAUCAUAAUCUUUUUUGUUAUUACUCUAGAUCGUCGUAUUUGUAUAUUUAAGGUCCCUAAGUAAGUAGAUUAUCCUGAGUUGUACAUACAUUGGAUUGGACCAAGCUAAACUAAAAAAGGGCUAGGCUAUUUCAAAAACAAAAACUAAUCAAUGAUGGCCCUCUAUGGAUUCGCUUAUAUAAGCCGCAGCUAAAGUUGCAAAAAUAAGAGCUUGAAUCCCACUUGUAAAUAAUCUAAGGAACAUGACAGGUAUAGGGACUACUGAAGGUACUAAAGAAACAAGAACAACAACUACUAAUUCAACAGCUAAUAUUUUCCCAAAAAGUCGAAAAACUAAGUGAUAAGGGUUUUGUGAAAUCCUCUAAAAUGUUAAUAGGUAAAAGAAUUGGAGUGGGUUGAAUGUAUUUACUAAAAUACCCCAAUUCUUUUUUUGAAAGACCUGCAUAGAAAUAUGCUACUGACGUGAGUAAAGCUAAAGCAACAGUAGUAUUUAUAUCAUUUUUGGGUUCGGCUAACUCUUCAUGAUGUAAUUGUAUGAUUUUCCAAGUUAACAGAGCGUCCGACCAGUUAGAAACAAAAAUAAAUAGAAACAUAGUUCCAAUAAAGGGAACCCAUGGACCAUAUUCUUCUCCAAUCUAAGUUUUGCUUACUUCUUGAGUGAAUUAAAGAACAUAUUCGAAGAAAUUUUGACCGACAGUUUGAAUUGUUUGUGGAUUCCGAACUGCGAUAACGACGGAACCUAAUAAGAUAGCAAUUAUAACCCAAGAAGUAAUAAGUACUUGGGAAUGGACUUGGAAACCUACUAUUUACCAAUAGAAAUGUUGGCUUACUUCCACACCAGAGAUAUCGUAUAACCCGUUUAGUGCGUUUGAUAUACCAUUCAUAUUGCCCUCUGACAGAAAUAGAAGUUUACUUUUAAAAAAAGGAAUUAUUUUUAUUCAAUCUUCUCUUGCCUACUCAAAUUCUAUAUUUUUGACACUGACGAAACUAAGCACACAAUAUUCACAAUUUUUUUAUCUCUUUUGUGCGAUUCAGGAUAUAGUAACUGAUUCCAUAGAUCUAUGUAAUUCCAAAAAAUAAUUUAUUUAUCUUAUUAUUAAUAAAGGAUUUCGUAUAUAACUAGAAUGACCCUCACAAAUUGCGACUACUAAUUUGUUAAGAAUUAAUCGAAUUAAAGCUAUAGAGUCAUCAUUUGCUGGAAUCGAAAUAUCUGCGAGAUUAGAUUGCUAUUUGUAUCGAUUAAACAAAUUGCUAGAAUUCCCAAAUUGAUACAUUCUCGCAGAGCCGUAUAUUCUUCUUGCUGAUCAAUGAUGAUUACAAUAUCAGACAAUCUCGUCAUAUAUUUAAUCCCGCCUAGAUAUGUUUGUAAGCGAGAUAAUUGUCUUUUUAACAUAGCUGUAUCUCUUUUCGGAAGAUAGUUGAGUCCCCCGGUCUUUUGUUCUGUUCUCAAGUCCCUGAACUUAUGAAGCCUCGUUUUUGUAGUGGGCUAAGUUGUUAACAUACCACCGAGCCAUUAGAAAAAGACAAUUGAAGAAGAAUUGUCCAUAAAUUUGCAGUCAAUAGUUAAUGGUUCCAAUUUAUUUGUCCUGAAUUUUGACUUUUGGAACUGAGAAUCCACAUUUUCUUUUUCAAUAGAAAAGAAAGGGAAAGUUUUUAGAUAUUGUGUGUCUUGAGAUACUAUAACCAAUUGAAGUUAUGGAUCCGAUCUAAAAAUGAAAAAGAAAAGGGAGAUACUCUCCUUUUUUUGUUUGUAGCCUUUUGGUGACAUGGCUGAGCUGUAAGGCGAGGGACUGCAAAUCCCUUAUUCCCCAGUUCAAAUCCGGGUGUCGCUUGAUCAACAAAAAACUCGAAAUCCUAACGUUUCCUAACAUCUAAGAUUCAAGGAAAAACUAAAGUAGUGGAAGGGAAUCGAUAAAUCUUGAUAUGGGAGCCCCCCUUACUAAUGGAGUGGCUACUAGAGGAGUCUUGAAUUAGAUUGGAUAACGGGAGUGUCUAAUUAACUAAUGAAUGGUUGUAGAAGGGUUGGAAGAUACUUUGUAUACAGACGGAUGAAAGUCUCUGAGUGUUCAGACAUCCAAUUAAUAUUAGAUUGGAUAGAUAAUUGACUUUUACUCUAUGAGAGACACCAAAAGAAAGAAUAAGUCUUAUUAUUGAUACAUGUGAGUAACAUUCUUUUGAUACUUCCAAAAGUGUUACUGCGCAUUUUGUUUGUGCUUAAUGGUUCUCGAUUUUACUCGAAAUCAUAUAUAUGUCUAAUUACAAUCUUAAUCCCCAUCAAAGUAGCAACAAAAUCAACAUUUAGUAUCUUAAUAAAGUCUAGGAUCUCUGAGAUAAGUUUUAAAGAGAUUUGAUCCUGUCUCCUUAAAAUAGGGGAUUCGAUUGUUUGAUCUAAUCCAAUAUUCAGGAUACAUUUUUUCUUCUAGAUCGAUUUCCAAUAUAAAAUAACACACGUCCAAAAUAACAAUAAAGAUCAUGAGCUAAAUGUUUUGUUUUAAAAACUUACCAACUCUAAAUAAAACAAGUUAUGUAAUUUACACAGCACAGAAUGCAGUUGUAACUUCCAUCCUCAUCAUUCCUUCAACAAUUUUCUCUUAAAUUUAACAUCUUUGAACAAAACACUAACAAAGGGGAAUCCCACAUUGUGCGGUUUCAUCAACGUUGGUUUCUCCUUGUUUUGGUUUAAAAUUAGGUCAUUUCAAGGGUUUUCCAUUAUAUGAAUGAAGUUUAACAUAAAAAAAAAGUACACAUUCCAAUAAAUAAUCAGAAAAUUAGCGUAAUUUUAAUAACUAGAAUAAAAUUUAUCAAUAUUAUAAAGAAGUGAUAAAUAGCGAUUCCGAAUUUGCUAUUAGCUGAUUUGGUCAAGAUUUAAUACUUCAAUUUAACCAUUUCCAAUUUCCUGGAAGGGAAGGGACCCCUUUUCCCAUACACAUUCAGCAUUGCUCACACUUUUUAGUGCAUGUUCUUUAAUGAAGUUUACUUAUAUUACAACAUCUAGACUUAAUUAUAAACAAAUUAUUUAUAUUUAUUUACUUAAAUAGAUUAUCCUUUACAAUUAAAGACAAAAACAUUCCACUAACCUUUCCUGUCGGAGCAGCUGCCAGGAAGGUACCAAUUGACAUAGGAGGAAAAUUAGAAGUUUAACCACCGAAAGCGAUUAAUUCAAAAAUUAAAGACUAGUAUGGUCCGUCAACAAGGAAACAAUAUAAAGUCAAAAAGGGCAGACAAACAAAGUAGAGAUUUAUGCCUAAAUGGCACCAUAUCAAAGCCAACUUGAUAUCAAGAAAAGAAAUCAUAAAUAAUAUAAUUGUUUUUUGAAAGUAAAAACAAAAUUGUGAUGAAAAAAAUAAAUUUACUUUUUUUUUUCUAAUUCGUUAUAAAUAAAAGGUGAAUUUAAUCUCUUUUACUAUAGAUUAUUAGUAAAAAUAAAAGUUAAAUUUAAAAGUUUUUUCAUUAUUAUAAAUAUAUUAUCAUUGUUUAUAUUUAAUCACAUUUCUAUUUUUUUUAAUAAAAAUGUUUAAAAUUAUCCAUAAUUCCUUCUCAAUAUUUUAAUAGGAGGAUAAAUACAUUCUAUCGUAAUCGAACCCACAUCCUCCUAUACCAACAAUAAUGCCGAUACUAACUGAGCUAACACUCAAUUAGACUAUUGAGUAGAGAAGUUCAUUAACCCAACUAGAUUAUUACUUAAAGUUCUUAGGCACAUCAUAUGUGAAUAAAUUUGAAAUAGAAAGAAAAAAGAACUUUCAAGGAAAAGUGAAAAAGCAAAGGGAAUGAUUAUUAUUUGAUAUAUAGUAGAAUCUUUUAAUUCUAUAAAUGAGAUCUUUUUAUAAUUUUUAUUUACUUUUUUGGAUUUAUCUAUUUUUUUUUUGAAUUUUUAGAAAUUAAUUUAAAUUGAUAGAAUAGGUAAACAAUAGAAUUAAUUUUGUUAUAUUUUUUAAAAUUAUCAAAUUUAUAGAAUAGGUAAAUAUUAAGAGCUAAAAACAUCAAUAUUACAUUAAAAAUUUAACUUAUGAGUAACCUCUUGAAACCGUUUUUUGAACAAAAUUGGCUUAUGAUAUUAUAGAAAACAUAAAAUUUUAAUUUUUAAACCGUUGGGUUUUUACUAAGAAAAUAGAAAUCGCAACCAUUCAUUUUAAUAAGGUGCGAUCGAUCACCUAAUAAAUUAACUUUUUAAAAUGAAAAUUUUUUGAAAUUCUCUUAAAAGGAUAAUUUUUUGAAACUACGUUUAGGGUUUGGGAUAUGUACAAGAAAAAUUAUAACACCUUCGUAAUGCCCAAAAAUUGAUAACUUGUUCAUUACGUGUUGUAUCAUAUCUUAGAAAUAUGAGUUCAAACUUUCAGUACUUAAUUGUCAUCCUUUAAAAUUAAAAUGAAUACAAAUUUAUUUAAUGAGCGAAUUUAAAAUUGAAAUUUGAAAAAUUGUCAAAUUUUGCAUUUUUGUUUAUUUAAAAGACAUUUUUUUUAUUCAUCCGAGUUUGAAAACAGCAUUCCAUCAUUAAACACAAUCAACAAUAUCAUAUUCCAAAAAUUUUGGUAUCGACCUCAUCAAUUUUUUAAUAUUGAAAUGUCAGCAAAAUAUAUUUAACGAAUAUACAUAAUAUCACAAUUAAAUGUCAAUCUCAAUCACGAAAUUCAACUAUAUUUCAAAAAAAAAAAAAUCUUCACAUGGAUUUUAUUUUAUGGUAUAUGUCAUGACAGUUAUUAUAUAACAAGAAAUUGGCAACCUAGCAAUGGCAUGGCGAUAUAAUUUGAACAAAAAAUUUGGGAUAUUCAAGUUUGAAGAGACAUGGAAUCACACUAUAAUAUUAAGGCAUUACAAUAUCUUCAAAAACAUCAGUCACAUAUCUCAACAACAUGAAGAGAAAAAAAUAAAGCUGCAUAAGGGAACUAUACCGAAGUGCCAAGCAUUGUAAUGUUGUGAGUGCUUACAUAUAUGGACGCAUAGAAAUUAAAUUUGAGAACAAAGACUCCUGGGGGAAACCAAAACUUCGAAUAUAGAUCUGGGUGAAACCAGAAUUUUGAAAUGACUAACUGGACGAAACUAAAAUUUGGAAAGUAGACUGAGCAAAACCAGAAUUUGAUUAUUUAGGUGAUUAUUUGAUGCUAAUGGUGAAUUUUAUACUCUUAAUCCUUUAAAUUCAUGUUUUAAUGCAUAAUAGAGCAUUUGGGUGCAAAAUGAGUGAAAACCGAAAAAUCGGAGCAAGUUAUAGGAGCCACAUGGGUUGACCUAUUCCACACGACCUAGACACAUGACCGUGUGAGCCACACAGCCAUGUAGUAGGCCAUGUUGAUUUCGUGAAUUUGCACCCUAAACUGUGGGAAAUCGCAUUUUUUAGAUUUUUCAGGAAUUCUAAGACGUAUAUAUGAUAAAAGUAAAAAGAUAGGAAUGAGUCGUCAUAGAAUACUCAAGAAAACAUCUCGACAAACACCAUUGAAACUAAUUCUAAAGUAGAUUUCCGUCAAGAUUGAAGAUUCUCAUUUGAUUUCUUUGGAGAUUGUCAUGAGUUUCUUUAUUUCUUUUCAAUUAUACUGUGUUUUGGAUUUUUUUAUUUUAUUUUCAAGCAUGAACUAAUUUUCUAAAUACCUAGGGGAGAUGAACCCUAUGAUAAAUUCUGUCUUUUGAUUUUUAUUUUUCGCAAUACAUAUUUAGAUCUUGUUUUCAAUUAUGUGUGCCUAAUUCUUGCUUUAAUAUUUCUAAAUUAUUGAUUUAUAUUUGAUGUACUUAAAUCAGAGGAGGAAAAGACCCUGUCUGAGAGUAGAUCUUGUGUAAUUGAGUGGAGUUACAUGCAAUUCUAGACAUAGAAUGACAUAAAUAUACUGGAUUAGAUUCAAAUCUAAUGGGCGAAUCCAUAGCACGAGUUAAUGCGAUAAUAGGGGUCUUAAUUAGAAAGAAAAUUCAAUUAAUCAACCUAGAGUCAGUUACUCUUCUUCUCGAAAGUGAUAUUAACAUAAUUUAGGGAUUUUUACAGAUCAAUAUACUAAGUAAAGAAAUAGCGUAAUUUAGAUUGAUAGUUACAAAUGAAAUUUAGGCGAAUUCUUUCCUGAGUAUUGUUUCACUUCUUGGUUAUUACUCUUUUUUUUAUUUGUUCUUUGAUCGUGUUCGUUAGUUAAUUAAUUUAGUUAAUUUUAGUUUUAAUCAUUCACUCGAAUUUAUCGGUUAAAUAAUAGAAAGACAAUAAUAACUAGUACUUUUAGUCUUCGUUGGAAUGAUAUAUUUGCUCAUUGUAACUAUAUUAUUAAUUGAUAAGUCCACUUGCCUUAGCCAAAUUUUUAAUUAAUUUCGUGAGACAUUAAUACUUUCUUGUUAUACUACUCUUACAUUGUUCUAUAAAAAAUUACUACAAAAAUACUUUAUAGAAAUUUAUUUUCUUGCUAUACUCUACUCAGUACUUAAUGAACUAUUUUCUUCAGUAUAAAACACAAACAAUCACCAGACUUCAUUGUAUUCUCAAAGUUUAUUUUUUCUUAAAACUCAUUUGCACACUAAGUAUAGGUGCGGUGGAUAGGACUUUAAAGAUAAUGACUUGAUACAUGUCUUGAAGCCUUAUCUUAUUGCUUUGAUUUUCUAUUCGUGUUGUUGUUCAUGCUUCGUUCAUAUGUUUGAGAUUUUCCUCACCAAAAUUCGGCAUUACCAUUUAAUUCUUCUUUAAGUCAUCCCAUAACUAUUUGUUCCAUUAAAUUUUGGUCAUAUCUACUUUCAUUUUUCAAGGGUUUGAUUAAGACUUCAUUAAUUUGUUAACCAUUACAGAAUUUGGGCCGAAGCCCAUAGAUUGUCAUGAAUAUUGGUUUAAUAAGCUCUCCUUUUGAAAACAUCACAACCACUUAUGCUCCUCAAUGAAUCACUACUUUCCCACUACACAAACAAAUUGUCACUCACACAUCAAACAAAUCACAUUCAAGAGACUACAAGGCCUUGUUAACAAAAGCAAACAAGACCUCAUACAAGAGAUGAAAGGGGACCAAUUAACCAGCUGAAACGAAUAAGAAUUCAACGAAGAUCACUCAAAGAAAUUGGAGUGCUUCAAUAUGGUUUCGGUAUUAAGGAUAGCUGGAACAAGAAUAAAAGCAAAGAGGAUAAAGGAAACGAUUUGUACGAGGACGAACAUCUUUGUUUUAGGCACAAACCUGCAGAAAACAUAACGGGCUAUCCGGUAUGAAACCAGCAGUGCUAGCGAUGUUGACAAGCAGUAAUUUAGAAUGCAGAGAGCACGAUAGGUCAAGGGUAUAGUAGUUUGAAGAGAAACCACAUACUGAAGUUUCCACGACCAUGUGGACACAGCAACUAAAAGCAUGUAACAGGUCCCAAACAAGGAAAGGGUUAUGAGAAGAAACAAGCUGAUUGAACGACUUGGUAGGAGAUAUGCUGUUAACCCGAUUGCUGCCCAAAAGGUUAAUGUGUUGUAUAACCAAAACAUGGAUGAUACGUCUAUUAAAUCUGACCAAUUAAUCUGAUCAUCGGCCAGUGGUGGCAGAGGACCUGGUAGGGGUGCAGUGCUGUCGGUUGAUUCUAAAGAUGCGUAAUACUUGAUAUGGUAUUUCAUGGAUGAACUGUUAUCAGCUUUCUUUGGAGGGCUUAAAGAGGCAGCGUAAGUGACUGUUAUAAUUAGCACUGUCACUACUAGAAAUGUAUUACGCAUCUCAAGCGGGAUACCCUUUCUUCCUCGACCUGCCAUUGUUGCAAAUUUUUGAAAACAUGACAUCUUCGGCCUUAAUGAUUUGAUGUGGAUUGAAGAGAUGGACUUAUUGGGAAGCUUGGAACCACACAAACCUCCUGCUUUUGUUAUCAUAUCUUUAACCGAGCCCUUAUAAUUAUUCACUUGCCUUUCAUCCAAUGGACAGUCUGGUUGGAUAUCUAAAGCAGUGGAUCCCUUCAAAUUUUUGGCAUUGAUAUGGUCUCGACGCAAGUGCCCCAGCAAUACUUGCACCACCUGUUAAUUAGAAAAUUCAUGUAAAUAACCCUUUUAUCAUAUACGUAUAUACAUCAAUAAUUGAGUUAACUAGCAAAUUAGCAUACCUGAGGUGAGUUUUUGAUAGCUGAAAUGUGUAGGACAUUGUUGCCAUCAAUGUCUGCCCAACUAAGCAGUUCUUUCUCCCAACGUUGGGCAGCUUCAUGGCGGCUCCUUAUAAGCCACCCCACCAAGACUUGAAAUGCUUCAAACUUGUCGUUUUUUACUGCAAGAUGGAAAACCCUCUCGUCUCGAACAGUCACAUCUUCAACAGCCUCAGGGCAAACCUCAAGGAACUUGAUCAAAAGAUCAACAUCUCCAGUUUGAGCCACAUGAUGCAGAGGGGUCAAGCCUUCCCUUCCUUUAACACGAACAAGGCCUUCAUCAAACUUGAGGAGUCGAAGCACAGCUUGAGUUAUGUUAUUUUGCAGAGCCAAGUGCAUGGGGCUAAACCCAGCUAGAUUUAACUUUCUUGCAAACGAUGGCUUUAAGUUGAUCAUCUCCAUCAUAAAAUCAACAUGCCCAGAACUGACUGCUACAUGCAAUGGAGUGUCAAGAAAAGGAACAUGAUCAAUACGCUCCAAAACAUAUGGAUCUUUCUGAAUUAGCAAAUACAAGACAUUAAUGUUUCCUGUUUGUGCAGCCUCUAUCAUUCUCCAAUCCAUAGCUAUGGAGAAGUGGAGGUAAUAAAUUACGCAGCAAAUUUUCAGGCUACUGAGAAAUGAUGAAAUUUGCAGGAAAACACAGAGAAUAGAGACACAUAAGACAAUAUAAAGGGAAUAGAAGCUAUAUUUAGCAAAACACACAGCAAUCCAACCACAAUUUUAUACAUGACUUUAAACGCGCUAGUCUGAAGAGAAACUUCUUAAAAAGUCGAAGGUAACUUUCACACUCCAAUUACGACUUGUUUAAAAGAAUAGAAAAUAUAGAACCCAUUUUGGUUGAAUGGAAAUCUUACUUCCGAAAAAAAAAAUCUAACCAAAAGGUUAGAGGUACAUAAAAUCGAAAUGAAACCCAACUCCUAGAACAGGAGGACAACAAACAGCUAUCAUCCUGGAUUAAAUAUAAAUGUUAAUUUCAUUCUAGAUACACAAUGCUUAAUAUAAUAUACUUCAACACACUCGAAUCCACGCCCUUCUGACAACAAUGUCAAUUGAACUAAUACGCAAUAAAUAACACCACUAUAUUUAAUUUUUUUAAAAAUAAUAACAUAUAUUUUAAAAAAUUCAAUUUAUAUGAGCCGGCCACCUUGCUAAGAUGAGAUUUUUUUGUUGUUUUUGGUCAUUUGCUUGUUAAAUUAACAAUUUUAUAUGAAUCUAUGUCAAAGCUGAACAUUUGGCAUACAUUCAUAUUAUAGAUGAGAUAGGUGAUUCACAUCAAAAUCAAAAUGUCGAGAGUCAAUAAGAAAUUUGAAAAAUACGAAAAGAGCUUCCAAUGAUAUCAUUGACGUUAAAGUAGGAAGAAGAAACUUGAUCUCUUUUUGUGAAGAAAAGGAAGAGAUCUUAUAUUGGUGGUGGAUUUAAUAAUGAGCCGGCCGUGGACCUCGAUGAAUGGUUGCUUUAUUUAUAUAGGAUUUGGUGGUAUGUAACAGGAUAUGGCUAGACCUCACUAAGAUAUGAUCAACCAUGCUGUAGAUAGUUGGUGGCAAGAUUUCUAUGAUGUGUAUUGGUAGGAUGAAGCUAGAAAAUUUUGUAGGGAUCAAAAUUAAAUUGUAUUUUUACGAUAAUAAAAAUAUAAUUUCAUCAUUUUAAUAGUCUACGUUUUAUAAUUUUUAAAAGAUUAAAUCAAAUUUUUAUCAUUUUUAGGGGGCAAAGUGCAAUUUUACCUUUACUAAUUUAAAAUUUUAAAGAGCUUAAAUGAAAAAUUUUCUAUUUUAGGGGAGACGGGCCCUGCCAGCCCCCUUAACUAGGCCCUUGUGUACUAGGAAGCAACAAAUGUAAUUGGAGGGUUCCGAUUGGAUUUGAUGGUGAUUCCAUAAGCAAACAAGACCCUAGUAAGGGGCGAACGUUUGAUUGAAUCGAGUAAAAAAAUUGAGUUAGUCGAGUUUACAAGCCUUGUUUUUAUCAUCUUAUCUCGACUUGAAUUUUUUUGCAUUCGAGUUCAUUGAAAUAAAAUUUCAUUUAAGUCGAAUCGAAUCAAGUGAAAUUGUUUGAGUUAAAUUUAAAAAAAUUAAACAUGUCAAGAUAAAAUCUUGUUACAAUAUAACUAAUUCUAUGUAAGAGCACAUAAAUUUGAAACAAUAUAUAUAUAUAUAUAUGAAAACUAUAAGAGAAAAAUAUAAUAUAUUUAAUACGAUAAACUUGAAUUGGUAAAUUUACUUGUUUAGAUCCUCAAAAUUAAUGUAUUGAAAAAUUUUAAACAUUUUUUUAUAUAUUCUUUAUUUUUUUUAAUUUUAAAAAAUUAUGAAUUUUUUGGAAUUUUUGAAAAAUAAUUUGAAUAUUUGAAAUUUAUUUUGAAUUGUUUUGUAAAUUUUUGUUGAGAGAGAUCGAUUUGAUCAUUUUUUAAAAUCGAUAGGGGUCAAAGGAAUAUUUACACUAAUCAAUUACACGAAUUGUAAAAUUCAACUCGACUCGAAUUCGAAAAAUUGAACUACUUGUUUAAGUUGACUUGAAAAAAUUGAAUAACUCGAUUAUUUCAAUUCGAUUAACUCAAAUUUUGAAAAAAAUAUUUUUUAAAUUAAAUCGAGUUUUGAUAAACCGCAUCUAUCUAGAUGAAAUGCCUUGAAAUUAGUUCAUCAUCAAUUAGAAAUUAGUUAUUUGACUCCUACUUUAUUUAAUAACAGAAGUCCAAUAAAUUUUAACUUAAUUAGAUCACUUUAAAUUUGGGCUAACCUUUUAAGAUAGUAAAUAAUAACAUGUAGUUGACAUUAUUAUAUAUGUUAUGUCCAUAUUUUUCCAACACAAUUUUAUACAUGACAUUUGGUUUUGUGCAGUUUUACGCAUGAAUUUUUUAUUUGAUUCACUAAAUCAAAGUAUCCACUGGAGCGAGCUCAAUACUAGCCUUUCACGUUCCGUAGGCCCAUUAAAUAAGUAGGCGUUUGCCACGAGUUUUAAAGUUACUCCAUACUUGGACACAGUUAUAUAUAUUACUUUAUUUUGUGUGAUGCACAAAUUUAAUUGUGUGGAUCAAUUAAAAUGUAUUCUCAAUGUUUCUAGUUGUUCGUGCAUUAUGCUACUUAAUCUUUGAUUUUGUCUGGUCGGUAAACAGUACGAAUAAAAAAUUCUUCGUCCUCGUACUAAUCGUUUACAUUGGCAUGGUUUCUAGCCCAAUCUAAAUACCGAAACUGUAAUGAAGUUUUGGGUUUUGUAUUAGUGAUAGUGAUGGGGUAGUUCCCUUCAUCUCUUGUACCGGAGUCUUUUUCUUUUUCUUUUUUUUGGUAUCAAGGGCGAAGGUCAGGUCACAAACUUUUGUUUAAGCCUAAUCGUCUAUUGAAAGGGUGAAUUUGUUUGUGAAGUCGUGGUUGAAUAAGGAUCAUAACCAGCUGUGCUUUUAUUGUAUUUUGUUCUUUUUGUAAUACAUCUUGAAGACAAUUCGAAGUCACAUAUCUUAUUUAUUUAAAAUCAAUAAGACUCAUGCCAAAAUUCCAUUUUCACUUGUAGGUUAAAAUUUUCAUGUUCAGUGUCUUAAAUAAUUAUUUUUAAUAUAAAAUCAAUAACGGUUAAAUACAAUGAUAAAACACAGUGCAUUUUUAAAAAAAGAUAUAAGUUUAAAUAUUGAAGAUAAUAUUGUUGAAUAGACAACUAUAAAAUUUAAAUAUAAAUUGUAAAACAGACAUAAAAAAGAUAUAAAAAAUUACCUUUAUUUAUUUAAUUAAAUAAAUUACCCUUUACAGUUUAAUCUAUACAAUUUCACUAGCCUUUCCCGUAGGAGCAGCCGUGAGGAAGGGACGAAAUGACAAUAGAAGGAGAAAAAUUGGAAGGGUUUAACAAGGAAACAAUAUAAAGUCAAAAAGGGCAGACAAAAAAUUUGCCUUUUCCAUUGAUUUUAGUUCUUGUCUUAUACUAAUAAAAUUAUGCCAUUGAUAUGUUCAUAAACAAAAGUUUCAAGGAAAUGGCACCCCCUGGUCUGAACCACAAAGCCAACUUGAUAUCAAGAAAAGAAAAGAAACCAUAAAUUCUUAUUUAUUGAAAAGGCUAAUAUUUAAAGUAUAAACACAAUUGUGAUGAAAAAAAUAAAUUUACCAUAAUUCCUCUUCAACCACAAUCUUUAAAUAAAAGGAUAAAUGUGUACCAACUAUUAAUCGUGCAUCUAUUUUGUUGAUUAGAGAAGUUCAUUGAACCAAUCAGGCUAUUAGGUAAAGUUGUUAGAGAUGUCUGAAAGAAUUGGGUAAAUAGAGAGAAAUAUCCAGCCAAACAGAGAAAUAUAAAAUGGAAAACUUCUUUUUGUUUGUUUAUUCCAAAAUCUUAACUCUCUGAAUACACAUGUUCAGUAUUUAUAGGCAUGAGUAACCGCUCCAUAUUGAGCAACAACCUUCACCGGAUACAUAACUAACUAACAACCUAUAAUACUCUAAUAUUCAUCCAUCUUCCCCACAGGCAAAACCCGUAGACAAUUCCGAAACCAAGCAAAAAUCGAUAGUGAAAGUGGCUUAGUGAGAACAUCAGCAACUUGAUCACACGCCGGAACCUCGCCAACGGCAACAGUACCAUCAGCAACCUUUUCACGAACAAAAAACAAAUCUAAUUCAACAUGCUUAAACUUUGAAUGAAGAACAGGAUUAGCAGCAACUGCAACCGCACCAGAACUAUCACACCAAAUAUUUGGAAUACUAGAAGACCGAACAUGUAACUCUUGAAGUAACGACAAAAGCCAUGUAACCUCACUAGUAACCGCAGCAAGACUCCGAUAUUCUGCCUCAGCAGUAGACCGAGCAACAACCUGUUGUUUCUUCGUACACCACGACACAGGAUUACAUCCGAAAUAAACACAGUACCCGGUAGUAGACCUUCGGUCAUCAAAAUCUAACCCCCAGUUUGCAUCAGCAUACCCAACUAAGGACAGAUUAGGUGACGGACGAAACAUAAUCCCAAACUCAAUCGUUCCACCUAGAUACCUCAAAAUACGCUUUAGAGCCGUCAUAUAGACAGAAGUGGGACAAUGCAUAAACUGACAUAUUUGAUUCAAAGCAUAUUCAACAUCUGGUCGCAUAAGAGUGACAUACUGUAGUACCCCAGCAAAGCUCCUGUAUUCAGUUGGAUCCUCUAAACACUCACCACCAUCUUUAGUUAAGAAAGAAGAACUAACCAUCAGUGUAUUAACACUCUUCGCAUUUUCCAUCGAACACCGAAUAAGAAUAUCACGUAUAUACUUCUUCUGACAUAGAUAAAGACAACCUGAUGAAGAACGAGUAACUUCUAUCCCAAGAAAAUAAUGAAGAUCGCCCAUGUCCUUAAGUGAGAACUCACUAUUCAGCAAUUUAACAAACCAUUCUAUAACAGAUGGCACAUCACCUGUCACAAUAAUAUCAUCAACAUACACAAGAACAUACAACGUUGAACCGGAAACAACCCGAACAAACAAGGAAGCAUCAGACUUCGAUACUACAAAGCCCACAGAUACUAGAAAUCCUUUUAGCUUCUCAAACCAGGCACGAGGGGCCUGACGAAGACCAUACAACGCUUUCUUCAAACGACAUACCAGAGGUCUGCCAUCGGAACCAUACUGUACAUAGCCAGGAGGUUGAUGCAUGAAGACUUCAGUAUCAAGAUCUCCAUUUAGAAACGCAUUAUUCACAUCCACCUGUCGAAGGGACCACCCCCUAGACAUAGCAAUAGACAGAAUAACUCUGAUAGUAGCCGGUUUUACCACCGGACUAAACGUUUCCUUAAAAUCACAACCUGAAACCUGAGAGCAGCCUUUCGCAACCAAGCGAGCCUUAUGGCGAGUAAUAGUACCAUCAGAAUUCCUCUUAAUCCUGAACAACCAUUUGCAUCCUAUAAUCUUACGAUUAGACGGAGCUGAAACUAGCUCCCAUGUGGAAUUGCGCAUAAGAGCAUCAUACUCAUCUUGCGCAGCAGCACGCCACUCAGCAGUAGCAAGAGCUUCUUCAAUUGUAGAAGGUUCUUUAACCUCAACAUGUAAAACCUUAGGCUUGUAAACUCCCGCUUUAGCUUAAGUGACCAUUGGGUGAGUAUUACCCACAGGUGGUCUACUAACUUGACUGUCAGAUGACGACGAAACGCCUUCAGACAGUCUUGAGAUAGACUGAGGAUGAUCAGUAAAAUCACCUAGUGAAGCCGACUCAUGCAAAAUUGAAAGAGCAUCCAACCCAGACCCAACAUCAUCCGAAGGAGCAUGAGAUUGCACCAAAUCUGUAUUUGAAGUAGAAACAUUAGGCUGAGACUGGAACCCUUGAAGAGAUGGUGACACAACACAAGGCAUAGGAGACGACGAAGAAGAAACAGUGGGCCACACAACGGGAACAACAUUCGAACUAGUCUGACUGGUCUUCGUCAUAGACUUAUCAGGGCUAGACUCAGCAAACAAAAAUCUCUGCUCAUCAAACACGACAUGUCUCAAAAUAAUAACCUUACCAUCCGGUAAAAGACACUGAUACCCCUUAUGACGAGGACUGUAACCCAACAAUGUAGACGGCUGAGACUGAAAAUCCAAUUUAUGACCAACAAACGGACGUAAAUAAGGAUAGCAGCAGCAGCCAAAAACUCGAAGAUGAUCAUAGGUCGGAUCAUUACCAUAAAGUGCCUUAAACGGAGAAUUUCCCUGAAGCACAACAGUAGGAAGUCGAUUGAUCAGAUGAACCGCGCAACAGAACGCAUACCCCCAGUACUGCAUAGGCAAACUCGCAUGAGCCAAUAACGUAAUACCCAUUUCAACAAUGUGACGAUGUUUACGCUCAGCCACUCCAUUUUGUUCAGAAGUGUACAGACACGUCAAUCGAUGAAUAAUUCCCUGGGAUUCCAAAACAGAUGUAAAACCACGGUAUUCUCCUCCCCAAUCACUCUGAAACUGCUUAAUAGACUUGCCAAAUUGUGUCUCAAUUAACUUUUGAAACUGAGUGAAACACUCUAUUGCUUGAGCUUUUUGACGUAUAAGAUAAACCCAGGUAAACCUAGUGCACAUGUCAAUAAACGAAACAUAAUAUCUCUUUUCAUCACAUGCAACAGAUGCGGGACCCCAAAGAUCAGAUACAACUAACUCAAAAGGUUGAUAACUAGUAGUAGAAGGUGAAAAAGGCAACUCAAAUUGACCUCCUGUAACACCUGAACUUGACGAUUCUCACAAUCAACCAACGCAUCAACCACACGCUUUAACGGCAGUACACCAGUCGACAAUCGAACAGACGAGAUGACCGCCUCAUAUUCCGACAGCAAUCCCGCAAGCACCACUUCAACCUUCUCUUCAUCAGAAAUACGCGAACCGGACGUAUCUAACAUAGCACAGAGAUCUUUAAUCUUAGCAACAUAAGUUUUAAUAGAGAGGUUACAUUUCUUCAAGGAAUGAAGCUCAUGCCGAAGUCUCGAUUGCUUGGCGCCAGUAUUGGUCGCAAACAGAUUAACGGCCAUACUCCAUACAUCACAAGCCGUGCAAGCAUCAUCAAAGGAAGAUUGAUGAGAAGAGCUUACUGUAGAUAAAAGCCAGGACGUCAGAAGUCGAUCUUGCUGCAUAAACACCUGAGCCGCCGGAUUUGGAGCACGCAAGCCAUCGGGUAGAAGAUUGAAACGUGAUGGUAGAGCAAUGGUGCCAUCUAAGAAGCCUGUAAGUCCAUAACCAUCAACUAUCAGUUUUACCUGUUUGCGCCAUUGAAGAUAAGUACCUUCAUCAAGUUUAACGACUUCAUGCCGAGGAAAGACAUUCGUGACACGAUCGGCAUCAAACACACCGGAGCUAGGUUCACCAAACUCAGAAUCAACGGAAGCCAUACUAAGAAAAAUCCAGAAUCAACCUGCGAAUGAUACCAUGAAAGAAUUGGGUAAAUAGAGAGAAAUAUCCAGCCAAACAGAGAAAUAUAAAAUGGAAAACUUCUUUUUGUUUGUUUAUUCCAAAAUCUUAACUCUCUGAAUACACAUGUUCAGUAUUUAUAGGCAUGAGUAACCGCUCCAUAAUGUCAUACGUGAAUAGAUUUAAAAAAGAAAGAAAAAAUAACUUUCAUCAUUAUAAAGGAAAAGUGAAAAAGCAAAAGGAAUUAUUAUUUGAUUUAUAGGAGAAAUUUUUAACUCUAUAAAUGAUAAUUUUUUAUAAUUUUUAUUUACUUUUUAUAAUUUUUAUAUUUAACAAAAUUAUUUUUUAAAAAUUUUUACAAUCUAAAUUAAAUUGAUAAAAUAUAUAAAUAAUAAGGUUAAAAUUUUUUUAAUUAUGAUAAAAUUGAUAAAAUAUAUAAAUAUUAUUAAAAAUUAAAUCAUCAACAUUAUUCUAUACUAACGAUUUAACUUAUAACCUGUUAGAAACAAUUUUUGAACAAAAUUGGUUUGAUGAUGGCUCCAAAUAAAUUUCAAGUCUAACGAACUUGUAUCAACAUCACGAAAUUCAACUAUAUUUCAAAAAUAUAUAUAUAUAAAAUAUAUAUAUUUAGGACUUUUUUAUGGUGCAUGUCAUGACAGUUAUUAUAUAACAAGAAAUUAGCAAUGUAAAAAAGGCAUGGAGAUAUAAUUAGAACAAAAAAUUUACAAAAUAGGGACGCUUGGGCUAUGAAGAUACUUAAAGUUUGAAGAGACAUGGAAUAUUAAGGCAUUAGAAUAUCUUCAAAAACAUCAGUCACAUAUCUCAACAACAUCAAGGGAAAAAAAAGAAAGAGCUGCAAAAGAGAACUAUACCGAAGAGCCAAGAAUUGUGAUGUUGUGAGUGCUUACAGAUAGACAUUAAAUUUGAGAACUUGAACACUGCUGCACUGCCACACAGAUCAAAUACUUGAUGGUUUAGUUUUAAGGAAGAAGGUAGUGAAAUUGUUGAUGGGAAAAUGGAGGUUCUAAUCCCGCUCCUUGUUGGAGACAAUUGUCUCAAGCUUUUUCCUUGUUUAAAGGUUCUCACCCCAAAACCCUUGCAUUCUUUUUUUUAAAACUCAAAAAGGAACUUUUAACUUCCUUUCUCCCCACCGCACCCAUGUAACUGCUUAUAUAUUAUAUGUACGUAAUAUGUAUAUAUUAUAUGUAUGUAAUACGUACAUAUUAUAUUAUAUAUUAUAUAACCCCACAUAUAUGUAUAUAUAUAUAUACACAUAUAGCAUUUUGUCCCUCAUUGCACAUCGGGGUUCGACAAGUGUUGCGGCUGAAGUAGUGAGAAUAUACAUUUUGUCUUGAUAGUUUUAAAAAGAUUGUUUUUAAAGAUAUUUUCGAUAUUUCUAAUUUAAAAAGAAAUUUAAUUUUAAUUACUUGUUAAUUUAAAGACAGCUUUAUUAUGACUUUUAAUAAUAGUAUUGUAAUUUUUAGAAAUUGUUCACUUAUCUAUAAAGGAUUGAUACAAAACAAUCUCUAUUUUAUCGAACUAAAGAUGUACACAAUGAUAGAAAUCGAAAUUGCAAAUAAGGAACUUAAAACUUUGUACUUUUGACAUUUGAGAUUGGGCCGUAUUAAGUAAGAAAAAAUUACUAACUUGUGAAAGAUGACAAUUUAAGUACACUUAGGGAAAUUUAUCUCCGACAAUGUGAAUCUUACUUGAAAAGUAAGAUUUCCAAGUAAUCUUUUAUUGAAAAAGGUACUAGAGUAAUUCAACCUUCAGAAUUUAUUCACACUAAUGCAUGUGGCCCCAAAAAUUUAUUGCGCGAAGCGAUUAUGAUUAUUAUAUUAAUUCAAAAUAUAUACAAUUGAUUUACCAUGCAUUGUAUUUUUCUUUAUGAUUCGUUUUACUUUUAGAUUAGGAAGGCCUACAAUAAGUAUGUAAAUGCAAAGAAAAACUGAGUCCAAUAUAUCAGGUAGGGAAAGUUUGUACAUUUAUUCAAGGUUCUUUAGUUGUAAACUAUGUAAUUUGGUUGGUGUUGAUUAAUAAUGAUCUAAAGUUUGUACAUUUAUAGAAGUGGAUGGUCUAAACCGGUGUUGAUUAUGGAUGGCAGAUAUGUGCAGUGCAGUGUUGCUAUCUUCGUCAUUUUUGGUUCAUCACUUGCCAAUGAAAGUCUUUCUUUUUAAGCAUUUGAAUCAACAGUUAAGAGAACAUCCAAUCUAUUGAUUUUAGUUUCUUAGCCGAAUGACGGCUUUUAGUUCAUAAUUUCCAUUGGCGAACCCAAUGCAGCAGCUAAGUGUAAUGAAGUGACAUCAAUGCGGCCUAAAAACAUUUCCAUCUCGGUAGAUUAAUCUAUACAAUUCGCCUUUCCUGUACGAGCAGCUGUGAGGAAGGGGCCAAUUGACAAUAGCAGGAGAAAAUUUGGAGGGGUUUAACCAUCGAAAGCGACUCAUUCAAAAAUUGAAGACUGGUAUGGUCCGUCAAUUACGGUCGACAAGGAAACAAUAUAAAGUAAGAGAAGGUAGACAAUUAUUUUGGUAGUGGUGAAGGUUAAAAGAACUGCUUCUUCCAUGGAUUUUAGAUUUUAAUCAUUCUGUACUAAUUGGAUGAUGCCUUUGAUAUGUUCAUACUUCAUAUUCAAAAGUUUAAACAAACUGGCACCCCGUGGUGUGAACGAGGAAGCCACCUUGAUAUCAAGAACAGAAAAUAAAUAUCAAAAUUAAGUUUUGUUAAUAAAUGAACUUCAUUUAAUUUUAAUUAAAAAAAUACUUUGUUAAUAUUAAUAAGAUUUUGAAAUAUAUUGUCUAAUAUUUUUAAUAAAGAAUAAAUCUUAAAAUCACAUAAAAUUUUAGUUCCAUGUGUAUUGUGUUCUAACCAGAAAUAUGAUAUAAAUAUUAAUAAACAAGGAUAUGUCAUGUCAAAUAAUACAGAAUAAAUUAAGAACAAAACUAAAUGUGAAAGCGUACUUGAAUUCAUUUAAAUAUUGUGGUUUUGAUCUUUAAAAUUAACACAUAAGUGUUUUAGAGAAGGCGAUACUCUCUUUUUUGAAUAAAUCGAUGUUUUUAUUUCUUUAAACUUGAAUAAUUGAAUCAAAAUUAAAAUUUCAAGUAUACAUUUAAACCACAAUCAAAGUUUCAUGUGUAUAAUGGCACCAAAUUAAAGUUCGUGUAUUGAUUUGCAUAUCCAAUCAAUGUUUAUGUACAGUUCUGAGAUUUAUCUCUUUUAAUAAUUUUGAAAUGCAUUUUUAAUAAUUUUAAUUUUUUUAAUUCGAAAAAUAUAGUUUAAGAAAAUCUCAAAUUUUAGGUUUUCUUAAGGAAAGUUCAGAAUUUUACAAAAAAAAAUUAGAAUUUUUCGAUUUUUUAGUAAUUUUAGAGAUCAUAAUGUGUUUUAUUUUUAUUUUGAAUUUUUUAAAAAUAUUAGUUAAAUACAUUUGUCAACCUCUUAAUCCCAAUUGUGGAGUUAAGAAGUUAUAUUAUAUGUGUAUCAAAUAAUUAUCCUUAGCAAAGGGAAGUGAGGAUUAUUAUUUGAUAUAUAGGGGUUCUUUCAACAAAGGAUGAGUGUUCAAUCAAAUCAAGUGAAAAAAAAUUAGAGUUAAUUGAGUUGAUGAGUCAUAUUUUAUCAUCUUAAAUUGAUUUGAUUUUUUUCAAAUCAAGUCGAGUGAAAUAAAUUCAAUUUAAAUCAAGUGAAAUUGUUUGAGUUAUUUUAAAAAAAAUUAAACAUGCCAAAUUGAAAUCUUAUUACAGUACAACUAAUUUUACAUUAAAACACAUAAAAUUGAAACAAUAUAUAUAUUUGAAAAAAAAAUUAAAGCAAAAUAAGAAAAAAAUAAAUAUUCUUUAGUAUGAUAAACUUAUUCAAUCAUCAAUUAUUUUAAUUUUGUAUAUAUAAUAUAUAAAUGUAAAAUGAUGUUAUGUGAAUAGUUUUGUUAAUAAUUUGUAUAUGUAAAAGUGAACACAUAUAUUAUACAUUUCCCUAAUUCACCAGCAAAUCUGCCUUAAUUUUGAUAUGGAUAUACUUAAUACUCGGAUAAUGUUGUGAAUCACAUAUAUUGUUUAAUUUUCUUUUUUGAAGUUUUAAUAUAUUUUAAUGGGUAAGAUAUGUCAUUUUUACUCUUUGAAAUUUUGGAAUUUAGUUCCUAGACUUUUAUUUUUAGGAAUUUAGUCAAUUUACUUUUUAGAUUUUAAAAUCAAAUCCAAUUAUUGACCCUCUUAAAUUUUUUUUGUUAAAUUUAAGUUUAUUAUAACGUUAUUUUUUUUAGUUAUAUCGCUACCAAAUGAGUUUCUUUUCAAAAUGUCACACCAAAAAAAUUUAACAAAAAAAGACAUUUAACAAUAUUAACAAUUGGACCUGAAUUUUGAAAUUUGAAAAGUAAAGAGACUAAAUUCUUAGAAAUAAAAGUACAUGGAUUAAAUUUCAAAAUUUUGAAGAGUAUAGAGACUUAUGGCAUAUUUUAACCUAUUUUUAAAUUGUUUUGAAUAUUUAUCUGCUUGUUUAAUUUUUAUAUUUUUUUGGAUUUUUAAUAAUUUUUGUGAAGUUUUUUAGAAUCAAGAUUAAAUUGAUAUAAUAUGCAAACAUUGAGGGUUAAAUUUAUUAAUUUUUAGAAUUAUGAUUAAUUUGACAGAAUGUGUAAACAUUAAAGGAUGAAUUUGUUAUUAUGUCAAUAAAAAAGUUACGUCAACAUUCUAUUAACAUUUAAUAGAUAAUUAACCAAAAAUAUUACUAUUGAUAACAUUGGUGACAAAACCAAAAAACGUGCUAAUACUUAGUGACUAACAACUCUUGGAUGCAAUGAUACGACUCAUUAUACUCUUAAGAAGAGAACACGAGUUUAAAAAUGAGACACAACAUUAUUAAGAGGGGGAUAAUAACAAACCUUAAACACUUACAGUAAAUAUAUAUCCAGAAUCAUAUGGUGCAUUAAACCAUUCAUUCAUCACUCCUUCAGCUAGCUUUUUGUUUGGUCCAAGAAUUCAUAGUUGGAAAUGUCAUGUAUAAAAUCAACCAUUUUAUUUCAUGUGGACUGGAUACCUUCUUUCUGUGACUUUGCUGCUUGGAAAUUUCCUUGGACCUUCGAAGAAAAUUAACUCCUUAAACUAGAGUUCUGUUCAAAUCAUGUAUAACUUGUGGUCAGAUCGGAAACAUGUGUUUCCGGAAAAUAUAGGUUCUAUUUCUAUUUCUAUGUUGUCUUCUACUUCUUUCUUCUUUGUGUUUGGUUGCAAAUUUCCUUAGUUUUCAGUAAUCUGAAAAUUUACUGCUUAAUUUAUUAAACCUCAAGAGAAAAGCUAUGGAUGAGAGGAUGAUACAGGCUGCCCAAACAGGAGAUAUUAACCUCUUGUAUGAGUUGAUUCUGAAUGAUCCAUAUGUUUUACAGCGUAUUGAUGAUGUGCCUUUUUUUCAUACUCCAGUGCAUGUAGCUGCCUCUGCUGGGCAUAUUGAGUUUAUGAUGGAGAUGAUCAAAUUAAAGCCGACGUUUGCGAGAAAGCUAAACCAAGCUGGGUUUAGCCCCAUGCACUUGGCUCUGCAAAAUGACAGAACUCAUGCAGUGCUUCGACUCCUCAGGUUUGAUGAAGGCCUUGUUCGUGUCAAAGGGAGGGAGGACCUCACUCCUCUGCACCAUGUAGUUCAAACUGGAAAUGUUGAUCUUUUGAUCAAAUUACUUGCGGUUUGUCCUGAGGCUAUUGAAGAUGUGACUGUUCGAGAUCUUGCAGUAAAAAACGACAUGUUUGAAGCAUUUCAAGUCUUGGUGGGGUGGCUUAUAAGGAGCCGCUAUGGAGCUGCACAACGUUGGGAGAAAGAACUGCUUAGUUGGGCGGACAUUGAUGGCAACACUGUGCUGCACAUUGCAGCUAUCAGACACAGACCUCGGGUAUAUGCUAAUUUUCCUAAUCAAGUCAAUUAUUGAUAUGUAUGUAAGUAUGAUAAAACGGUUAUUUAUAUAUGAAUAUUCUAAUUAACAGGUGAUGGAAGUAUUGCUGGAACACUUGCAUCCAUACCAAAUCAAUGCCAAAAAUUUGGAGGGACUGACAGCACUAGAUAUCCAAUCACAAUACCCAUGGAAUGAAAGGCAAGCGGAUAGGACUAUAGAUAUGCUAAGCAAAGCAGGAGGCUUGAGUGGUUCCUCUUCCUCGCUUCCCAAUACCUCCACCUCUUCAUUCCACAUCGAUUCUUUAAAAGAAAAGAUGACAUGGUAUGAAAAAUGGAUAAAAGCAGGUCGAAGAAUGAAGGGUAUGCCACAUGAGAUGCGUAACAUAUUACUCUGCUAAUUAUAACCACCACUUACGAUGCCUCUUUAAACCCUCCAAAUACGCCUGAUGACAGCCCAUUCAAGAACUACCAAUUCUCUUUAAGUCAAGACCAGCCUCUCAAUUCCCACACAUUUUUGCAUAAAACCGACAUCAAUACUGCGCCCAUGCCCAGUCCCUCCGCAAUUGACGUUUUCAUAAAAGAUGAAUGGUCAUCUGAAUACUCCUCGUUUUGGGCUUACAACUCGUUAACCUUUUGGGCAGCAGUUUUUUUAACAGCAAUUCUCCUACCACCUCAUUCAUUCUGUACGUUGGUUGAUACUCCUAGCACUUACCGUGUUUGGGAGAUCUUACAUGCAUUUAGCUGCUGUUUCGACGUGGUCACGGGUACCAUUACCAUAUGCCAGUGAAAAGGCAUACUCAUAUUUUUCUUCAGGCUCCGUUUAUAAUCAAGCAUUCUUAACGUUUCUGCCUGUCCUUAUGGUAUUCCGGGCAAUCUUUUAUGACCCGCAAACAUUACCAAACCAAAUUUCUCCAUGCUACUAUUAUUUGGUAAAGUUCUCUGGCAUUGUAUUCAAGAGAAGGUCACGGCGAGACGAGCCGUUUAUCAUUACGAUAGGUGUCAAGUGGAAGUGCAGUGAUGUAUGCAGCUGAGGCAUCCUAACAGACCGGUAGACUUGAACCUUGUUCCUACAUGACCCGAUCAAUUCGAUCAGGCACUCGCCAUCUAUUUUCAUUGUUCAACUCUUUGACAACACGAAAAAUCCAUUGUUCAACUCUUUGACAACAUGAAAAAACCAAAAGCUCUGCCCUCCCUCUCUAUCUAUCCAUGGGAUGGAAGGGCGGAGGCCUUUGGUGUCCCCUCCAGUCAAGAAUUGGGGCCUCAUAGAGAUAGCAAGCAAAACAGAAAAGAAUCAGAGAAACGAACUAGUAACUAGAAAAUAGAGAAAAGAGCUCAUUUUGUGUAUUGAAUCAGAUCAUCAAUUACAAUGUAGCAAAGAACUUAAGUAAUUAAAUUAGUUACUUAAGUUCUUUGCUACAUUGUAAUUGAUGAUCUGAUUCAAUACACAAAAUGAGCUCUUUUCUCUAUUUUCUAGUUACUAGUUCGUUUCUCUGAUUCUUUUCUGUUUUGCUUGCUAUCUCUGGUUGCCUUCCUUGCAACUGUCGCCGGAGCACUGCCAUUUUCACAUGGUAUCAAAGCAAAGGUUUUUCGACCAGUAGAUCGACGAUUACUCAUUUUUAUGGAUCCACCAUCAAUUCCCAUUGUUGCUUAGGUCAAUCUGUCUUUUACAAAUAACAAAAUCAGUGUUUAUCUUAAUGAUCAAUGUUUAUCAAAAAAAAAAUGGUGGAAAUCCACUUUCAAAAUGAAAAUCACCUAAAAAUUGAAUUUAUAUUUUUUUGAAGUUUGAAAAUAGAAAUAAAUCAUUUGGUUAUAUUGAAUCGUUGAAUAUGAGAAUAUUAAAUAUAUUUUAUUCUAGAUUCUUCUACGUAAAGUCGUCAUGAUUUUAAUGGAAUUAGAAUUGGAUUGAGAAAAUUAUUUAAAUAAAAAAUAUCGGGUUGAAUCGAAUUAUAAAAUAUUGGAUUAAAAGCUCAAAAAGUACUUGGACUUGGACCCAAUAUGGAAUAGUCCCAAAAGCCCUUUAUGUGAAAAGAGGUGGAAGUCUAACCCUAGUAAAAAUAGCUAGGGUUGUCGCCACCUAUAUUCUUAGUUGGACCAGGAGUUCGUUUUACUAGUUGAAAUAAACUUCUAUAAUUCAACAAGAAUUCUACCUUAUUUCCCUAUAAAUAGAUUACAUCAGUAGGGUUAUUUACAAAACUUUCAGAUAUUAUUAUUUUGCCUGAAAAUAGAGAGACUUUUAUUCUCUAAGAAUUAAAUAUAUUUUUUGGAAUAAUGAUUAUAUCGGUUUCUAUUUGAGAAGAGAUUUUCGUUUCCACAAAAAAAAAUAUUUCUAGUUCUGUGUUUGAUUCGAUUUAUUCGAGCCCACACUCAAAGUAGCUCGUGGUACGAGAAUAGCAUAAAAUAUCGUUUGGUUGAAAGUCGGGAACGACAAUAAUCCGUCUAUCCAAAAAUGCAGGUGCGAAUUCAGCCUAAAGUUUAUUACUAUAAAACCAUUUUUGAACCUAAUUUUUUUCAACAAGAAAAUCAUUUUCGAACCUAAUUUUUUUCAACAGUUAGUAUUAGAGCGUCAAGUUGUGCUAUGUUUAUAGUGUAAACCGAUAUCAAAAUUCUCUCUCUUCUUCAUGAUUAAUUAUAUUUGAUAAAAUGUGACAUUCUUGUGAUAAUAUGCAUGCAUGUUUACGGGAAUGUAUGCGGAUGAAUAUAUGAUAUUAUUUUAUUGCUAUGGAUGAUAAAGUAAAUUUGCCAAAGUUGUGAUUCCUAGAAAAUAAUAAUAAUUUAUUAUUAAUUUAGAUUGUGAACUAUCAUCUUCAUGCAAGAUUUAUUUUAUUUUAGAAUAAAAUAUGUGAGUAGGAAACGGAAAUAGGAAUUUCGUAACCUAAAUUUUCCCACCGAAACCCGAGAACUGAGAUAACGCAAAUUCAACCUAGCCAAAACAGCAAUGGCCGGAGGUGGUUCGAUGAAAGUGGUCGGUGGUGAUCCGACGGUGAUCGGCAAUGGUGACGACACAAAAACGAUGGCGGAAAGAUGAUGACAAAAACAUGAACCGCUAAAGCAGCAGAAGUCUGUGGUGACAAAAUUGAAGACUCAAAGUAUGCUUUGGGGUGAAUUUUGUAAUCUUAUUUUUAUUUAUUUUUGGCUUGUUAGAGUUGCGACCCAAAUUCUUUUUAAAAUAAAAUACCAGUGGCAAGAUGAGGGGAUCCACGAGGGCGACUUCUAUUAAAGUCAUGACGACUUUAUCAUACUAGAAUCUAUGAGUAAAUAAAUUUAAAUUGUCUUAUUUCGUAAAAUUGCAAUGACUAAUUGAUUUAAUUCCCACUUGAAACUUCAACUAUUUAAUUAUAACAAAUUAAUUAAUAAUUUAAAUAAAUUAAAUUAAUCAUUAAGUUAUCUUUUGUACCUCAUGAGAAAAUGCAUUCACUUCGAAUAGUGAUACAUGCAAUAUGUUUCUCUAUUUGUUGUUUUCAUUCACUCAACAUAUCAAUUCAAAUGCAAUUUAUAAAUGGUUGUGUUGAGCUAGCAAAGGGACAAUUGAAUAUAUAUAAUUAGGGCUCAAAUAAUUUAAAAUUAAGUUCUAACUCUUCCCUAUUAAUUACAACAUUAUUUAGUCAUAGAGUUAAUCCACUAAAAAUACCAUAACUAAAUUCUCUCUUAUUAUAUACCAUUACGAAAGCAACUGAAUUUAUAUUUGUCUAAUGACCUUGUCAUAUGUGUGUUGCCCUCAUAGGAUAUCAUUUAUCUCAUUGGGUUAAAUCUGUUCAAACAAUAUGAUCAUAUUUUAUCUCAUGAUGACCACCGCAUCUUCCACCAUGAAAAAGCCAAUUACUAAUACAUAGUAAUUAAAUCAUUUUUCCUAGACAAAUGACCCAUGACAACGUUACUUCUCCAUCAACCACGCAAUGUCAAAGAGAAGAUAUCAUUAACCAUUUAUUAGGCUAUGAAUUUCAUUGUUGUAAGUAAACCAAUGUCAUGCAUAAGUGUAAUACCCAAUAUACUGACUUUUGGCUCUAUUACAAAUUGAACUCUGGCUUUCAAUAUAUCAAAGUAUACAAGUUACAUACACAUAGUCAGUUACUUAUUCAGGAUUGAGGUAAGUCAUACUAUGAAUGUCACAAGCAAAUAAAUCCAUAAACAAAUGUAGGAUAAAUUCAACUUGGGUCUUGUCUGAUGUAUUAUCAAUCUAGACAAUCACACCUAUGUCUCUAUGUUUUGGGGAGUCAUACGUUCCAGUACCUAGGAUAAGAUAUUUCCCCAAUUGGACUUGAUAGACGACACAAUAGUCUCUUGAAUAAUUUUGCUCAAUUUUGAUUCUUUAGACCAUAUAGCAUUUAGAUUAUCUACCAAUAUAAGUUGUCUCAUAUCAUGAUCUGACCACAUGAUGCAACUUAAUAUUAGUUAAACAUUAAUUAAUCAGUGAGCCAAUAUUUACUUAUACAUUUUGGUUUUUAUGCAAAAAUCAUUGAGGAUAGAAAAAGGAUAAUAAUGUAAAUGAUGGAAUUUUACUAAAUAAAUUUAUUCAAAAAAUUACAAGCAUAUAUGACAAAAUAACUACACUAAAGACACUAGAUCAUAACGAAAGAAGCACUCUCUAUUUUUACAUUUCAUUUUAGAGUGACUAGCAUAAGCUUAUGGUGGAAAGUGAUAGCCAAAUCAUUUUGAAUCCAAUGUAAACAUGUUAUUUGUUAUGAUAUAUGGAAAAAUCUGACAAAAAUUAUAUAAAAAAAGGAAUGGUAAUAUUAUUAAAAGUGUAACAUUUGAAGUAUAAUGUAAUAGAAAAAAUAUUUUACAAAUAGACAAAAUAUUAAUUUUAGUUGAGAUGUACUUUAAAAAUAUAUAAUAAAAAAUGGAAGAAUUUAAUUCAAUAGUUAUUAUUAUUUUGUUUAUGUUCAAGUAAAAUGAAUUAAAAUCAUUAAAAAUAAGAGUAAAAUAAAAAAAAGGUGAUAUACCUUCUAAUUCUUUGGUAUUAUUGGGAAUAUAAGGUUACCUGCUUGUUAGUUGGAUUUUAUUUUUGGAUUGUAUUUUGUCCAUUUUAUUAAAAAAUGACAAAUUAAUCUUGUUAGAUUAAAGAGCAAAUUAGUACUAUUAAAAGUUGGUUCAUUUACAUUAGCAUGAGAUACACAUGGCACGACGCGUGUAACUGUUUGAUUAUGUCAUCAGUCAUACCAAUUUUUAACGGUAAAAAGAGAAAAAAAUUUACAAAAAGAAAUUAUUUCCUUUUUGAUCCAACCUAAAAGAAUUAAACAAUUACAUUGUUUUUAAAUAAUAGUUUAAGAACAUAUAACAAUUACAUUGUUCUAAGCAUUGUAUCAAUAAAAAAAGAAAUCAAAUAAUUAAUUGCCAGCUCAUCAAUAUAUAUAUUUCAGAAUGCCUAAAUGGACAAAUAUAAAGUUUUGAAGGGUGAAAUUUUUAUAAUUUGAAAAAUAAAAAACAAAGUUAAAAUAUACUAGCGGUUUGAGAAUUAGGUUAUUGCAUGGGAACCAUCUAUUGUAAGAAUGUUAUAUGGUCUAAGAGGGCAAAUGAUUCUGCUCAUUUUAUAAAAUAUACAUCAUGUUUUUUUUUCCUUAUGGAGUCUUCAUUUUUCUUUUAUUGGGAAUUAUCCAUAUUUAUGGAAAAUCAAAGAUAUGGGUAUCAAAUAAUAGAAAGUCAAAGAUAUGGAUAUCAAAUAUUGGAAAGUCAAAGAUAUGGGUAUCGAGAUAUUGGCAUAAUAAAAUCUGAGAUAUUUGCAAUAUAUGGUCCCUAAUUGUAAAGUGACUUUGCAAGUUGAUCCCUGAACCUCAACUAUAAAUAAGCAUGACCAUCUCUCAUUCUGUAUCUCAAACUUGCCAUUCUCUACUUAAGGCAUUGUUUUUUCUCUCUCUCUUUGUAAAUUCUCACUUGUAUUUUGGAGUGAAAUAUAUUUGGUAGUGGCCGAGGACGUAGGCAAAAUUUGCUGAACCUCGUUAAAUUAUUGUGUUCUUUAUUGUAUUAUUCUGCAUGAAUUGUGUGUGUGAUUGUAGUGAUUUAUUGUGCUAUUAAAUUAAGAUUGAGGGAUAUUCUGGCUAGGAAAGACCUGGUACUUAAGAGAUCCUUGUGAUCCACCUCUCUUUCCAGGGAAUUGAACUUAGUGUGAUUUUUUAGUACAAUAAUUUUACUCUUUUACACGCUUCCGCACAACAAUUGGUAUCAGAGCUAGAUUCAUACUUGGGGAAUACGAUCGUUCACGGCACUGUUCACGUACUGUAGUUGGGAUUGAGGAGAAAAAAUGGAAAAGGCAUCGUCAUCAACAAAGACUACUGUGACCAAUGCGAAAUUUGAAGUAGAGAAAUUUGAUGGUACCAAUAAUUUUUGUAUGUGGCAAUGUGAGAUCCUGGAUGUCUUAUGUCAGCAAGAGCUGGAUAUAGCCCUUGAAGAAAAACCUGACAAGAUCGAUGACAAGGAGUGGGCCAAGAUCAAUAGACAGGCAUGUGGAAUAAUUCGCCUAUGUUUGGCCAAAGAGCAGAAGUACUCUGUCAUGGAGACAUCAGGGAAGAAGUUGUGGGAUACACUGGAAGAAAGUUUCUAACAAAAAUUCUUGAAAAUAGGCUUUAUAUGAAAAAGAAACUUUAUCGGUUCACGUAUGCACCCGAUAUGUCGAUGAAUGACCAUGUGAACUCAUUCAAUAAAAUUUUAGCAGACUUGCUAAAUUUGGAUGAGAAAUUUGAAGAUGAAGACAAGGCAUUACUGUUGUUGAAUUCUCUUCCUGAUGAAUAUGAUCAUCUUACCACCACAUUGCUUCAUGGGAAGGAUACAAUCACAUUUGAUGCAGUCUAUAGUGCGUUGUAUAGAUCUGAGACUCGAAAGAAAGAUAAAAAAGAUCACAAAGAUACAACUACAGAAGUCUUAACAGUAAGAGGUCGUUCACGCAGCAACAAAUCUGGUAGAAGGAGUAAGUCCAAAGGGAGACCUGCCAAAGAUGAAUGUGCUUUUUGUCGUGAGAAAGGGGCAUUGGAAAAAGAAUUGUCCUAAGUUACAAAAAGGUAAAGCUAUUUCUGAUACAUGUGUAGCGGAGCAUGAUGAGGAAUCAGACUUUAGCUUGGUUGGCAUGGCAAUGGCAUGUCAUACAGAUGAGUGGAUUUUGGAUUCAGGAUGUACUUACCAUAUGUGUCCUAAUAAGGACUGGUUUUCUAGUCUUGAAGAACUAGAAGGUGGAGUUGUUUUUAUGGGCAAUGAUAAUGCUUGUAAGACAAUGGGAGUAGGUACAAUCCAAUUGAGGAAUCACGACGGCUCAAUUCAAGUCUUGACAGAUGUUCGCUACAUACCUAGCUUGAAGAAAAAUCUUAUCUCAUUAGGGGUCCUAGAAUCUAAAGGGCUCACAAUCACUUUGAGAGAUGGAUUACUAAAGGUAGUAGCUGGGGUAUUGACGGUGAUGAAAGGCACAAGAAGGAAUAAUAUGUACUAUUUAAAUGGAAGUACAGUUAUUGGAUCAACAUCAACAGCUUCUACGAAAGAUGCAGAUUCAGAGGCUACCAGGUUAUGGCAUAUGCGAUUGGGACAUGCUGGUGAAAAAGCUUUGCAGAGUUUGGCGAAGCAAGGCUUGUUGAAAGGUGCAAAUUCUUGCAAAUUGGAAUUCUGUGAACAUUGUCUUCUGGGCAAGCAGACGAGGAUAAAAUUUGGUUAGCAAUUCACAAUACAAAAGGAAUUCUGGAGUACGUUCACAGUGAUGUGUGGGGACCUACUAAAGUGGCUUCUUUGGGAGGUAUGCACUAUUUUGUUACUUUUGUUGAUGAUUAUUCAAGAAAAGUAUGGGUGUAUCUAAUGAAAAGGAAAAAUGAAGUUUUGGAUGUAUUUCUGAAAUGGAAGAAUAUGGUGGAGACCCAGACUGGUCGAAAAGUCAAACGACUUCGAUCAGACAAUGGUAUUGAGUACAAGAAUGAUCCAUUUCUACAAGUAUGUCACGAUGAAGGCAUUGUAUGACACUUCACUGUUCGAGAUACACCACAACAGAAUGGGGUGGCAGAACGUAUGAAUCGGACUAUACUGGAGAAAGUUCGAUGCAUGUUGUCCAAUGCUGGAUUGGGCAAAGAAUUUUGGGCUGAGGCAGUUACAUAUGCGUGCCAUCUAAUUAAUCAGUUGCCAUCAGCUGUAAUAAAUAGAAAAACUCCUAUGGAGAGGUGGGGUGGUAAACCUGCUACUGAUUAUGAUUCUUUACAUGUUUUUGGUUCCACUGCAUAUUAUCAUGUAAAAGAAUCUAAGUUAGACCCAAGAGCAAAGAAAGCAUUAUUCAUGGGUAUAACUGGUGGAGUAAAAGGAUACCGUCUCUGGUGUCCUGAUACAAGGAAAAUUAUUUUCAGUAGAGAUGUGACUUUUGAUGAAUCAACCAUGAUGAAGAACAAUGAUUCACAAAAGGAUAACACAACCAGUGGCACUUUGCAGCAGGUGGAGCUUGAAAAGGUUAAUGAUGAUCCAGCUAAUAUUGAAGGAACAAAUGAUGAAGAAGUUUCGACCCAAGAACUUCUACAGCAACAUGAUUCAAUUGCAUAUAAAAGGCCAAGAAGAGAGAUUUGUAUGCCUGCUCGCUUUAAUGAUAUGGUGGCCUAUGCACUUCCAAUUACAGAUGAUGAUGUUCCUUCUACUUACACAGAAGCAAGAAGUAACCCUGAUGGUGUAAAGUGGAAGCAAGCUAUGAAUGAAGAAAUGCAGUCUCUUCAUAAAAAUAGGACUUGGGAGUUGGUGACACUACCCAAAGGAAAGAAGGCAAUUGGAUGCAAAUGGGUAUAUUCAAAUAAGGAAAGAUUUCCUGAUAAAAAUGAAGUUCGAUACAAGGCUAGAUUGGUAGUAAAGGGUUACGCUCAGAAAGAAGGAAUAGACUACAAUGAAGUAUUUUCUCCAGUUGUGAAGCAUUCGUCUAUUCAGAUUUUGCUAGCCUUGGUUGCGUAAUAUGAUCUUGAACUAGUUCAGCUCGAUGUGAAGACCACAUUUUUACACGGUGAUUUGGAAGAGGAAAUCUAUAUGACUCAGUCAGAUGGAUUCAAGGUUACUGAUAAAAAAAUUGGGUUUGCAAACUGACAAAGUCGCUUUAUGGAUUGAAACAAUCUUCGAGGCAGUGGUACAAACGAUUUGAUCAGUUCAUGAAAGGGCAAAGGUAUACAAGAAGUAAAUUUGAUCAUUGCGUGUAUUUUUAGAAGCUACAAGAAGGAUUUUUCGUAUACUUGCUCUUAUAUGUUGAUGAUAUGUUGAUAGCAUCUAAGAGUAAAGUUGAAAUUGAGAGAUUGAAGACUCAACUCAACCUUGAGUUUGAGAUGAAAGAUCUAGGUGAAGCUAAGAAGAUCCUUGGUAUGGAAAUAUGUAGGGAUAGAGCUCAUGACAGAGUUAGUUUGUCUCAGAAGCAAUAUUUAAAGAAGAUACUACAGAAGUUUGGCAUGAACGAGCAGACUAAAGUUGUAAGUACCCCGUUGGCUUCUCAUUUCAAGCUUUCUGCACAACUAUCUCCUUCGACAAAUAUGGAACAAGAAUACAUGUUACAAGUUCCGUAUUCUAAUGCAGUAGGUAACUUGAUGUAUGCAAUUGUGUGUACAAGACCCGACAUUUCACAGGCAGUUAGUAUAGUGAGCAGGUAUAUGCAUAAUCCUGGAAAAGGACAUUGGCAAGCUGUGAAAUGGAUUCUACGGUAUAUUCAUAAGACCAUGGAUAUUGGAUUACUGUUCAAACAGGAUACUACACUUGGUAAAGGUAUUGUUGGGUACGUUGAUUCUGAUUAUGCCGGUGAUUUGGACAAACGAAGAUCAACCAUUGGUUAUGUGUUUACUCUUGCUGGAGGACCAAUAAGUUGGAAGUCUACACUGCAGUCUACAGUUGUGUUGUCAACCACAGAAGCUGAAUACAUGGCUGUAACAGAGGUUGUAAAGGAAGCUAUUUAGUUACAAGGUAUGGUUAAAACCUUGGGUUGGUUCAGGAGCAUAUUAAUGUGUAUUGUGAUAGUCAAAGUGCUAUUCAUUUAGCAAAGAAUCAAGUCUAUCAGGCACGUACAAAGCAUAUCGACGUACGUUUCCAUUUUGUGCGGGAAAUUAUUGAUAAGGGGAAAAUUCACCUUCAGAAGAUUAAGACUGCAGAUAAUCCUGCAGAUAUGAUGACCAAGGUGGUAACAACAAUCAAGUUCGAACAUUGUUUGAACUUGAUCAAUAUUCUGCAUGUUUAAUAGUUGAAGAAUCCACUAUCAAGUGUUGUUGACAAAGGCAGAGAGAAUUGUGUGAAGAUAAGAUUACUCGAAUCAAAUCUUCAAGGUGGAGAUUAUUGGGAAUUAUCCAUAUUUAUGGAAAAUCAAAGAUAUGGGUAUCAAAUAAUAGAAAUUCAAAGAUAUGGGUAUCAAAUAUUGGAAAGUCAAAGAUAUGGGUAUCGAGAUAUUGGCAUAAUAAAAUUUGAGAUAUUUGCAAUAUAUGGUCUCUAAUUGUAAAGUGACUUUGCAAGUUGAUCCCUGAACCUCAACUAUAAAUAAGCAUGACCAUCUCUCAUUCUGUAUCUCAAACUUGCCAUUCUUUACUUAAGGCAUUGUUUUCUCUCUCUCUCUUUGUAAAUUCUCACUUGUAUUUUGGAGUGAAAUAUAUUUGGUAGUGGCCGAGGACGUAGGCAAAAUUUGCUGAACCUCGUUAAAUUAUUGUGUUCUUUAUUGUAUUAUUCUGCAUGAAUUGUGUGUGUGAUUGUAGUGGUUUAUUGUGCUAUUAAAUUACGAUUGAGGGAUAUUCUGGCUAAGGAAGACCUGGUACUUAAGCGAUCCUUGUGAUCCACCUCUCUUUCCUGGGAAUUGAACUUAGUGUGAUUUUUUAGUACAAAAAUUUUACUCUUUUACACGCUUCCGCACAACAUCUUUAAUGAUAAAAGCUUAAAGAAUAAUCUUUAAAAUUUGGUUGUUGGUAGCUUUAUUUGGGUAGAAUUUGAGAUUUAGUUCAUAUAUUUUAAAUGUUAAAAUUUUAAUUUUUUUUACUUUUUCAAUUUAAUAUUGUAAAAUAAAACCAUAAAAAAUUGUGUACAAAUAGUAUUGAAUUUACAUAAAAAUAUAUAAAAAAUGCAGGAUAAAUUUGAAUAAUAAUACAUGAACACUUAAAAUGAUAAUAUAUGAAAAAAAACUUAAGAUAAUAAUAUACGAUAAAUUUAAACAAUAUUAAUAAUGAAUUUAAAAUAAUAUUAAGCAUAAAUAUUAAAAUAAGGUUAGAUUUAAAAAUAUAUAAAAAUAAUGGAAUAAUAAAUACUUAAAUAAAUUAGAAAAAUAAGCAAAUUAAAUCAAGCUAAUAAGGAUUAAAUUGGAUUUAAAACAAAAUUAGAAGGUAAAAACGUAAAUAAAAUAAAAUAAAGGACCCAAUUGAAAAGCGCGAAUAACUCAAAGGGACCAAAUGGGGAAAUAUCCCCGCCUUUUGAAAUGCAUCGUUUCACCAGGACCAAAUCAGAAACCAAAUAAAAUUUAAAGUAUCAAUUGAAGAAAAUAAAAAAAUUGAAUUAAAAUAAUAAAAAAUACGGAGGGGGCAAAUGCAUAAAUAUCCUUACCAAGACCAGAACAGGCAGAUCUAGCUGCCUCUGGGUCGAGUCAUCGGGUAUAGUCAAUACGGCACCGUUUUGGAGCCAUUGAAACAGACUUUAAAUGGUGUCGUUGCAUGGCCUUUAUAAAACAAAAAAAAAGAAAAAUAAACAAGUUUUUAGCCAUUUCGAAUCAGAUAAAAACCUUAGCCACACGCCGUUUAGAAGCCUGGCCAUUCAAAGGCCAAUCGAUCCCUGUCUGAACUUCGAUUGCGACAGAGUGAGCAAGGAUUCGACACCACCAAGUAAUUUUCUCACCUUAAAUUGUUUUUUUCUUUUUUUACACAUGAUGAGUAAACAAAUAGAUGAGUCUAGAACAGAAAAGAAAAACAACGAAAAGAAAAAAAAAGGUUUCAAAUCACCUUUAGAAAAUUCUGAUUCUUUGAUUUUUCGUCCCCUUUUAUAGAUUUGUAAUUGGCUUUUUAUAGCCGAAACGAAAAAAAGAAAAUAUGUAAAAAAGAAAUCUAUUAUGUUAUCUAGCUAUUUUCAUUUGCUGGCAUAUUGUUGCUCGCUUUUUACUGUUAUUCGUUUCUAUUUCAGGUGUACGAAGGAGCGAUGACGUGGAGGUGCAACACGCGUGGAGGCCUGGUUCCCAGCUGCGGCGUGGACUGUUCCAAAAACCCUAGGGGUUUCUGGAGAUUUCAAAUUGGGCCACUUCAAAUCGGGCUAGGGUUUAAUUAAGUCUAGGAUUGUAUUAGGUCUAGGAUUGGGUUAGAUUUUGGGUUUAGGCCUCAAUCCGAAUUUGGCCUAUUGUAACUGAACUUUUGGACUUAUUAAUGGUUAUUUUGGGUAUUGGGCUAUUAGGGUUUGUUGGGUUUGGGUUUUAGAUAUUUGGGCUGAUUUGUGUUUGUUUAUUUUGGGUUGUUUGUGUAAUUCUGGACUUUUUAUUUUAUUGGACUUUUAUUUUUUGAUUUGGUUUUUUUUGUGUGGGCUCGAGCAGAUUGGGCCUGCUACAAUAUUGAUGCAAAACUUUGUCACUAAAGUGCAAAUUGUAACAAUAGUUAAGUAGUCUUUUGUUCGAAUAACAUUAGAAGCACAUCAAAGUCAAAGCACAUAGACUUUAAGUUCAUUGUUGUUAAAAUAAAAGUUUAGGGUGGUUAGAUGUCUAUAAAGUAUAUUGAGACAAACUCCAUGGUUGUGGAUUCGCUUAUUAAGGGACUACCACCCAAAGCUUUUUUCCUGAGCACACUGUUGAUAUGUGUGUAAUGUCAUUCAAGGAUAUUUGAUUUUAGUAGGAGUUUGUACUUUUAAACGUUUUUAUGUUAUAAAUACAUUUUCAAUUAUUUUAGUUUACAAAUAUUAAGUUUUUUUUUUUUGUAGAAAGAAAGUUUAUUUGGUAAAGUUUGAUCUCACUAAGAUUAAUGUGGACCGGUUAGAAUAUGCAUGUUUGAAUCAUAUUACAUGUAAUUUUCAUGUUACACAUCCAUACUUAAUCUAUGUCAUUUGGUUGUGCUAAUAUAUGUGAUUAAGGCUGGAUUUAGUUAUGAUAUAUGUAACAAAGUUGCAUUCUUUCUAUGUUAACAUAAUUAAUGGACAGAUUGUUCGAAAUACCUUUUAGAUACGAUAGUAAAAUUUUGAGCUCAUAAAGUUAUAUAAUGACAUGUAAUUAUAAGGUAAUCGGUAUAUAUAUAUGUCAUCCAAGUGGUAUAUAUGGACAUCACAUAUAUAAUAAGCAUGUUACAUGUUAUUAUUUACUAUCAUAAAAGAUUAACUCAAAUUAAAAGUGAUCUAAUUUGGUUAAGAUUUAUUGGAUUUUAGUUAUUAAAUAAAAUAUAGGUCAAUAAUAUGUGUAGAUACUCUAGUAACUAAUUUCUAAUUUAUGAUGGGCUGAUUAGAAAUUAGGUUAAUGUGAAAAUGUUAUAUAUUAGGAUUUUGGUCUCCAAGUUAUGCAUAUGUAACUUUUCUAAUAUCCCAUCUUGAGAAAAGAGAGAGUCACAUUCUUUAGAUUACUUGUGAGCUAAUUUGGAAGAUCAAAACCUUAAAAUUCGUAGAUUUCAAGAAAUCGGUAAAUUCAAAUACGCUUCUGCAUUUAGUUUUGUUCUUAAUUAUUUGACAUGAUAGAUUCUGGUUUAUUAAGUUUUGUAAAAGAGUUUUACGGUUUUAAUAGGAUAAUUACGAAUCCCAAAUAUAAACUGUAAAACGGACAUGAAGAAUAUAAAAGAAAUAUUACAAGAAUUUUGAAAGAGAAAAUUAAAUUGAAAAUUUUAAUGUUAUUUUUAUCUUUCAUAAUUAUUUUUAUUUAUAUUUUAUUUACAAGAACAUUUUAUUAAGAGUUUAUUAGGAUUAAGUUUAUUUUUACUUUUAUUAAAUAAAUGUUAGACUAAAAAUAAACUUUUUUUUCCACUGUUGGUAUAAUGGAUAGUAGGCUAGGUUGUCCUUUUUUAUUUGUUUAGGCACCCGUGUACGAGAAUAAUUUAUAUUAGAAUAGUCCUAAAGGUUAAAGAUUUUAAUAUUAAUAAAAUUUUGUCACAUCAUCAAAUUUUAAAAAUAUAAAAUUAUUAUUAUACACUCGUUCAUAUUAAAUUUACUUUUUAACUUUCGUUCUUUUUAAACAUAAAUAAUUAAAAUAAAAAUAGAAAAAUAGAAUAUUUAAAAUUUAUACAAUCCUUAAAGAUUUAAUCCAAUAUUUUUUUUUGUUUUAAAAAAUGUAUAAUAUGAAAUAGAAAAAAAAAUUAAAAUGGAAAAACUCCAUUGCCUAUAAACUAAUUUUUAAAAAAAAAUUGGUUACAAAAAUUAAAAAUAUUAACUUCUGAAAAAAAACUAAAAAUGAUUAAAAUUUAUAAAAGAAGAAAAGAUGUUUAUUUAUAAUUUAAAAAAAUUAAUUAUUUUAAGUAAUUUAAUUAAAGUUAAAUUAAGUUAAAGAAGAAAGGAGAAAUGGAUAAGUAUAUAAUAAUACAUAAUUUGUUAAAUAUAUAAAGAAAUUUAUUUGAUUUAGUACCUAAAUAUUAAUAUUCGAAACUCUCGAUUUUUCACAAUUUAUUCAAUCAAAUUUAGAUCCAACUUUAAUUAUAUUACAAAGACAUUCUAUUUUAUUAUUUUAUUAACGGGUGAAAAAACUUAGUUCAACCCAUAAACAUUGACCACAAAGGGAAAUUUGAAACACUUACCACCAAUCCCCUAUCAGAAAGUCUUUCCCACAUUCAACUAGAAAUCAGAGCUCACCAAAAUGUUUAUUCUUUUCAAUCUGAACCGACUCUACAAUCACUUAUUGCUCAUGGUCUUCAGCCUAUAAACCCAGAAGCAUUAUUAACUUCUAAAUCCAAAACACUAAUAUCAGCAUCCAACCCUACAAUGGUAGUCUUAUUGACUCAUUUAAACAAGUUUCCUUUGUCAAUCUAUAUUCCAUAUUGGGUAAUCUCCAAUAUUAAUUCAGAAUUUAGGAUAGCUGGAACAAGAAUAACAGCAAAGAUGCAAAGCGAAACGACUUGUAGGAGGAGGAAGAACCUUCUUUUGGGUACAAACCUGUAUAGCAUAUAAUAGGAUGUCCUGUAUAAUGUCACGAGAGCUAGUACCGUUGCCAAGCAGUAAUUAGUAGUGCUGAGUUUAGAAUAGGAAACGGAUCCAGGAGUCGAAAGAUAGAAAAAAUACUGAAGUGCGAGUGUCCGUAUGGAAACAGCAACCAAAAGCAUGUAACAGGUCCCAAACAAGGAAAGUGUUAUGAGAAUAAACAAGGACAUUGAACGGCUGGGUAGGAGAUACGCUGUUAAAACAGUUGUUGCCCAAAAGGUUAAAGUGUUGUAUAACCAAAACAUUGUGGACACGUCUAGUAUAUUUUCUAUUUUUUUUUCUUCAGCGGGUGGAGGACUUGGUACGGGUCCAGUGCUGGUUGAACCUAAAGAUAUGUCAUACGUGAGAUGGAAAUUCUGGGAAUUUGAAAUGGUAUCAGGCUGCUUUGGAGGGUUCAAAGUGGCAGUGUAUGUGGCUGUUAUAAUUAGCACUGUGACUACUAAAAAUGUGUUACGCGUCUCAUGUGGGAUUCCCUUCUUUCCACGACUUGCUAUUGUUGCAAUUUUUUGAAGAACUGACACCUUUCCUUUUAAAGAUUCGAUGGGGAUUGAAGAGAUGGAGGCUUUGGGAAGCGAGGAAGAGGAACCACGCAAACCUCCUGCUUUGCUUAUCAUAUCUUUAAUGGACUCCUUAUAGUCCACUCUCCCUUCAUCCAAUGGGUAUUGUGAUGGGAUAUCAAGUGCAGUCAAUCCCUCCGCAUUUUUGGCAUUGAUAUGGUCUCCACACAAGCGUUUCAGCAGUACUUUUACCACCUGUUAAUUAGAAUAUUCAUACAAGUAACCUUUGAGUAUAUAUAUACAUAAAUAAUUUUACUAGCAAAAUUAUCAUACCUGAGGUCUGUUUCUGAUAGUAGCAACAUGUAAAACAGUGUUGCCAUCAAUGUCUGCCCAACUCAGUAGUUCUUUCUCCCAACGGUUGGCAGCUUUAUGGCGGCUCCUUAUAAGCCACCCCACCAAGACUUGGAAAGCUUCAAACCUGUCAUUUUUUACGGCAAGAUGGAAAACCGUCUCAUCUCGAACAGUCACAUCUUCAAUAGCCUCGGGGCAAACCUCAAGGAACUUGAUCAAAAAAUCAACAUUUCCAUUUUGAACCACAUGAUGCAAAGGAGUGAAGCCCUCCCGCCCUUUGACACGAACAAGGCCUUCAUCAAACCUGAGGAGUCGAAGCACUGCUAGAGUUUUUUGAUUUUGCAGAGCCAAGUGCAUGGGGCUAAACCCAGCUUGGUUUAGCUUUCUUGCAAACGAUGGCUUUAAGUUGAUCAUCUCCAUCAUAAAAUCAAUAUGCCCUGCAGAAGCUGCUACAUGCAAAGGAGUAUGGAAAAAAGGUACAUCAUCGAUACGCUGUAAAACAUAUGGAUCAUUCAGAAUUAACUCAUACAAGAUGUUUAUGUCUCCUGUUUGUGCAGCACCUAUCAUCCUCUCAUCCAUAGCAAGGUGCGGAAAUUUGCAGAAUAUAGAAAUGGAGUGAAGAAAAAACGCUUUAGCAGAGGAUAUGAUUAUGUUAAGGAUAUAAUGAAGUGUUUGAUU
This 119140-nucleotide long non-coding RNA is filed under the name Gossypium barbadense (sea-island cotton). RNAcentral's name for it is "long non-coding RNA (GBAR_LNC020323)". The stretch from base 82654 to 82725 matches the Rfam family "tRNA". Lineage: Eukaryota; Viridiplantae; Streptophyta; Magnoliopsida; Malvales; Malvaceae. The record is from RNAcentral.